RNAcentral lists this long non-coding RNA (96745 nucleotides) under Oryza sativa (Asian cultivated rice). RNAcentral describes it as "long non-coding RNA (OSAT_LNC000746)". The stretch from base 4790 to 4992 matches the Rfam family "MIR812 microRNA precursor family". The record is from RNAcentral. Lineage: Eukaryota; Viridiplantae; Streptophyta; Magnoliopsida; Poales; Poaceae.
UCGGGGAUGACAUCAUCGACGACGCGGUAGCCGCCAUUCUUGACAAGGAAGCGGACAGAGAAGGGGCCCUUGAGCGGCGCCUCACUUUUGAUCGUCCAGGUGUUAGAUGAUGACUCCUUGAGCGCCACCCAGUCCUUGCCACCCUUCUCCUUGAUCUCCACCUCAGAGAUGGCGAUGUUGGUGACAAGCUCUAGACUACUGGCGCUAGAGCCCUCAGCGACCUUGAAGGUGAGCUCAGUGGCACAUGAGCCAACAACCAACAGUGCUGCCACCGCCACGGCAAGCCGGAAAGAGGACAACGAGGCCAUUGGCUAGCUAGUUUGUUUGUUGGUGUAAUCUUCCUUGUUUCUUGACUGGUACAGGGAUGGAUCGAUAUGUUUGGUGAUACAUGUUACAGUUGGGUGCGUAUUUAUGGUGGAGGGAGGGUAAGCAAACUAGGCAUAGAUGCGUGGAGAUCGUUGGUAGACUUUUUCAUUGAGGGGUUCUUAUACAAUUGCUAUAAACAGAUGCUAGUUGGGUGGUCCCGGUUGUUUCGCUAGCCUAGGGCAUGCAGGCCUCCCAAAAAUCAGCUAUGUGGUCCCAUUUCUUCUCUACUUAUGUUUUUUAAACUUAGAAUAAUGAUAAUUAAUCACCUCCUCAUGAUCUGUUCAUGGAGCAUGUGAACCGACACAUGCGGUUGAUGGAUCUAUUGACCGCAUACUUGUAUGGGGCAUUAGAUUUGGAACUUUAUCUGAGAGUCCCUGAAGGACUCAAGAUCCCAAAUCCGAAAGGAAAUUGCAACAUCUAUAUUGUUCGCCUGCAGCGAUCAAUGUACGGAUCAAAACAAUCCGGAAGGAUGUGAUUCAAUCAAUUAAAUAGAUAUCUCCUAAAGAGAGGUUUCCCAAAGAAUUAUGAUUGUCCCCCUGUGUUUAUAAAGAAAUCCCUGAAUGCAUUUUGUAUCAUCUCGGUCUAUGUCAAUUAUCUAAAUAUCCUUGGCACCACACAGGACAUUAAACAAGCAAUGGCUUAUCUUAAUAUUGAGCUUGAGAUGAAGGACUUGGGGAAAACCUAGUUCUGCUUGGGCCUAUUGCUCGAGCAUCUCCCUAAAGGAGUGUUUAUGGACCGGUAUGAAAACCUAGCAUGGAUGUGCGGUGCAGCAUGGAGAUCUUUGGUAGGCAUUUUCAUCGAGGGACUCAUACUAUUGCUUUAAGUAGAUGCAAGUUUGGCGGUCCUGGUUGUUUCGCUAGCGUACGACAUCUAUGCGGUCCCAUCUCUUCUCCACGUAAUUUUUUAACUUAUUAAUAAUUAUGAGAAUUAGUCACCUCCUCAUGUUCUGUUCAUUGAGGAUAUGGACCCAUACACAAACAAAUUAGGGGCCGGGGGGAUAUGCUAGUGGAAGAUAGAGGGGUGGUCGAGCGAAUGGUCGGGAGGAGUGAUGGCAAGGCACCUAGGGGCAUUGUGUGGCACACGUAAUAAACUCGGUUGGGGCAGCUGCCUUUGUUGGGGUGCAGUGGCAGUGGGCUGGAAAUAUAGUUGGCCAUAAGGCCCGAGGCCCGAAGGCCCGGCCCACGGCACGCCUUUUUGGCCCGGCCCAAGCACGGCACGGCCCGACUUGGAUCGGGCCCGUGCUGGCCCGGCCCGACCGUCGGGCCGUGCCUGGGCCUCCCCACCGGCACGCUGGGCUGGCCCGGCACGGUCGGGCCGGCCCGGCACGAUGGGCCGGCAGGCCAGGCCCGGUACAUAAAGUAUGGGGACUAAAAAUAGACAUAUAAAUGUAACUGUCUAAAGAAUAGGGACCUUAAAUAGACUUAUUUUAGCUAUUUAUAUACCCCAGCCCAAAGAAGAGGGAGGUAAAAUAGACUUUUUGUAGCUGUACAUAUGUCACAGCCCAAUAGGAGGGAGGAAAUUUAGACUUAUUCUGAGGAAAAGCCCGACGGCCCAUCGUGCCUUCGGGCCGGCCCGGCACGGCCCGAGGCGUGUUGGGCCGUGCCUGGGCCGUGAGUGCGGCACGUGGGCUGGCACGGCACGGCCCGGUGCGUCGGUCGGGCCGUGCCGGCCCGACAAGCCUCGGCCCAGGCACGGCCGGGCCUGGGCCGUGCCGUGCCGGGCGGCCCACAUGGCCAACUAUAGCUGGAAAGGUGCAGGACAGAGCUAGGGAGAUGGUGGAGGAAGUGACACAGAGGGUGACGGGUUGGAUUGUGGUUGAUUUUGGCCCAGGGAGAGAUAUAGUGGUCAUUCAAUUUUUAUGUGAUUUUGAAUAGAACUUCCAUAUGAGUUUAUAGACAUGAAUUGAUGGAAUGAUUUUCACAGAGAUCGUUUGGAGAAUUCUUGAAAUUUGGAAUUUUGGUUUCGAAGGGAAAAUGAAUCAGAUUAUGGGGGGGGGGUGAAACUCAAUGAAUAAAAUAAAUAAAUGGAUUGGGAGGCUCCAAUUCAAAAGAACGACGAACAACGACUUUAAAGAUUUUCACAAAAAAAUUACCUUGAAAACUCUUGUACGCUAUAGUUUUUUUUUCUUAUUAGUCUUUUUCUUUGUUUUGCAUGCUAUAGUGUAGUUCUAUCAUUUCGGAGGAUCACAAGUUUGUCGGAAGUGUUUCAGAAUACGAAUUGAAGGCAUUUGUUUGCAUGGCAAGUCGGACAUAUCCCAAACUUCCCUUUGAUCAGGUUGAUCCUAUAUUUAAAUUCUUUAUUUACUUCAAACAUGUAUUUAUUUGUGGUGUGCACCUAUUCCUUUGUUAUGACCAAUUUGCACUGGUAACCUUAUUCCUUGUUUCCCGGGGUUAUGAAUUCACUAGCUAUGACUUUAUGAUGGCUUUGUUAGAUCAUUCGUUAAUUUGUUGUGUGGCCUAUAGACUACGUUAUAUACCCACCUUGCAAUAAUCAUCAAUCUCAGUUGAAAAAGGAGUAUGCCCCAGUUGAGCUACCUGUCGGAGUGAAUUUAAAGCUUUGUUAGUUUUUCCUUUUUGUUACCGUUUUUGUCAUGGUGAGGACUAAGAAUUUAUUGUUUUAGUUUUUCUAUUGUAUGAUCAAAUAAUAAGUUUGUGUACCUUGACUGAUUUUUGACGAGGAUUUAAUACACAAAUUAAUUUUGAAAUUGCACGUGACACGGAUGCACAUGCUGUUACAUCCAUACGACAUGAGAGCUACAGGUCACAGGAAGUUCAUGGGCAAGCGCCUGGGAAAGGACAUCAUGCAGACAUCAUGUGUGCAGCUAGGAGUCGCUCGAGAGGGCGUGGGAGUGAGGUUGUGCUUACACGAUGGACUAUAGAAUGUAAACCACCACUACAUUUUUUUGACGUAAAGAUUUACUAGUUCUUUGCGUUCAAAUGUUUGGAACUAACGGUAUACUAGUAGUGCAAAAAUAUUUCUAUUUAAAGUUUGGAACUAAUGGUUUAUUUAUUUUAUAUCCUUGCAAUACAUUGGUAUUCUAAUAGUAUUAUAUUACCUUUGUUUUUUAAUAGAUGACGCCGUUGACUUUUUCUCACAUGUUUGACCAUUCAUCUUAUUCAAAAAAUUUACGUAAUUAUAAUUUAUUUUGUUAUGAGUUGUUUUAUCACUCAUAGUACUUUAAGUAUGAUUUAUAUCUUAUACAUUUGCAUAAAAUUUUUGAAUAAGACGAAUGAUCAAACAUGUGAGAAAAAGUUAACGGCAUCAUCUAUUAAAAAACGAAGGGGGUAUAAACUUUCUUGUUGACUGUAGCUUGGGGCAUUGACCAACUAUAUGAUAUGAAGCUUAAUUUUGCUCCUCUCAAAGCUGGCUUCAUUUCCAUCCUACCUAUUACCACUCAGUCGUGCUGCAGUUUGUUUUGACAUCUCAAUAAACUAUACAAUGUACUGAUGUUUUAUCUAUACCUAUAUAUUAAUUAGACACUUUUUUAAACCUCUCAUGUGAUCUAACCGUUGAUUAAACAGAUUGUAAUAUGUCAACCGUUGAAAUUUGAAUCCACAUUCUAUGUGGUGUGGGUCUCUUUAAAAUCCAUCUAACCUAUUGCCAAGCCCAUUGACCCGAUCCGUUUAAGUACAAUAUUUUUUUUCCUUUUUAUGAAAGUGCGUAAUCUUUUUUUUUUUCUAAACCGAUCGAUCAAGCAGUCUAAAAUCGGUGGUGGUAUACAGGGCCAUCCAUAUUUACUGGGAUGCUACUGAUAUCUCUUUUUUUUUUCCAAAACAUCUCGUAUUAAGCAUGCACUACAACGAACAUACAUUACAGAAACAUCUACGUUAAUUAAUAGCUCUACAACAGUCCUUUUAUGAUUUUCCACAGCUUGCACGUACUACUCUCUCCGUUCCAUUUUAAUUUUAGAGUAAAGUGUACGGAUAGUCCUUAUACUUAUUGGGGUGUGUCAUUUAGGUCCCUAAACUCUUAAAAUGCAUAUCCAAAUCUCAGAACUUGUCAUAGUGUGUCAUCUAGGUCCCAAAUCACUACAACCCCUUUAGGAUCCUACGUGGCGUUGAUGUGACAUGCCACACGGAUAUGACGUGGCAUUAUUUUACUGACAAAUGGGACCCAUUUAAUUUUUUUUCUUUUUUUCUUCUCUUUUUCCCCUUUAUUCUCCUUUCUUUGUGACCCGAGCAGAAGAAAGGAAAAAAAAAGAAUGAGAAGAAAACGGAAAAGAAAAAGAAAAAUAAAAGAAGAAAAAAAAAAGAAAAGGACACGUCACGUCCUCAGCACCACCUAGGAUCUUAGAGGGGAUGCGUCGAUUUGGGACCUAAAUGAUACACUUUGACAAGUUCUGGGAUCUGGAUAUGCAUUUUGAGAGUUUAGGGAUCUAUAUGACACAACCCUACAAGAUUAAGGACCGCCAAUGCACUUUAAUUUUAAGUGCAGUUGUGAGUUCCGUGUCAAAUGUUUGAUUAUCCGUCUUAUUUAAAAUUUUUAUUGUUAGUAUCUUUGUUGUUAUUAGAUGAUAAGACAUAAAUAAUACUUUAUGCAUGAUUUAUUCUUUUAAUUUUUUCAUGAAAUUUUUAAAUAUGACGAAUGGUCAAACGUUGCGCACGAAAAAUCAUGACUACACUUAAAAUGGGACUUAAAAUGGGACGAAUGUAGUACUGCAUAUCGAUCUGAUCAGAUAGACGCAAUGGCAAACAUGGGAGGGCACGGCAUGGCCAUGCACACAGCGACAGGUGAACGCUAUUGCUAUUUUCUAUCAAUUAUUAAGGUUUGAUUCUAACUUCUAAUUUCCAGUUCAGUUCUCUUUACAUGCAUGUUUCUCAUCUGUCACAACACGUCUAAUAUAUAUAUAGGAGUGUUAACCUACGUCAUCACCUUACGAUAUAUAUUUUUGAUGUUCAGAUGUUUGAUUUAAAAUUGAUCGACAAGUUUGCUUGCACCUAAGAAGCCAAUCCGUUGUCAUCGUACCCAUAAUUCAUAAAAGUGUUCCAUCUAUUUGCUUUUACAAAUUUUUCUGGCAUUUAGAAAGGUCCAUAGUGUGGUAGCCUCGUACAAUUCAAGUAGUAUUCCAUCAAUUUGCAUAGUCUAACUUUUUUAUCUAUAUUUGAUCUACUUUUAUUAUUCUUCUUAUAUUUAUAUUCACCUGUACAUCCUUAAAUAUAUGGGAUGUCAAGUUUCUUUAGAGAUUAGGAAGGAACGCAAAAAUAAGACAAAUUUAAAUAAGAGAGUGUUAUGGUUACGGAUAAUACAUAUAUACCUCCUAUCUUACGACUUAUGGAAUAUACGUGUAUGGUAUACCUUCACGUACACAGGUUGUAUCUAUACACGUAGUAGGAAUCCAUUACAAAAUAUGUAAAAUAUCUAUACGAGUCAAGUGAUUUCCAAAGUCCUACUUGAAGGGGAUAAAGUUUAUAUUGUAUCGUACGGGAUCUGAUGUUCCCGAGUCUAUACUCCAAAAUAGUUAUACCACUGGUCUGACCUCUGCUGUACCGCCGGUCUGACCGGUGUAUCUAUACACGUAGUAGGAAUCCGUUACAAAUUAUGGAAAAUAUCUCUACGAGUUAAGUGAUUUCCAAAGUCCUACUUGGAGGGGAUAAAAUUUAUAUUGUAUCGUACGGGAUCCGAUGUUUCCGAGUCUUACAUGGAGAUCAAGAUGAUUCACGGUAUAAAAGAGACCCCUAGGAAGGGGUGUAAGGCAUCGAAUCUCAUCGCUAACACACCCACCAUAGUUUACGAAGCCGGAAUACACGGAGCCAAGUCACCGGGAGAUCUCGUCGAAUAUAUCAACUACGAUCUUGCCGGUAUCGUCGAAUUUUUCUACUCCCAUUGAAAUAUGCGGUUUUCAAUCAUCAAUCCCAUAUAAACUGGACUAGUACUAUUACCUGAUAAGGGGCCUGAACCAGUAUAAUUCUUGUCUUCUGUUUGCUUGAUGUCGUAUUACGUAGAUCAUCAUUCUAACAUACCCCAAUACCCUAAUCAUCCGGUCUACGAGUAUCAUUCAUCGACAGUGCAGGAACAUGAACAAUUAUUAUUAGCAAUAAGGUUUAUCGAAAAAUAUUAAGUGAGAGGUGGUUGGGUGAUGGAUGUUGUACACUUAAAUGCUCAUCUCUCUAAGUGAAAGUUAAAACCAAAACUUAACUUUACUGAAAUCCUCCACAUGAUCAGGAUAAUAUGAACCAUUUGAUUCAGAAAAGGACAAAGUAGAAGAAAAGAUCAUAGCCAUCCAAUCAAAUUGAUGCUUAAAAAAAGUUAGAGAAAUAAAAAAAAAUCAUGGCCCAGAGAAACAACUGGAUAGUCUAGAUAGAUACGUUGAUUUUUCUUUUAAUUAAAAAAAAACUGCAUCCAAACCUUCUGUCUCUGGCUUUGCUGCCAGCUGACCGGCCUUCCAUCCCGCCAGCCACACUACUAAAACUUAUGAAAUAUGUUCUAGAUAGUUCAUUUGUAAUCAUUUAUUGUAACAAUAACAUUGUUUAUUUUAGAACAAUAAUACUAAACUAUGUACCAUAUGUUUCUCUAAUUACCUGUUUACAAUAUUACUAUAAAUACAAAGGUGAUAUGGUCGCAUGAAAGCAUGUUAAAUUAUUGGUUGUCAUGAUAAUAUUGUCACUUCAGUGUCCGACAGUUUUGGUCCACACACCUACAUCUAGAGUGUUAAUUAUUAUUGUAAAAUUAAAUUGAUUACUGUAAAUAACAAAUAACACAUUUAAUAUACAGGGAUGUUACGGCCGCGCAAACGCGCAACUCUCUACAUACUAGUAUUUGUGGAUAAAAUUUGAAGUCUAUGACUGAUUAUAUUUUUGGACGAAGGGAGUAUAUAAUAUAUUACAAUGUAUUUUUUCUAUGUUUUAUGAAUUUUCUAUCCUUAUUUUUAUUUUGUAAAAAUUUUCAAAUUUAUGUUCGAAAAAAUGUUCAGACCUUCUGAAACUAUCUGUAUAUAUAGUAUUUAGUUUAUGCACUGGAAAAUUUGCAUUAUAAAGGCGGUCAUGCAUGGUCUGGGGCAAGGAAAAAAAUCAAUAAAUAUGCAUGCAUCUAGCAGGUUUUUCCACUAUGAUGCAUGCGUGGCUUUAGUGAAGUAGGAGUAAUAUACAUACAUAUAUGCAUGCAAGAGAGAAUGAUUAUAAAUAUUUUGUUUAUAAUAAUAGAUUUUUCCAAACUAAUAGAUGAUUUUCCAAAUGGUAUGUGGCGAGACAUGGCUUAUUUUUGUUCCUAUUUCCCUAGAUCAUGGAAGAGAGAAUGAUUAUAUAUUUUUUGUUUAUAAUAAUAGAUUUUCCAAAUUAAUAGAUGAUUAUUGCAAUUCCCCAAUGGUGAUCAAAGGAAAAACUAAUGUAUCCUACAGUUUUUUAUAUUAUUUUAAAAUUUAUAAGCGAUAUUUUUAUUAUGGGCCAAAACAAGUAAUGUUAAGAAUCAUAAUAACUGAUUUCAUAUGCAUUAGGAUAGGACAGUAUAGAAGAGUUCUUGAUUUGGCUCCUAGAAGAAUCCAUUCAUACCUACUAGUGCAUGGUGUCCUAUCACUAUAUGUUAUAAUGUUUAUAUGUUAUUUGAUUUUGAUCCUUUAUGUCAGGUUUUCACGAUAAGUAUAGGUGAGUUAUCCUAUUACUAUAAUAUAUUAUCUGUUGCAUAUGCUUCACCCAGUUCAACAACUUAUGUUUCUAUUAAUAGUCGUUGCUUCAGAAAAUACAUGAUUCCUCCAACAAAUUCAGUGAAAUUACUUUUCUUUUACCAAUGUUGAGGGAUAAAAAUGACUAAAAUUGUUUUAUUUAUAAUACAAACAAUAAUAUAUUGAGACAUUGUAUUAAGAAAACAUGCCAUUGGAAGUCAUAGUCAAAACGAAUUAAAAAUCAUGAAUUUUAUCCACUAAGUAUUCUAUUAAUUAGGAAUCACUAAUUAACAAGGUAUAUAUAAUUCAUAUAAAAUCUUAUUUUAAUUUAACAUAAGAGCUAUUGUAAUUACAAAAGACAAAUAUUCAUUUGCAACUAAAGUAUUAAUAUUUAUGAUGAUAUAAUUAGAUAGUAUGGGUUGAUGGCUAGUGCUUAUAGUUUCAGUUCAUAGUAUGGCUGAGAAUCAACAAUUUGUUUUCAGAAAGGAAAAAAAAACAAGUAUAGAUGUCACUCUACAAUAUUUUUGACACGCUAAAAUGGUGAAAGGAACACAUUGGUUUGGACAUACCUAUGUACUAAAACUUUGGAAAAUCAAAUAAUGCACCCAAUCAUCUUAAUGAAAGUUGACCAAAUAUACUUUUUCCCAUAUAUCUUAUAUAAAUAACAUAUAUUCAAAACCAUGCUUUGCAUAUGGCUCCACAGCAAUAUUUUGGAGUACACAUGUAUGCCUUAUUUUGCCACUAGCCCAUUACAAAAAAAUAACCACAGAAAAUUAAUUAAUAGAAAAUUAAUUAAUGGUUCGCUCGAACAUGGAGUGAUCUCUUUUAAGACAUAAUUAUUUAGAGGUUCAUAAUUCCAAUAUGACCCAACACAAGAGUAUGCAUGCCUGUUACUUAGAGUUGGAUGCCACUCUUAUAUUCAGAGCCGGCAGUAAAGCUUUCAGGGAUGACAUCAUCGACGACACGGUAGCCACCGUUCUUGACAAGGAAGCGAACGGAGAAGGGGCCCUUGAGUGGUGCUUCACUUUUGAGUGUCCAGGUGUUAGAGCCUGACUCCUUGAGCCCCACCCAGUCCUUGCCGCCCUUCUCCUUGACCUCCACCUCAGAGAUGGCGACGUUGGUGACGAGCUCCAGACUAGUGGCGCUAGAGCCCUCAGCAACCUUGAAGGUGAGCUCUGUGGCACAUGAGCCAAUGACCAAUAGUGCAGCCGCCGCCACGGCAAGUCGGAAGGAGGACAUGGAGGCCAUUGGCUAGCUAGCUAGUUUUUUGGUGUAAUGUUUCUUGUUUCUUGGUUGGUAGAGGGAUGGAUCGAUGUGUUCGGUGAUCCAUGUUGCAGCUGGGUGCAUAUUUAUGGCGGAGGGGGGAGGGGGUGGUAAGAAAAUGUGCGGUGCAGCAUGGAGAUCGUUGGCAGCCAUUUUCGUUGAAGGACUCUUAUACAAUUGCUUUAAAUAGAUGCAAGGUUGGUAGUCCCGGUUGUUUCGCUAGCGUAGGGCAUGCAGGCCUCCCAAAAAGCAGCCAUUUUAACUUAUAGAUAAUGAGAAUUAGUCACCUCCUCAUGAUCCGUUCAUUGAGCAUGUGGACCCAUGCAUGAUCAAAUUGGGAGGGGGGUGGAUAUGCCAGUGGAAGAUAGAUGGGUGGCUGAGAAAAUGGUUAGGAAUGAUGAGCAAGGCACCGAGGGGCACCGUGUGGCAUGCAUAUAUAGUAUUCUUGGCAGAGGUGCAAUCAACAGUUCAAUGUUGAUGGCACCAUGGUGGUGAUGGAGGGUCCCAGGUGCUGCCCCGUUGUGGCUCUAUAUCUGAGACAUGGGUUUGCAUACAUGGCUAGAUGGUGCUGAUGCUAAUUAAUAUGGUAGUGCGCCCCUAGCUGGAUAUCGAACGGCGGUGGCAGUCGAUGAAAUAAAUUUGAAAGGAAUAAGAGAUGGCGAAUUGAUGAGGCAUAGGUGGAAAGGAGCACAUGGCCUUGGGGGAAAUAAUCCUACAAGUCGGUGUAGAUCGUGCUUCAAACAAGAGUGCACUUUAAAUUCAAUUUAAUUUUAAUUGGCAGGUGCACAUGUUGUUACAGUCAUGCAACAUGAGAGCUACAGGUGAGAGGAUGUCCUUGGGCAAGCGCUGAUGGAGAUUUGGAGGGUGUGCUUGACACUGGUGGAGAAACCAUCUUUGGUCGGUCGACCAGAUUUCACAAUAGUCCCGGUUGUAUUAAAAAUCGGGACUAUAAACAUCUUUAGUCCCGGUUUAAAAACUCCAGGGGUACUUUCCAAUCUUUAAGUACCGGUUGGUGUUACCAACCGGGACUAAAGAUUUAUUUGUAGUCCCGGUUGAUAACACCAACCGGGAAAAAAGAUCGCCAUACGCUUUACUCCCGGUUGGUAACCGGGACUAAAAAUCUAUUUGUAGUCCCGGUUGGUGUUACCAACCGGGAAAAAAGAUCAACGCAGAGAUCGGAGAGGCGUGCCGAUCGGAUCGAGGUAUCUCCUCCUCUCCUUUAACUCCUCUCUCCUCCUCUCCUCAACCUUAUCUGUUCCUCUCCUUAUCUAUUCCUCUCCUUCUCCUCUCCUUCUCCUCUCUACUGCAGUGGUGGGGCGAGGAUGCCAGGCCAGAGUGAAGCGGCGGGGCGAGGAUGCCAGGCCGGCGCGAGGGCAGCGGGGCGCGGAGGGCCGGCCGGCGCGGCGGCGGCGCGGCGCGCAGCGAGGCGGCGCCUACUUUGGCGGUUUUUUUUUUGGGAGAAUCUGAUAUUGUUGUGUGAUGUAUUUGAUUGGAUCUGAGAUUGUUGUGUGAUGUAUUUGAUUUGUAUGCGAUGUGGAUUUGUGAUGAAUUUUGUAGAAGUUGUGAUGUAAUUUUUUUAAGAUUUUGUGAUGUAUUUGAUAUGAUCGAUUUGUGUAUUUGGAGGCAAUUUGGGGAUGAUUGAUUAAUGAAAUCAUUGUCAUGAUUAAUAUUUGUGAUGAACAAUUGGUUGUGCAGAUGAUUUAAUCAAUGAAUUGGUUUGAGAGUUUAUGUGAAUGUUGGUGUGAGUGCGUGUGACUAAUGUGGGUCAGGUUGUGAUAUCUGUGCUCAGGAACGAUUGUUUUGUCUGAUUGUGUGCAGGUGACUUGAGGUCAGCCUUGGUCAAUAGUGAGAACCGGGACUAUGCUCAGGGAGGAGCAGAGGUCUAGUGCUGUCGAGGAAUGAUCCUCUCUAGCGGGUGACAGUGAGAUCCCCCUUUUGUGAGUUUGGCCGGGGGAAAAGGCACGCUUGACGAAAUCGUUUAUCCGCCCUGAGUGCUUCGAGAUCGUGCACGGGUGUCAAGAUUAUACAGGUUCGGGCCGCUAUGGAGCGUAAUACCCUACUCCUAUGGAUGGGAUUUAUGGUUGAGUGUUACAAAGGUUCCUAAACUCUGGAGAGCACUCUCGCUCUUCUUCUCCUAGGGUUUAGGCCUACUAGGAGUCGUCCCUUUUUCUCGAUGGGCAAGGUCCUCCUUUUAUAGUUCAAGGGGAUACUACAUGCACCGCUUCUACCUACUCUAUCACGAGAGGGGGACCCACUCUACUCAGACCGGACCACGAUCCAUGCCUUCGCCCAGAAGCUAAGCGGCCGUCCGUCCUCGAGUGGGACCCAGCACCACCUCCCGCCUGACACGGGGGACAGCCCUGUCAUUCCCUCUUAAAUGAACGAAGACUUGUGGCGGUCCUUCUCAUGUGGAGGGAGCUCCGGAUGAUGCCUUGAUGGGACGGGGCAUACCUGCCUCCACUCCGCCGGGUACAGGGGCGUACGUGGGGGCACGGCUGCCCGUCCGACCGGACGUGACCGGCGACGGGCUGGUCACAGUCUGGUCAUGCCUGAUUGACGUAGGUCAAUCAGGCCGCACCGCACGUCCGCCCUUACCGCAUUAAAUGCGGUGACAAACGGUUGGGGCGCCGCGCAUUGAUGGGGGUUCAGCCUGAGUCUCCUCCCCGCGCGCUCCCCUCGCCACAUGGCAGCUGGGCGAGGGCCUCGGGGCGAGGCAGCGCGAGGGCCCGAGGGACGUGACGUGGCACCCCGAGGCCCCCUGGCUGCCUUUGCGUCUUCCGAGGUGUGGGGGGAGGGCCAAGUUGUAGGGCCACGUGGCUAGAUUUGAAGGUAACUCCCCCGUACUUUGCAUACCCCCGGGCCCAUAUCACCGACAGUAGCCCCCGGCACCGCGUCGGACAUUGGCCCCCUGAGGGCGGUCUGGCGUGGUGCCUCAUGAGUUCCCGUGCUGUGGUUGUGGGUCCGGCGGGGAAUCUAGGCAGCCGCCGUCGGGUGGCCAGGCUGGCGCAUCAGCCAUAACGGCGAUUUGACCGCCACUAAGUGCGCCGUUCACUGGGGCACUUAGGGCGUGAAAGUCGGGGGGUCUGCCAGAUCACACCCAGAAUCGUCACCCAACGCCGCCUCAACUCCCCCGCCUGCUAGGCACGCGAAGGGACCGACGGCGGGCCCACCUAGCCACGCUCGUGAACACCACAUGUCCCGCGCCGAGUGCGCCACUAACAAACGCACUAACCGCGGGGCGCGGUUCAGUGGGGCGACGUGAUGAGUGGACGCAAGAAUCAAGGAGGCAACCGUAGGCGCAGGAAUCGAUGGGGCAACCGCAGGGGCGUGAAACGAGGAGGCGAGCGCGGACGAGGCGGGGAUAAAAGGGAAGGGAGGCGGAGAGUUCGUCUCCUUCCUCUCGCCGAUUGCACACCCGCAUACUCGCCCCUCAAGCCCUAGCGCUUCUCUCCCUCCAUCCUAUUCCGUACGCCAAACUCCUCGCCGUUUCCCGCCGGCCAUCAUGGCCCAAGAUGCUGGCGACGCCGUCCUCCCGGCAUCGCGCAUUACGGCGGAGAGGCACCUUAGCCUCAUCCGCAAGAUCAUCUGGAGGAUGCCGCCGUGAGGGUAGGGGAGACGCGGCCGUGGCCACGGUACCCAGAGCGAUCCGUGCACCUCCUGUCCUUCGCCAUGGUGGGGUUGAUCCUGCCAUUCUCCAAGUUCUUCCACGAGGUCUUGGAUUUCUACGAAAUUCAUGCCUUGCAUCUCGCCCCCAAUGCUAUGAUGACGCUGGCCAUCUUCGCGCACUUGUGCGAGAUGUUCGUCGGGGUGCGGCCGACGAUGCGGCUGUUCCAGUCCUUCCUCGUCCCACAGCUGCUGCAAGGCGCGGUGGGGGGAGGAUGCUACUUCCAGCCCCGGCAAGGCGUGGCGGGGCAGUACAUCGAUAGUCACCUCCGCAAGAAGUGGGAGGAUUGGAAGAAGGAUUGGUUCUACACCGCGCUGCCGGAUCGUCCACGACUUCGGCUCCCUACCGGCCCUCCCGAACGAUCAGCCGCGUGGUUGGCGGUUUCAGAGCUGGGCGAGGAGUACGACGCGGUGCGGGACCGCCUCAAGGGCCUGCAAAGCUAGGGCUUAACGGUGGCGAUGGUGUUCGGCGACUACUUCCGCCGUCGCAUCACGCCUCUCCAGGAGUAGUCCCGCGGCACGUGGGAGUACACCAGGUAUAACGAUCCCAUGUGCACCCACGUAGGUGAGCGCUGGGAUUGGGGCGAGGAGGACGCAAAGACGGUGGUUCGGCGGUGCUGGGUCUAGACACCGUCGAGCAAACGCUGAUUCCGGAUGGGAUCCUCCCCCUCUGCAGCGACCGCGACUGGGAGAAUAUCCUGGCUGUGAUGUCGGCCGUCGGUGCUGUAGGGGUCGGUCCCGUCGAGGCGCCGCCGAUGGUGGUGGUGGCGACGGUGUGGGUAGCAGCGGCGCCACCACGGGCGGCAGUCGGACCGGCGGCUCCGGCAGGGGUGGCGGCUCCAGGGCGCCCGGUCCGAGCCGUGGGCCCGGGGGAGAAUCGGCCGGCGACCCGAAGAAAACAAAUCUAACCAUCAAUUUUCAAUUAAAUUGGCAGACUUAUAAUUUCAUCAAUUUUCAUUUAAAUCAGUCGAGUUAUAAUUUAACAAUUGGAUUUAAAGACAUAAAUAUUUCAAACUGAUGAAGGCAUUAAAUAUACCUCAAUAAAAAUAAAAUCUCCUUACCAAAUAACAACGAAACAUUGAAAAACAUGAAAACGUAUAUUAUAUAUUCUUGAAUCGUUUUACAUAGUAAAGAUCGAUUAAGCGUGCUCUGUAGCACUCUCAAGUCACCACGUAUGAUAUUUUAAAACUUUGAAAAAAUUGAAAUUCAAAGAGAAAAUAAAGUAUAUAUCUAUCCAUCGGUUUCCACUUAAUUUGAUGACCCAUUAUUUUUAACUAUUAGAUUGCCUUUCUCUUUAUAAAAAAACUUAAGCCACCACAUGUCAUGUCUUAAAGAUCCUUAGAAUGAGAAAACAACAAAUCAUAGGUUCUCACUUAGAUUGUUUACGAAGAUUUUUUAUUAAAAAAAAAACAAUGUACCGUCCACCUCCCUCUCCAAUCAUAUUCACAUAACACCAUUGCACUGCGAACCCUUUCUCAUAUCUGAUUUGAGUUCUACGCUAUUCGUUUCUCUCCAGUCUCCUCCCUAUUUUCAGCUACAAAACUAUAGAGAGAAACAAAUAUUAAAAAGAGCAUAAUUUUAAGCUACACUGAUAAUUUUAUUUUAUAUAUCAUCUAAUCAAUUUUAGAUAAUGGUUUCUUUUUUAUAUAAAGUCACCACCUAUUACCCCAUAAAUCCUCCUAGGCCUUUUAAACCGAUAAGCCCAUUAUUUCCAACCAUUAGUUCUAUCUCAUCUUAAAAGACAAGCGUGUAUUCAUAAUACAUCAUCUAUCAAAAUAAUAUAUUGCACAACCAUAUUUCUUCAUCCAAUAUUAUUUGCGCUAGGUUGCAUGGAGUCUCACACACUCUCUACAUGGAACGUUCACAUAUGGGUUCUUUCUCAAAUUAAACAAUAAUAUAAACCCAUGCAUUUAGUAGAGCCUCAUAUCCCACCCAAUUCAUCCGUCAAUAAACAAUGACAACCUAUAUUCAAUUAAAAAACAUCUUACUUUUCAUUUUACACAUAAUUUUCUAUACAUGUUUUCUAACACAAAAUAUGUCUACCUACUUAGUAGAUGAUGAAGAAUAUUAUAAAUAAUUACUUGUAGGAAUUAAUUAAAUAUGAUAUGCUAUAAAGAUAACUAAUAGCUAGGUUAGACAAUUAUAAAAGCAAUGCUAAUGAAAACAAUUUAUGGAGAAAUCAUAUAUUGUAGAUGUUCAAACAUAGUGUACGACACAUGCCCGCGUGAAUACACGGGCUAUUUUCCUAGUUGAAUUAAAAAUGGCUACUCCUAUGUAAGAAUGUGCCCCUAUUUUGUAUGAAGUAUAUUAGCAAGAAUAUGAGCCUAGUGUAUGAAGUUUAGUUGACUUCAGAUUCAGUGGUGACUGCAACUUAAGAAUUGCACAUUUUUUUUGGUAUAUAUCCAUUUUGGUGGCGUUUUGGAUUUCUAGCUACAGUAACAACAUGAACAAAAAAAAGAACUGACCAAUGGCCAGUUAGAACUGUUUGCUCAAAAACCAGAAUGUACUACUACCCUACUUCCAACUGUCGGAGUAACUGCUAAUCGGCCACUCUUGCAUAUUGACUAUGAUGAUUUGCUUCUAGAACUGUGAAUGCAGCUCUGUGCCACAAUUUGUGCAGCUAUAUGAAAAUUCCAGAGAUUUCCCAAUCCUGUAAGCUAGUAAGCUGUAAAUUGUCAAAGGAAAAAAAAAGAUGGAAGUAUAUGAUGAUUCACCUAGCUAGCAAGGCCAUCGAGAUUUGUUAGAAGUUUUCUAUUCGUUUGCACAGUUUAUAUAUAUAUAUAAAAGCAGAUAUGAACCGAGGUUCAUCUGCACCCAGAAUCACUAAUGAAGAUGCGUGCUUUCUAAAUCGUUCCAAGAUGCGUGCUUUCUAAAUGGACCUUUCACUAAUGAAGAUUGUCUACACGAGAAAAUGUCAGGGAGGUACGUAAUGCAUGUGUUGCUCUGACAUGGGACAUGUACUUCCUGAGCAAAGAGAGAGAAAGGACAGAUGAGAGGUAGUUGACCACACAUCAUGUAGUAUUUACUCAUCAUUUGAAUAUUGUUUUUUUUCUCUUGUUAUCCAUGGAAAUUUAGUAUACAUGACCAUUUUGGAAAUAACACACGUGAUUUUUUUUUAAUUUCAAUACAUGUCAAGUUAUAUGUUAUCAUUUUGCGACAUCUUUUUUUUAGACAUGACUUUUCAAAAUGAUAUUUUCGUUGUAUUUCAUUUUCGGUGUCAACAAAUUGCAGUGUAUAUUAUUUUCUUUGUCAAUUAAUGAAAUUAUACUUUGUUAUGUAGCAUAUAUCUGUAAAAAUAAAAAUCAUGUAUUUUUUAUUUUAAUUUAUGCCAAAUGAUAUAUUAUUUUCACAAUGUCAUUCUUGGACAUCGGAUAUAUUGUAUUUGCGUGGUGAUUGGACAUUCAUCUUGAUAUAUCAUGUCCGAAUAAAACCAGAUAUAGAUUAAUUUCCGGACAUACAAAACAAGGUGGUCAGAUUAAUUAAAAAAAUCAACGUAUAUUUGAUGGCUAAUCACAUGGAGUAAUGUGAUUGUAGCCAAGAGAUCUAUUAAAACUACAUGUUCAUCUCUCUCUCUCUCUCUCUCAUUCUCUCUCACGGUCACAUUAGUGAAAAGACAUGAAUACAGUUGCAGACUAGUACUAGUACAUGGGUGGGUGAGAAAUGCAUGACUACAGCAUCAUUGUGUACCUGCCUAAAAUUUUCCCUAUAAGAGUUUGGGCUGGGUAGGUACAAGUUGUAGGAGCUUUGGUGAAAAUGAUGAUCAGCUACAACGAAAAGUAGACACGUGUCACAUGUGGGAUUGAGGUGCAGAUGCACCUAGGUUCAUAUUAUCCAACUCCUAUAUAUAUAUAUACAUAUACAUAUACAUAUAUAUAUAUAUAUGUAUAUAUAUUGAUAUCUUAUAGUCAUUACGGGUCUGUUCACUUUGAUGCUAAAAAAACCUUACUAAAUUUUGGCAUUGCCAAAAUUUUGGCAACUUGCCAAAAUUUUGGUAGGAUUUCUUAUAUAGUUACCAAAUUUUGGCAACAAACUAAAUGUAGCCACUUUUUUUGGCAACUUUACCAAAAUUUGGUAAGGUUGAAAAUGGCAUCAAAGUGAACAUGUCCUACGUACUAUAUGUAAUAUAGGUCAUUUUACAUUUGUUUUAAUGUCUAAGAAAAUUGUGGAUUAAGUAAUUGGGAUCCUCAGGCUAGCUAAUUUGUAUGACUCCGUCAAACGAAAAUGAAAAGGACUGUUUCGUAUGGUCGCUCCAUAAGAAUGGACAAUUUUCAGUCAAAUCUAUGUGAUUAUGAACUCUAAUGUUUGGAUAAAAAGAAUUAUAUGAGACUUAAAGGUUCCACUAAAGAUAAAGGUGUGUAUGUGGUUACUUCAUAAGAAAGUAAUUCUAAUGAAAUAAAACCUGGCCAAAAGAAAAGGGUGGGGGGAGGAAGAAACAUUGUUCUUUCUGUUAUCCACAAGAGAUAAUCCAACAUCUUUUCUUUGAGUAUUUUCAGGGUUACGGAUAAGGCAUACCUCCUAUCCUACGAUUUACCAAAUAUGCCGGAUUGGCAUAUCUCAUAUCCUACGAUAUGUUUCCGUAUGCGAUAAAGAAAUAUGCAAGGUAUUAUGGAAAAUAUCCUCACAGCAUGUAGAUUAUCAAAGUCCUACUAGGAGAGGAUAGAAAUUAUUCUAUAUCGUGCAGGGUUCGUUGUCUCCGAGUUCUACUUGAAGACUAAGGCAACUCAUGGUAUAAAAGGCACACUCCCGGAAGGGCUCGGGAUCAUCGAAUCAUAACGCCAACACACCCACCAUAGUUUACGAAGCCAAAGAACUCAAGCCGAAGUCGCCGGGAGAUCACGUUGAUCAAUCUCAACAAGGAUCUCGUCGGUAUCAUUGGAUUCAUCUAUACCCUUUGUACUAUGUGGUUUUCUAUAUUAAUCUCGUAUAAACUGGAUUAGGGCUAUUACAUCACGAGGGGCCUGAACCAGUAUAAUCCUUAUUUCUUGUCUGCUUUAAUAUCGUAUCGUUUAGAUCAUCGUACCAACGUACUCCACUACUCAAUUUAUCCAGUCUACGGGUAUCCACCGUUGACAAGUAUCAAGUUGCUCAGUUUGUUACAGAUGUGUAUUUUUUGUUUUUAAUAUCCCUCCACCCUGUAACGUCAAAAAUAUUUUUUGGUAAUUGGCUUAGAGGGGUACCUAGGUCCAUUAAAAAAUUGAUUCUAAUCGGAGCUAGUGUUGUAAGUUGGCCAAUUAUGAGUUGUCGUAAUGAUAAAGUUUUUAAUGCUAAAUAAUUGUCUAACCCUAUGCAGGUUAUCUUCAUGUCUUCCAAUUGGAUCCAUUUUUGGUCUACGAUGCUACCACAAGAGGAACAAGAUACCACGCGUAAUGGUGCUAUAUUUUUGCAAUCAGUAGCCAAGGGUCUCUUAUUUCACUAUGGGUGGCGUAGUUCCAUUAGAAUUGCUAGCUAAAAAUCUGUGUGGUUUAACGCUAGUUAAUAAUAAAGGGGGUUGGGGAAUUGUCCCAUCAUCUUAUUUCUCAUUUUGAUUUAUUUUUAUCUUUACCUUUUGUAUUAAACUUAUGACUUUGUGUGUUAUGACCGAAGCUGGAGAUGUAAUCCAUUUCCAUUAUCUAAAAAAUAAUUGGGAUGCCUCAUUCAUAAAACAUUGGUUAAAUAUUUGAAGUUAGCUAUUUGUCAAAAAUAUAUUUGAAGGUAUAAAAGUUUAUACGUACCAAACAUUCCAUCACCAAUCAUCUAAUGGACAAUGGUACGAAACAAUAAUUAAUCUGUAAACGUUGAACAAACCGGCAUACCAACACAAGCAGCAGUCGGAAUAUAUACAUAGUCUACAGAUAAUUAUCUAGUGCAAGCCGUUUUUUCCUGAGAUAAGUGGGUCCGUUUUGGUUCAGCAUCAAUCCCUUCGGCCUCACAUCAUCUUCAUCGUUGAUCUUCCCCGGCCACGUUUGGUCAUCCAUAUUUACACAGAUAUGGUCAGUUUUUUUUUCUAAUAGAUAUGAUGAUCCAAUUUCUUGUUUGAUUGGGUGGAUAAGAAUGGAUUGAACAUAUUAAUUAAUAAUAAAAUAUAUUAAUUAUCAUUAAUAUAGUCAUAGUUUAUACUAAUUAACAACAAAAUAGACUAAUUAUAUCUUAUCAAUACUAUUUUUGACAAGUUAAUUACCAAUUAACAACAAAAUAUAUUAAUUAUUGUAAAUAAUUACUAAUGAUAGAGAUUAGCAAAGGUGGAUAUCCUCAUUCAGAAAUUUAACCGGAGCAUUCAUCUAGCAUCUUCGUGGAAUGCUUCCUCUCCGGAGCACCCUAUCGAUCCUUACCCACCAAGUAGACACGUAAAAAAAACCGAAUCGGCAUAACCAUACAGUGAAGGCUGUUGACUUCUUUCCAUGGUGCAAGUGAACGUCCUGGUGCUUCCCAGGCCUAAUUAACAUGAUGCUAGCCAUGCCAAAGAGAAGCAUUAUAUUAGCAUACUAUAUAGAUGUAGGUUCACAGUGCCAUUUUUCAGAUCGGUUAGCCUGGUGUGGUAUUUAUGCUUGCCCCAAACCUCAAGCUGUCUGCUUUAAUAAAAUAAAUUGACUGGAAGGAUUGAUUUUAGAAUGGAAGUUCUGGUAUGAAACCCUCAGCAUCACUAAUAUAAAAAAGCACAUACAUAUUGGCACUAUAGGCACCGGAACAGCUAAAACUAGCACCUAUAGUGUUUUGCCCACCUCCACAGGCUGAAAAUACAAAAAAAAAAUCCAUCACCUUUAAGUGAAUAUAGGUGCCGGUUUAAUAUAAAAACCAAUACCUAUACUAUAAGUGCUAUUUUUUUAAAAAAAACCGACAAUUAUAAUAUAUUAAAAACCGCCAGCUAUAAUAUAUUAUCGGUGCCGGUAUUUAAAAAAAACGCACCUAUCAAACGAGCCGAGCCAAGAGAGAGCCGCGUGCGAGUGGAUAAAGGCACGCGUGGGAGGUGACGGGGGGCGACCUUAUCAUUCGCUGCCCUACUCUCACCCGUCUCUCUCCCCCUCUCACUCAGUCACCCCUUUCCUCCCCUCGUGGUGGUAAUGGUGUCAGCAGCUCCUGCGGGCCGGAUUCGGCGUUCCUCAGCCCCCUCCCGCAGAUCCAUCGGUGGCGGUGGCAUUUCCGAUGGGUGGAUCCAGUGAAGGCAGUAGCAGUGGUGUCGGCGGCUCCCGCUAGCGGAUCUUGCGGAGUUGGUGGCGGUGGCGUUUUCGGCAGGUUGAUCCGGCGGAGGCGACAGUGGUGGCGUUUUCGACGAGUGAAUCUGGCGGUCGUCUACCCCCUCCUCCUCAUCCACCGCGCCCAAGCUUCUCCUUCGGCAGCGUUCCCGUGGGCCGGAUCCGGUGUUGCUCAACCCCCUCCCGCAGAUCCGUCCGUGGUGGUGGCAUUUCCGGUGGGUGGUGGAUCUGGUGAAGGCAAUGGCAGUGGCGUCGGUAGCUCCCGCUAGCGGAUCUUGCGGAGUUGGCGGCGGUGGCGUUUCCGACGGGCAGAUCCGGCGGAGGCGAUAGUGGUGGCGUUUUCGGCGACUGAAUCUGGCGGUUCUCUACCCCCUCCUCCUCAUCCUCCGCGCCCAAGCUUCUACCGCAGCAGCGGCGGUUGCAUCGGCGCUCCCAUGGGCAUAUCCUGCGGAGGAGGCGGCGACGGCGUUUCCGGCGAGCAGAUCUAGUGAUCUCCCCCUUCGCCCCAACCUUCUCCCGCAGAUCUGGCGAUGGCGACGACUUCUCCGUUGGAUCUAACGGCGGCGGCGGCGACCCGCGGACGGAUCCGGUAGAUUUCUUGUUUGUGUUGUUUGUAUUGUUCUGUUUAUGCGAUGAUGAUGUCGUGAUUGAUUUUGGGGGCGAAGCGGGGGAACUCGCGCUUGAUGAAUCGGCUAGAUUCCAAACAGUCCAUCACCAAUCAUCUAAUGGACAAUGGUCCAAAACGUUGAACAAACCUGAAUAAUAGCACAAGAGCCAGAAUAUAUACAUAUACUGCUGAUAAUUAUAAAGUGCAAGCCGUUUUUUUCCAGAAAUAAGUGGUAUUAAUUCGUUUUGGUUCAGUAUCAAUCCCUUCGGCCUCGCUUCAUCUUCAUGGUUGAUCUUCCCCCCGGCCACGUAUCGAUCUAGUGAAAUGCUCCUAGUGUUUCCCUGGCCUAAUUAGCAUGAUGCUAGCCAAGCCAAAUUAAAUGAAAAAAGCAUUAUAUUUGCAUACUAGAUGUCGGCUCGCAGUGCCAUUUUUCUGACAGAUUAGCCUGUUGUGGUAUUUAUCCUUCGACCAAAUCUCAAGCUAUCUGCUUUAAUAAAAUAAAUUGACUACAAGGUUUGAUUUAAGAAUGGAAAUUCUGGUAUAUACGAAAUCCCCCAGCACGCUUGGAAUUCUAGUUUUUUGGAAAUCACCAAAGAGUCUGAUGGAUAUGAGAACUUUGCCUAGGAGUUGCAAAAUUUCAGUGUAAACAAUACUUUGUAGAUGCAUGCCAAACCACUUACUCUGGCAACUCUGAUAUACACAUCAAUAUGAAUGAAUGUUUGUUGUUUUUAAUAGGAAUGGUCCAGCGUGAAUCCUGAAACAACACCAAACUCACUGCGAACAAGUGAAGAAUGCAACUUCCGUAAUGCACUAUGUGGGAGUAGCUACACCCGGAUUCCCAAUGCCUCUUAAGCCUAAACUAGUUAAGUUAAGCAUGUGUACGUAUCUGAAGAUGUUUAUACACAAGGCAGCACAUGCAUGUUGGAAGGGUUUUCAAUAUGAUAAAUAUUAGAAUACGAGUUAAAGUAUCUUCAGCUUUUGGCUGAGCACUAGCCUUGGCCUAUUUAUAUAGUCCAUGAAUGGCUUGUACUUCUAUGGUCCAACACUAGUUUAAUAUCUGUAUUUCUUAAUUGCAAGCUCUCGUGACAUCAGCAUACCAGAUUUUUAAGUUAAUCCGGUAAUCUUAAUCUAGUUAUAGUAUCUAGAGAACUAAACAUAUUGGUAAAUGAGAGAGACGAUGUCCUUGGUGUAUAGCUUAUUUGAAAUGCAGAGAAACUCAUGUAUAUAUAUAGUGAAAGGCCCUCGAACUUUUGGAGAAGUUGGUUGUUUGUUUACACCACUUAUUAUCAUAUAUGCUGCAAUAAAUAAUAGAGAAGGGUCUUUACAAGCCCAUGGAUUGCAUUGCAUGACACAUAUCAUAGGAAGAACAGAGUAUUUUUCAUAGAAUCUUGAGAUGUUUGAGAACAUAGCUAUGAUGUGAUGAUUUGCUGCCCUGUUUAAUAUGCUUAAAUCCUGAGGUGAUAAUACAUUAUUUGCUCUGCUUAAUAGUUACAAUAGGUUGUCAUAUCUGAAUUAGCGCAUAUCUUUUUGACUCGAUUUCAGAGGUAGGUGGUGGACAUAUGGAGUCCUUCACUCCAUCUGCUCUAGUUCAAAUCGAUCGUGGUGUCUAUAGUUGUUGACACGUAACCACUUUUUUUUUUUGCGUGUGUGCAUAAAAAAGUUAAAAAGGUACACGUAUGAUUACGGAAGUUGGUUGAAUUUAUUGGAUAACAUUCACUUAUAAUCCCUCCAUCCUAUAUUAUAAGGGAUAUGACACAUUCUAGGACAUCUAGAUUCGUUGUCUUAAAAUGUAUCAUAUCCCUCUAAAAUUUCUUAUAUUAUAGGACGGAGAGAGUACAACAUUGGAGAUGUUGUAGCGAUGAAAUCGUCACCAACUAUCAAUCAUCAAUUUUGAAACGGUGUGCUGCACAUUCCCCUCUUCCAUCACAUUAUUUAUCUUUGUUGUUACUGUUGGCAACUUUUUGUGAGAAGUCGACAAGCACGAUCGCAGCACCUAAACACCUUACGGGGAUAUGGAGUCGGCAACUACCCCGAUCUAGCCAAACAACCAAAUCAAGAUGGGUUUUGUAAAAAGAAAGCUAAACCGGCUAGCGAAGCCGAUUUAGAGAUCAAAAUCAGCCUCUAGGCCGAUUUAAAUCAAUAUGAGGAUAACUAUCCAUCUUGUGGGCAAACGGAAGGUUUUUAGGACAAACCUAAUUUUUUGAGUGCGGCACCUCUUUGUGGGCAAACGGUGCAAAUCGAUAAAGAUGAACCAAAAUUAGGGUAAAGUAGAAAACAUGGCUAAAAGUAAAGUAAAAGAACGAUUCUAUUGAUUGUGUGUUUGUCAGGUAACAAUUGAACCGGCCUUGUUCCUUAUAUAGGGGUUGGUCUUGCCCUCUAUAAGCCCUUCUCCAUGUCCAACUCGGGAUAGAAACCAAUGGAAAUCCGAAACAUACCUUCCCAAGUAAGGAAACCAGAGACCCGAUGAAAAUGGAGUCUGACUCGGACUCUGCCAAUUAGACCGGCAAUGCCAUUGAGUUUAUUGCAUGUCUAAGAUUUGCCACUGACUUUGUCACAUUAUAUAAUAUACCAUCGACUUUUGCUUAACUUUUAUGAUUUACCAUUACUGUCCGGUUAGCCUCCAUUAGUACUGUACAAUUUUGUUCUAAUGACCAAAAUACCUCCAGGACAAAAACUUGCAAAAUGUAGACAAAAAUUCUAAAAUAUCAGAUUUUAAGUUUUUGGCCAAAUUUUGGAUGUUUACAAUAUGAUAUUUCAAAAUUUUUUUCCAAAUUUUGGAAGUAUUUGUUAUAGGGGUAUUUUGGUCAUUGGAUAAAAUUAUACAUUUCUCACGAAGGAUAACCGGACGGUGAUGGUAAGUCGUAGAAGUUAAGGAAAAGUCGAUGGCAUAUUGUAGAACGUGACAAAGUCAAUAGCAAACUGUAGACCUGUGACAAACACAGUGGUAUAUAAUGUAUUCUCUCGUAAGGUAAACGAUGUACCAAUAUGCUUAAUGCUUAUAGUUUUAGGUCAUAGUAUAGUCAAUUCAACUAUUUGUUUUUAGAAAAUGAAAAAAAAGUGUAGAUGUGACUUUACAAAUUUUUUGACAAGCUAAAAUAAGUGAAAUGGAUUACAUUGGUUUGGACAUAAGUAUGUACUAAAACUUUGGAAAAUCAAACAGAUGCAAUCAUCUUAAUGAAAGUUGACCAAAUAUACUUUUUUCCAUAUAUCUUAUAUAAAUGACAUAUAUUCCAAACAAUGCUCACAUACAGCUCCGCAGCAAUAUUUUGGAAGGACACAUGUAUGCCUUAUGUUGCCAUCGGCCUAUUACAACAAAAUAACCAAAAAUAAUAAUUAUUUGCUCACUCAAACAUGACACGAUCUCUUUUAAGAGAGGAUUAUUUAGAUGUUCAUAUUUCGCAUGUGACCCAACAAGAGUACACAUGUCUGUUACUUAGAGUUGGAUUCCACUCUUGUACUCAGAGCCAGCUGUAAAGCUUCCAGGGAUGACAUCGUCGACGACACGGUAGCCGCCAUUCUUGACAAGGAAGCGGACAGAGAAGGGGCCCUUGAGCGGCGACUCACUUUUGAGCGUCCAGGUGUUAGACGACGACUCCUUGAGCGCCACCCAGUCCUUGCCGCCCUUCUCCUUGACCUCCACCUCAGAGAUGGCAACAUUAGUGACAAGCUCUAGACUUUUGGCGCUAGAGCCCUCAGCGACCUUGAAGGUGAGCUCAGUGGCACAGGAGCCAACAACCAACAGUGCCGCCACCGCCACGGCGAGCCGGAAAGAGGACAAAGAGGCCAUUGGCUAGCUAGUUUGUUUGUUGGUGUAAUCUUCCUUUUUUCUUGACUGGAAGAGGGAUUGGUCGAUAUGUUUGGUGAUCUAUGUUGCAGAUGGGUGCGUAUUUAUGGUGGAGGGAGGGUAAGAAAACUAGGCAUAGAUGCACGGUGCAGCAUGGAGAUCGUUGGUAGACUUUUUCGUCGAGGGGCUCUUAUACAGUUGCUAUAAAUAGAUGCUAGUUGGGUGGUCCUGGUUGUUUCGCUAGCCUACGGCAUGCAGGCCUCCCAAAAAUUAGCUAUGUGAUCCCAUCUCUUCUCUACUUUUUUUUAGCUUAGAACAAUGAGAAUUAAUCACCUCCAGAUGUUCUGUUCAUGAAGGAUGUGGACCCAUGCAUGAAGUUGAUGGAUGUAUUGACGGCAUACUUUUAUGGGUCAUUAGAUUUGGAAUUUUAUACGAGAGUCCCUAAAGGACACAAGAUCACAAAUUCAAAAGGAAACUGCAACAUGUAUAGUGUGCACAUGCAGCGAUCAUGGUAUGGAUUGAAACAAUCCGGAAGGUUGUGGUUCAAAGAGUUAAGUAGAUAUCUCUAGAAGAGAGGUUAUUCAAACAAUUAUGAUUGUCCACAUGUGUUUUCAAAGAAAUCCCUGAAUGGAUUUUGUAUAUCAUCUCGGUCUAUGUCUAUGAUCUAAAUAUCAUUGCCACCAUAGAGGACAUUAAAUAAAAGACAAUGUCGAUGGCAAAUCGCUGAACUCAAACAAAAUCAGCAGUAUAGAAUAGAUUCUCUCCUAAAUAAGCAAUGGCUUGUCUUAAUAUCGAGCUUGAUUGAAGGACUUGGGGAAAACCAAGUUUUGCUUGGGCCAGCAGCUCGAGCACCUCCAUGGAGGAGUAUUUAUGCACCGAUCUCCCUACACAAAGACAGUCCUUGGUAACUUCAAUAUGAACAAAUGCCAUUCUUUUAAAACCCCCAUGGUAGUUCGAUCCAUAGAAGCUUAUAAGGACACAUUAAAACCCAAGGAAGAUAAUGAGGAAAUAAUGGGACCCAAAAUUCCCUACUUAAACGCCAUUGGAGCACUAAUGUAUUUAGCCAAUUGCAAAAGACUUGAUAUUGUUUUUGUGGUUCAUCAGUUGGCUAGCUGAUGAGGACACAACUCGCUCGGAUAUAACCAUGACUACCUUAUGUAUUAUUCCACCGAAGGUGCAUAUGUUCUAUAUUAGAUUUACUUGUUAUAUAUUCGAAUAAACGUUGCUACACAAUGAGUUUUGUGUGUAUUCGUUUGCAGAGAUACUAGCUUGGGCGAAAGAAAAGAAACCAAGUCGACUUCGAGUGUAACUCGGAGUCCAGGACCAGUCUCGAUUACAGUCACCACUUAUACAAAGAAUUUCUAAUAAUCUUACAGUAAUAAGUGAUUCGGACUCUUGUAUUUUUCAUAUGAAUGUAUUAUAAUUAAAUAUCCUCCUUAAUGCGAAAUGGUACGACAUCCAUACAGUGCAUACAACUACUAAAAGUUCUAGGGUGGAGAACAGACCCAAACAAGGGAGAAGCUGCUAGUACAUACAUAUUAGCCGGUAAGACUUCACUCACUUAAUGUAUUCCAAUUAUUUCACUAAUUGCAAAAUUUAACUAUUUUCUUCUAUGAUAUGUCGUGAAGUAUCACAAGCAACCUAGAGGCAUUGUCCUCUGCAGGUAUUAUGCGUGCGAAUUCCUCAGGGUUAAUGGGAGGUACAGGGUUAACGCAGAGGAUGUAAAUCUCUAGACUAUGGACUAGACAGCUUCACAUAUUUAUAAUACUAAUAUAUUAUUUUUCUUCAAUGCAUGUGACGGAGCGUGGGGCUCCUCACCGGGAGACCGCGCAGGUCCCCCUUUGCCGGUUCGGCCGGGGGCGCUAAGUGAGGUUCUUCGCCCUCGAUCUGAGGAACGUCAGAGAGAGAGGAAAUGCGCAAGACACGGGCGAUGUAGACAGGUUCGGGCCGCUGAGAAGCGUAACAUCCUACUCCUGUGUUCUGGUGGAUCUGUGUGUGAAGGAAUACAGAGAGGCGGAGAGCGAGAGAGAGUUCAGGCUCUAGAAACCAUUCGCCAGAGUCCCAACUUCCCUCCUCUCCUUUUUUUUUUCUUCUCCUUCCUUUCUCUCUAGGCCUGGGCCUCCUUUUAUCUGGUCAGGGGUCACCACAUGGGCCUCUAGAUGCCUAAGAAGGGAAACAUGCUUUUUACAAUGAGGGCUAAUCUACAGCCGGAAGUGACCUCUGACAAGCAGAGCGCACGCCUCCUGCCCCGCUCGCCCGCUUUUCCGGUGGACGCCCAUUUCAACCUUCAUUUAAUGGUCAGCGACUUCCCUGCCAUACUUGCGCUGAAGCCUGGAAUGGAUCUGACCGGGACUGACAUACCAACUCCUGGAGUUGGCACGCCGGCUCCGGCUAGGGACGAGAGCCAGGAAGCUCUCAUCAUUCCGACGGGACGGGGCGAGGCGUGUGACAGGCCGCCUGUUGCCACCUAACCCGCGAUCUGACCGGUCUGUGACCGGUCACUCACCGCGACCGGUCACGGACCGGAUAAGCGUGCGCUGCGCCGCAUUAAAUGCGGCGUGGCGCGCUCGUCCAACCUGCUAUAAAUGCGGUUAGGUGAGCCCGCUGUGCUCACCUAACCCACACACGUGGCGCCAAAACCACAGGGGGUCGGGGCGCCCCAGCCCUCAGGGCCGAAACGGGAGCGGCCCGACCCCUCGGGGAGACAGAGGGAGGGAUGGCCACGUCGCCCUCGGGCCCGACCCCCCCGAGGGGGUCCGGCCACGUGGGUGACCGCGGCUACCCAAGCCUCUAGUCACGAUACCCCCGGCCCCAUGUCACCGACAGCAUGCAGUUGCCAAGAAUAGAACUUCGAACAAGCUUUGACGAUACAGGCAUCACAAAUGUCCAGCGCGAUCUGUGCAACUUCAUCCACCGUGAGUGCUGUCAUGUGCGAGGAGAAUUCUUCAACCCAGAGGGUGCCCGAGCUACAAGUGACGAAUUCAAGCAACUUCAGGAGUGGAACACUGCUAUGCCAUAAUGUAGCUAGAUGGCGUAUUUUAAGUGACAAUGCAAAAAAAUAUUGUAAUAUAUAUAUUUUGACAACACUUUUCACUUAUGCAAUAUAUGUAGAUUUCUAAGUACCAUAUGUUUGAUAAUUACUAAUAAUCUUCCUGCAUCAAUUUCUAUUAAAUAAUUAAAAAGUAAUUUAUGGACAAAUUAUUAUUGUAUCAAAAUUUAAAAUUUUCUACCUAUCUUCGCAGGCGGAAGUUUUUUUUUUUGCAGGCGGCCACUUCCUAUUUUCGCAGACGGACCUGACUAGCUAACAUCCGCCUGCAAAAAUUGUCUUCGCAAGCGGACAGCCGUCCUGCCUACGAAGAUCGGCGAUCUUCAUAGUCGUUUGCUUACAGGCAGAUGGCCGGCCCUCCUGCGAAGACCGGUUUCCACCGCUGGCGAUAAUGCUUUUUCUAGUAGUGACUCAUUUUGAGUGAUUUCGUGUAAUAAUUGGCUGUAGCUCGUUUGAGCAAAAGCCGGGAUGGAUUGCUAUUCCAUUAUCUAAAAAAGAAUGCAUGUAUUGCACUGAAUGACACAUUUCUUGGAAAGAACAGAGUUUGUGUGCUACAACCUCGAGAUGUUGGAGAACUUGACCCUUGCCUGCUAAUUAGCCUUUAUGCUCAAGAGCAGCGAAUCUCUGCCCUCUAAUUUAGAUCUAACAGUGACUUAUAAACUGUUAGUCAAACUAGUUCCACUUUUGGUUGACCUAUAGAAAUCGACACUUUGAUCACCGUCGGUUCUAAUUCAGGCGACACUCAUAAAUUCUUCUAGGGUCAAAUAGUUAAACGGGAGCGUGCUUAUGGUCAUGGUUUUGUGUUCUUGGGAUAUGUUUUUUUUAACAACAUGCAUGAGGUAGUGUGAUGUUUUGUAUUGAUAGAGUAGAAAAAAAAUUACAAGACUAGGGAGGUUAUAGCCUAAAAAAGAAAAAAAAUAACCACAUCACACAUCUAUAACCAAAUCCUACAUGCUUCAUAUAUUCUCGAAAAUACUUCAUGCUUGAGCAAUAUUAUUAACAAUGGAGAAGAUCUACCGAUCAAAUAAUCACCAAUUAUAUCAAACAUCCAUUUGAAAUAAAAAUGAUUUAUCUGGCCGCAUGGCCACAUUCCUCACUUCCAUCACAUGGUUUAUCUUUGGAGAGCUUUUGCCAUGUUUGCCUUUAAAAGGAGUAAAAAUCCAACGCUCCAUAAUAAAAAGGUACCACUUAAAAGGUAGGUACGACCUAGCUAGUAAGGGUAAAAAGAGAAUUUUCCUAGGAGAAAGAGUAUGGUAAAAUUGUCUUUAGUUCUAGAGAAAAUUUCCUAUAUACCCCUGAAAAUUUACUCAAUCCCUUCGAUACCCCUAAAUUUGACAUCAUCCCUUAUAUACCCCUGAGUUUUCAUUUUGAUCUCCUCUAUACCUAUCUCCGUUAGUUGACCAUUAGUUGACCGUUAAAUAUUUUAAAAUGACUAUAUUACCCAUCCGAUACAUAUGUGGUACCUACCCAAUAAAUUUUCAUAUGAAAAAAAUUAACUUAUACAAAAUACAAGCAAUAUAAUCAUUUAAUGCUCAACUUAAAAAAUAAAACUUAUUAUUUUUUAUUUUUUAAAAAUUAUGAUUAAAUCCAUACAUUAGUUUCACUAGAAAAUUAAGAGCAAAAACUAAAUGUUAUUUAGGUUUAAAUUUUUGGGAAGAUAUACGAAAUUCAUCAAAUUUGAUCUGAAAUUUAUUUAAAAAUUUUUAAAUUUGUUUUCUAAUUUGUGAUAAACUAAUUACAUCCCCUUUGUUUUUUCACAACGAAUCUUUUUUCACUAAAUAUUUGUUGAAAAGUAAUUUUCAAAUUUUAUGCAGAACUUUUUUUACAAUAAAUCUUUUUUAUUUUAAUGAAAUAAUGUUUUAUUUUUAAAUAUUCAUAACAAAUAUUUAGUAAUUUAUUCCUUAUUGGUUUUCACAACUCAAAUAAUUUACACAUAAAACCUAGCUUUUAACAAUAUACCAAGGACAAUAAAGUAACUUCUACAAUAACUAAUAGUCAACUAACGAAAUGGGUAUGUAAGGGAUCCAAAUAAAAACUCAGCGAUAUAUAAGAGAUCAAACAAAUUUUAGGGGCGUAGAAGGAAUUGGGUGAAAUCACAUGGGCAUGUAGGGAAUUGGCCCGCCGAUAAGCACGUAGGUACCACAUCGGUACCUUAUUUUCUACUUGUCAUUUUUUAUCAUUUACAUUUUUCUUCUUAAGUACAUGUUCGCUCAGUGAACCUCCAUUAAGUGAUUUACAUGCUUUGUAGAAUUCAUUAAUUAACAAAAAAAUUACAUGUUUUAGGAAUUAAAUAACUUAUUCUAUAAUACCAUGCACCUAGAUUUAAAUAUUGAUCCAAAAUUAAUAAUCUUCCUGAUUUACCUCAUGUUUGGCCGAUGCGCUUCCCCUUGCCAUUGUCGAGCUGAUCUCAUCUCCUGUUCAAUUCUCAACCAUUCCAACGCUUCUCCCUCUUUUUUUUUCCUGGUGAACCGCAAUUCAUACCCUAGAACGAGAAUGAAGCGAUGUGGAAGAAGAGAAAGAAGACACAACCUGAUCUUUUUUCCCGUGUAGUUCUAAUCGAUGCCUAAAUCAAUACCUCAGAAUAUUUACAUUUUAAGUAUUUGAGUCAACGAUAAUCCGAAUAUUUCACUAGCUAGUUAAUUACUCUACUGCCAUUUGUUACAAUAUCUUUUAUUCCAUAGCUUACCCCUCUCUUGAUUAAUGGUCCAUUGCUCCAUCUCUCUAAAUACCUCGCAAACACUGUAAAACCUCUCUUAUAUUUGGUACAAAAUGAUCUGUACGCGAUCAACAAUGGGACACAAAGAUACAAGAGGCACGAAUAAAGAAGAAAUAUAGAUUUCUGCAAUGAAAUCAAUAAGCUUAAUUUUGAUACCCAGGCUCCUGACAUUUUCGCUAAAUGGUGUAUUCUUAUUUACAAAUUUUCAGCUCUGUGACGCAGUCACACACUCAUGCCAUUUGUCCCAUCACCAUCACAGAAACAUUCAGCACCUUGCAAUAGACUGCAAUCUGCCACCUAAGAUGGUGGUAAAACAACUUAGAUCAGUCUGUCUUCUACAUGAUACAUGGAUAGCAAGGUCAGCAAAAGAACAAAACACAAAUCGUAAGGGUAAAAACAUGGUGAAAUUCCGAACACCUCCCACUCUUAGACCGGGUUGUCAGAUUCUCAGAGACUGGUAAGAUCAGUGUCAUUCCCCAGGCUACAAGCCUACAACUGUGAAUGGCCUUUCUCACGAUUACCAUUUGGCAGCUGCUGCUAUGUACAAAGCAAUCCCAGCAGCAAAUAUGACUGACUAUUUAUGCAUCCUUUAGUUCCUUUUCAAGUACUUCUCGCAUUGUCUUUGCGGCAAUUUUCAGGUAGCAAUAUGGAUGUGCAGAUACUGUCCUGGGUUUUGCACAGGAUAUCAGUUAUUAUUAUUUCUCAUUGUGAAAACAUCUUGUAACCAUUGUGUGAAUUGUCGGUACACACACACCAGUCCAAUAGCUAACAAGAUGCCAAAGAGCCAAGUAACAUCUCAACAAUGUGUACUAUUGAAUCACAACAACUAAGCCAACCAGAGGGGGUGAAUGGUUGUUAUACCCAAAAACCGAAAACUUUUAGCGGAAAUAAAAGUUACCCUCAAAUUCGACGGAUCGUGGUCUGACCGAAGUAAUUGCGCCAGUCUGACCGCCUGGUUGCCGUCGGUCUGACCGAGAUUGAAUCUACGGUCUGAGCGCCGAGAUCAGCUCCUGUUGCCGAUACCGGUCUGACCGCCGCGAUGCCGCCGGUCUGACCGCCGAUGUGUCGCCGGUUAGACCGUCGAAACCCGGUGAAACACAAAUCGAAGAACUCUUAAAGUGGAUGACAACUUUAUUGAUUCUCUCUGUGUUUACAAAGUGCACCAACAGCACUCCUUACAAAAAUUUCGACUAAACUCGAAACCCUAACUCAACUCUCAACUCAAUUGCUCUCAAAAAACGAUACCGGGAACCCUCACGCUCCCCCUCUAUUUAUAUCCGAGGUAGGCAGCCUAAAGCCAGGAACCAAACUCAUAUUAGAAGUCCUAAACACCUUAGGAAACCCUCUAGUACAAGAAACAAACUUUACAUAACCACUCAUACCAAAUUUGGACUCAUUCCAAAUUCGACUCCGCAUCCCAUACGCACACAAUACCUCCAUCGUAUGCCAUAUGGAAUCUUCACCAACCACGUGCAUCAACUCUAGCAUAGGUAUCCCACAUGAUCUCUAACCACCACGGACGUCGUCUUAUCCCCAAGCCCACUCCCGGUCCAUCACCGCAAUUACUCUCCCGAGGCAUCAAGUCACCUACACAUGAAAUAAACAAAGAAACCAUAUUCCGAGACCAAGCUAUCUCCAACUUGACUCAUUAGUAGCAAACAACAGUAUUACAUACGUAUAGUAUCCAUCUAGAAACCAUAAUCACGAAACAAUCACGGAUAUCCAAACAAACAACGCGAAACCGAAACCGACACAGCGUCAGCCGGUCAGACCGUGGGCUGCGCCGGUCUGACCGCGCGAUACACGCCGGUCUAACCGGCAACCCAUGUCCGGUCUGACCGGUCCCAAAACAGCAGCACCUGUAUAUCACCUGUGAAAUCCAAUCUUCUCCAAAACCACUUCGUAAAUAAAUUCCAAAUAUCAAAACCAAUAAUCUCCAAUGCCAAUUGUUCAUCACAGAAUAAUAAUCAAAAACACCUUUAAUUUUACAAACAAAUGUGUCAUGGUCUCAUGGAUCACAGUAAAAUAAUGUAAAUUGUCAUAGAAAGUAAAACCACCUUGUCCUACUGAGUCCAACUGAGAGAUCAUUGCUCAAGCAUGAUAGCUCCACGUGGCGGUUUUUUAGCUAGAAAACGAGUCAUAGGGCCACCAUUUUCUAUUGCCAUUACUUUCAAAUUAUUGACCUGUAAAAACUUUUAGCGAUUAACUUUGCCAAUAUUUUCAAUUUCCAGAACUCUCCGUUUCGAAUGAUAAUAUGCGGCACUCAAAGGAGAAAUAUAGCUGUAAUUGAAUGGUGACAAAUGUCUAUGUUUGGCAGCUAGUUAGAACCACCAAGAAUAUAUUUAAAUUUGGCGGCUGUUUUUUUGACCGUCAAAGAAAUCAUUUGGCCGCUAAGAAAAUUUACUGAUUCUUCAUUCUUGUAGUGAACUGGUACUCACAACAACUUUAAUCUAUCCACAGUUGUAUGAAAAUAACUUGCUUGACAGAUGGCAUAAUGCGCGAACAAGAAUUAAACAACAAUAAUUAUGCGACGGCUUAAAGCAACUGUAAUAGAAGUGGCCAGUAUACUUCUACUUUUAUCCGUAUCAUCAUACUUUAUUUUAUUGGUUUACUCAGAAUUUAUCUUACCUUUUUCUCUGUACUUUUAUUAGAAAUUACAGAGAGCCUACUGCACGAGGGAAAGUUCAUCCAGUUAUCACAUCUCCUCCAACUUUUCACCUCUAUCUCAAUGGAGUUCCAAGCAGCCACCCCAAGUUUUACUGCAUAUGUUCAUAGCAGGCUGUUGACAUCUUGCAUGGAGCUAUGCUAGGAUUUCAGAUUCCAUGGAUGGAUAUACUACUAUGUAAGAAUAUGUGUAUGAAAUUUAUUAGCGAGGAGCAAAGUUUCGAAUUCAGAUCAGGUGCAACUAGCGAGGAGCAAAUUUUGAUUCAACGUAAUGCCAAUAUUUCAGUAGUUAAUUACUCUACUGCCAUUGGUUACAAUAUUUUUUCUUGCAUACCUUUUUUCUCUCUUGAUCAAUGGUCCACAUUGCCCCACCUCUCGAUAACUCUAAAUAGCUCGUAAACACUGUAAAACCUCGCAUAUCUUACGUACAAAAAGAUACACGAGGCAAGAAUAAAGAAGGAAUAUAAUCAAAGAGGUAAAUUUUGAUACCCGGGCUCCUAACAUUUUCGCUAAAUGGUGCAUUCUUAUUUACCAAUUUUCACACAGUCACACACUAACACGCAGGACCUUGCAAUAGACUGCAAUCUGCCAGCUAAGAUGUUGGUCAAAUGUCACGCCCGGAAAUUUCCCCCUUUUCCUUGCUUUAAAAAAAUGGUUAAAUAAAUUACGCGAAGAAAUGGUUUGAAUUAACCUAGAGCUAAUUUCCUAUCUAAUGAAUGCAAUUAAUAAUUGGAAAUGGCAUUGUGGAAUUUUUCUUAGGUUCCCCAUGCUCCAAUACAUUAACAAGAUUUUUAAUGGAAUUUUCAGAGCCUUAAAAUUAAUUUUAACCAAUUAAAAAUGAGCAAGUGCAAUUUUAAAUCUCAGGAAAAAUCCUUUCUUCUUUUUCUUUUUCUUUUUCCUCCUUUUUCCUCUUCUUGGGCCAUCGGCCCACCUUCCUCCUCCCGCGCGCCCCUUGAUGGGCCGGCCCGCUCCUCUCUUCCCCUCCCCGAAGUCCUCCCUCACUCCCUGGGUGACGUCAGCCGUUGCAAGAGCCGUCGCCUCGCCGCGCAAUCACCGCCGCUAGCUUCGCCGCUAUGAGAGCUACCUCGGCCGCCGCUUGCUUUCCGUUCGCCACCGUCGUACCGCUCUCCCCACGCGCCGCUGCCUACUACCGCCUCCGGCCGCGCGCCACCACCGCUAAAGCCGCCGCCGCACCGUGAAACCGUCGCUGUCGCGCUCGCCAGUGUCACCCGCACCUCGGUCGCCACUCGGUUGCCAUCCGCCGCCGCCGGAACCCGAUUCCCUCGCAUCGCCGGUGAGGACCCCUUCCCUCCACCUCCUUUCCUUCCCCUUCCCGCGAGCGCCGAGCCACGCCGCCGUUCCGGCCGUGCGCCGUCGCCUUCGCGCCGGCCACCGCUGCCUCGCCGUCCGUCGGUCGUAGUCGGAGGCCGCGUGCCGCCGCCGCCGCCCUGCCAUGGUCGGCCGGCUUGAGCGGUGCCGAACCACCAUAUACUCCCCCUCCCGCCUUGUGCCGCUGCCCGGUGGGCCCCACCAGCUGGUGAACCACCCCUCCCCUUGAGCCACCAGCCGGUGCCCCCUCCCUCUCCCCUUGUGCCACUGACAAGCGGGGCCCGCCUGUCGGCGCCGCCCCUCCCCCCUUGGGUGACGUUAGCCCUGGGGAUUUAUUGCGCAAUAAAUAAUUAAGGACUUUUUCUUUGUCAGUAAAAACAUAGUUUAUCUUCUAAAAUUCAUAAGUAAUUCAUCCGAGCUCUGUUUAAGUCCAUUCAAGUCUCAGUAAUUUCAUAAAAAUGCAAAGAAUCCAUUAAAAAUGGUUUUGUCCCUGUUUCAGUAGUCUUAUAGCAUGUUUUGCUUGUGUGCAUUGUUUGUCGCGUAGAUUUCGACCGUUUCGUCGAUCCGCGGUUUGUCGAAGACGUUGUUGAGGUCUCAUCAGUACGAGAGCGAGGCAAGUCAUGCAUUAUAUUUGAUCAUAUUGUACCCUAUUUACAAAUAUCCCGCAUUUCUAUUAAAUGUUGCAUUCUUUUUCAAUGUCAUGUGGGAUGGGUCCUAUUACUCAGCCAUAUAUUGUUUACCACAUGCCAUUGAUAACUUGGGUAUCAAAAUGAUUAGAUGUUGGUUUAGGAAAUGCUUAGCCAUGCUUAGUUCAACUAGUACACAAAUGGGGAUCCCAUUAUUACAUAGACUUUGGCUAUUAGCAUAGCUUUGGAUUGGUGCCACCGUAAUGGUGUUAGUUAAUUAAAAUACACUGAAUGGUGGGCUGUGGGUGCAUGGUUUUGCUGGUCGCACCCAUGGCAAUUAAGGACCGAUUCACGGGAAUCCCUGGGAGACUUACCGUGCUUACCACAAGCGGGAGUGGGUAACUGCUUGAUCUAAAGUAUAGCUCGACCCUUUCCUAGGCACCGGUGGUGAGGGUGGGCGUGAUGGAGUUGGGUCGGCUAUGGUGUCCGGUUGUCCAGCUGCCGGAUUCACCGCGGCGCAAGAGGGGACCGCCCACUGCCUUUUGAGGGGUGGGGGUGAAACCUUAGUGUGGUGUGGAUGGUUAGGGGAGGGUUAUGCGGAGGGUCUUGUCACGAUUUCCCCCUUUGAAGUAUCAUGAUGAUGCUUCCGGGCAUGGCGACAUGUGUGGAAUUGUGUCUUGUGGGUACAGUUGUACACCUCUGGCUAGAGUAAAACUAUUCGAAUAGCCGUGCCCGCGGUUAUGGGCAAUCAACCAGAUUCACCGUGAUUAGUCUCACCCUAGUUUACCUUAAUGAACUGGUGUAGUUCAGGUGGUUGGUUGGGCCUCUUGCAACAUGGUGUAGCGUUGGACAGUGAUUGGUUAAUAUUGAUUAAUUACUACAACUGUUUUACUGCUUUCAACUUCUGCUUUUAAAUGCUAGCUUUAUGCAAAAGAACCUUUAGCCUCCUUUGGUUAUAUCCUGCAUCAUACAUCCUUUUCCGGUAUGACUUGCUGAGUACAGUGGGUAGUACUCAGUCUUGCUCUCUUUUUCUCCACACCAGAGCUGAAGAUCUUCCUAGUGGGAGCUGUUUUGUCGAAGUUGGUUUCGUCGCUGCCGUCAAGGAUUGCCUGUGGAGUGGAGUCACCCCGCUGCUGAAGUCAAGCUAUCCCGGUUUAGCUCGCUUUUAUCUUUUCCGCUGCAUUUGUAAUCUUUUAUAUUUUUAUAAGUCGUGGAUCUGUAUGUCAACAAUUGUUGUUUGUAUACCCUGGCUGGUCCUGGACAGGGAUUUAAUGCAUAUUCAGCUUAGAAAUUCUGGUUCGUGAAUUUCUGGGCGUGACAUCAAACAUCCAAGACAAAUCAGUCUUCUACAUGGUACAUGGACAGCAAGGCCAGCAAAAGAACAAAACACAGAUCGUAAGGGUAAAAACAUGGUGAAAUUCGGAACACCUCCCACUCUUAGACCGGGUUGUCAGAUUCUCAGAGACUGGUAAGAUCAGUGUCAUUCCCAGGCUACAACUGUGGAUGGCCUUGCUCACGAUUGCCAUUUGGCAGCAGCAGCUAUAUACUCUAACACGCCCAACAGCAAAUAUGACUGACUAUUUAUCCAUCCUUCUGUUCCUUUUUAAGUACUCCGAGUGCCUCCAAAGUAUAAUUGUUGUGACUACUGCAGUAAUGUGCGUAACACAUAAAAAUGCUAAUGUUUUCUCGCAUUGUCUUUGCAGCAAUUUUCAGCUAGCAAUAUAGACACGCAGAUACCGUCGUGGUUUUGCACAGGCUAUCAGUUAUUAUUAUUGUUCAUUGUGGAAGCAUCUUGUAACCUUUGUGUGAAUUAUCGGCCUGUACACACUCCUAGUCCAAUAGCUUAAAAGAUGCCAAAGAGCCAAGUAACAUCUCUACAAAAGUGUCAUGGAUCACUGUAAAAAAAAAGUAAAUUGCCAUAGAAAGUAAAGUCACCUUGUCCUACUGAUAGGGCUGUCAACGAGCCGAGCUCGAGCGAGCUUACCUACCUAAGCUCGAGCUCGGUACAGGCUCGAGCCGAGCUCGAGCCGAGCCCAACAUUACCUUCGAGCUUGAAGGUAGGCUCGGUUCGAGCUCGAUCAAGGCUCGGCUCGACUCGAGCUCGAUUCGUAGAAGCUCGUUAAGACUGUUUCCUUCAGCAAUCUGAACUUAUCUCCCAAUAAAAGUUUCUUAACAAGCCAAAGUAGGAUUACAAAUUCAUAAUAGAAUAUAAUAGCUUCUCGACAGGUAUAUACUAGAAAGAUUACAAAUUCAUAGUAGUGCAUAAGUCAUAAUAGGAUUACUGUAUAACACCAUAAGAAACAUUACAAUAUCAUGUGUCAAUGACUUGACAGAACAUAGAGCAUCAAUUAACAUCAAAAGUAGCCCACCGGAAGUUCCCAACAUAUGUUCCAUCUAAAAGCUCUAAUAUCUAAAUAUUACUUAUACUACUAACACAGCGUACUUCAAAUUUCAACUGUCACAAAAUAUUUACUCCACUAUUGGCAAUGGCAGUACGCCAAUGUGAAUCCUCCAAGCACUUUCAUCAAACUAAUUGUUGAUGCUAUGCUAAUGCCUGCAUUAAUGUUUCGUAAAGUUAAAUCUGAAACCAUGUGCAAAGAUUAUGUCACGCCCCGAACUAGUACCGACCGGAACUAGCCCGUGACGCUCCAAAUUAACCUGUUAAUCGAUACCAGUCCCAGGAAACAGUGCUGGUAUCACAGGGAGACAGAAUAUCACAGCAACAGAGGUCUCUUUAUUAUAGAGUAGAAGUACAGUCAUGUUGGGCUGCAGACAGAUCCCGAGCUCACAACUGCAUUACAAAAGGGAAACGGAAGCCAGGGCUUGGACCAAACAUCACAGGCGCGACUUGGGAACUAGGCCGAAACCCUAAAACUCAUCGAAGCCGGCUUGCUCCUGGAAGAACUCCUCAUCAGCGGGAUCCGCUUCAUCUUCUUCAGCAACUGGAGGGGGGAAUUAUUUAUAUAGAGCAAAGGUGAGUACAGGAGUACUCAGCAAGCCAGGGGAAAUAAGUGUUUAAUGCAGGCUUCAAAGAAAGGCUGGUGUUUUUGCAAUUAAAUUUUAUUUGAACUCUUUUCUGAAAACAACUAGGUGAGUGCUUCUUAAACGACACGGAUGAGACAGUGCGUUUCGUCCGGUCGGAGUAUGUGCAAUGUAUUAAUCUUUAGAAUUUGAAACAAGGUUGGCACCCGGCCAACAGCUUUUCAACGGCCACCCGGGCCAACAACUUUUCAAACGGCCACCCGGGCCUAGCUGAUCCCAUCAGCUACAGAUUUUUCAAACAUUGAACCCCUUUUCUCAACAGCAAUUUCACAAGCAGUAGUCAAACAAAACUACGCUAGGAAUCACCACACAUCCGCCCAUGACCGUGGGCACGGCUGUUCGAACAGUUAGUUAACCUCUGCAGAGGGGGUACACUUUACCCACACGACAUUACUAACCCGGAUCACCCAGCCCGUGGGAAUCAGCCACGUCGGGGGACCUCCAAGCUUUCAUGACAAGGCAUUUCGAAAGCCGACACAGGUUUACCAUAUGCCAACGAGAGGGGUCCCAGACCAACAACAGGUUAGGUCCCAGACCAUACUGUGCCAGGAAGCCCAGGGGUCCUCCCCGACACCACCCCGGCGAAUCCACAUGUCUCUCGGCAUCAAGGCUCCCCUGAUAAGCUAGUUACUCAGCCAGGGGUGUCCCAUUCCACCCAUGUGGUCGUACUUGUCUUAUGUUUGGAUGAAAUUCCAAGGAAAUGGUCCUUAAGUGCAAGAGCGGGAAACCGUACACCCGGUACGUUCCCCGGUCCGCGGUUUUGGAAAUUCAUUUAGUUCACAAGCACCGACCCAGGUGUCGGGUUUUCCAAGUCUUUUGUAAAACCCAAGUUUUACCCAAGAUGUUUAUCAUAUUUUAAGUUUGAGGGCGACCGUCGAUACUCGCACAGAGUGCACGAGUAUCGAGGCGCAACUGGAUGGUUACAAGGGGACAUGGUACAACAAUUAGCAAUGGAGGGAUCAGAUGCAACAAUUUAGGUAGAUCCGCCAAUCUGCCUUGCAAACGGGACAACAGAUUAAGUGCGAUCCUAUCAAUGCAUAAUAUUUUUCAAGCAACAUAAUUAAAUUUCAAAUAUAGGCUCAAGAUGUUCAAAGGUGGCUUGCCUUGCUCGAGAUCUGGAGCUUGAUCCUCGAAAUCCUCGCACUGCGGGUCUUCGGGCUCCGAAACUACACGCGAAACGGGACAACUCAACAAACAGCGAAAAUAAAGCCCUAUUAAUGACCUCUCAGUGUUCCAUUAGAUAGAUCUCGAGAUUUGAGGAAUUUUGGAAGUUGAACGGAGUCAAACGGAUUUACGGUUGGGAAGAUAUUGAAUUUCUAAAAUUAUUGGAUUUUUGGUCUAAAGGAAAAAGGAUUUAAUUAAAUCCUUUUGAAAAAGAAAAAGGAAGAGAGGGGGGAAAUUAGACUUUUUCUCGGGCGGCUAGGGCGCGGCCCGAGUGGAAUGGAACGGUCCGGCCGGACUAAAUGGGCCGGCCGGCCCAAAAGGCGGCCCAGAACGCGCGCGGGAGGGGAAGAGAGAGGGAGCCGGUGGACCGGGCUCACCACGCGUGGUCCCGGGUGGGACCCGCUUGUCGAUGGCACGGUUCACCGUGCGGAGCGAGCACGAGGCGCACGCGCACGGGCGGGGAGGGAUGCGGUGCAUAGGCGCAGUUCGCGGUGAACGCGGAUGCGGCGGACCCACGCGCAGCCUCACGGCUCGCGGUGGACCGCGCCCGCGAGUGGUGCUGGAGGGAGCGGCUGACCGGGGUCGACUCGACCCGGUCUCGGUCGAGCUGGCACCGACGUGGCGCCUACGUGGCUGCCACGCGGGCCGGCGGGAGGUAGACGACGACGUCGGCCGGAACGGACGGCGGACGACAGCGGCGAGCGGCGGAGCGAACCACGGCGAUACAGGCGAAAGCGAGCACACCGGGUGGUUGCACGAGACGAGGGGAGACGAGCCAAUGGCUCGGAUUCGCCGGAGGAUGCCCGACGGCGGCGGAUUGCGGCGGCGGCAUCCGGCGGCGGAGGAAGGGGAAAACAGCGACGAGGUCUCGGGGGGCCAAUUCCCGGCGGCGAGAGCAACUACGCGGCUACGGGAAUCCGAUGCUAGCGUCGGAUUGGGCGGAGGUACGCCGAGCGAGGCCGGCGACGAGCGGCGCUUCCGAGCUCGGGCGGCGACGGCGGCGAGCACACGGCGAGCGACGGCAACGGUCGGGGCGGCGCCGGCUAACUACGGGGAGGCUACUCGAGCUACUACCGAAAGCUAAGGGGGAGAGAUGGAGCAAGGAGGAAGAACGGAGGGAGGCACUACCGUGCGGGACGGGGCGCAGUGACGAGAGACCGACGGCGCGGGAGUGAUCUCUCCGGCCUCGGGCCAAGGAAGAGGAAGAAGAGGGCGCGCCCAGAGUCCCCUUCCGCGUCCUAGUGUGCACCGGCUCCUUCGGCACACACGCGACGACGAAUGGCGAUGGCGAACAGGGCACCGGGGGCGGCGGCAAUGGCGAGGAGGCGAGUGGGAGAGGAAAGGAAAGGGGGAAACUCGGGUUUAUAGGAUGGCAAUGUCAGUUUGGGAACCGACUUUGGGCGGUCAAGGCGCGAGCUGGCGCUCGGCGCUCGCGUCCAAAUCGGCGACAGGGCGGAGGGGGGGAAUGACGCCGGCGGGAGGAAAAGGGGAAAAGGAGGGAGAGAAAGGGGGCUCGCCCCUUUCUUCUUUGGGAAAAGGAGGAAGGGAGCGCGGGCGUCGCGGCAGGGGGAGGAGGGCUCGGCAUCCGUCCCUUGGCGGCUUGCGCACGGAGUGGCGGGGCCGGGCGAUGACGACGGCGAUGACGGCGGGACGGUGUGGAGCGGAGCGGCGACACGGGCGACAGACGCGUGCAGAGGCUGACGGCGGCGGCGACCGGGCGGUCGGCCACUCAGCACGCGCGCGCGGCUUGCAACGGGAGGCGCGGCGGGGCAGCGGGGCCGGACGGCGCAGACGGCGCAGACGGCGCAGACGGCGCGACGCGGGCGACGACCACGCGGGCGCGCGCGCGCGAACGACGGCGUCGGGAAGCGGCAGCGAGGGAAGCGGAGAGGAGGGCUCGGCUCGGCGCGGGCGGCUUACGCGCACGCGCGUGGGCAGAGCGGAGGGGCGCUCGGCGCGGCGACGCGCGCUCGCGCACGACGCGCGAGGGAGGGGCGCUCGGCGUGGCGACGUGCGCUCGCGCACGCGGCGGAGCGGAGGGAGAGAGGGAGAGAUAGCUGGGGAGGGAGGGGGAGAUGGGCUGAGAGAAAUUCGGCCCAUCGACCCCGGGGAGGCAAACUAGACUUUUGCGGAGGAAUUUGAUUUGGAAGGAUUUGGAUUCGGGAUUGAACUCGACGAUAUAUCGGGGAUUGAGAUCUUGAGAUGGCACGGACACUAGACAACAAGCAAAGAAACAAAUUUCGCAAUUAGGGUUUUUAAGAGAUAAUUUUCCCGCUAGGCGCCACGACGGAACGGGCGCUACAGAUUAUAGGUAAUGUUUCAUCAGUGAUGAGGAAUUGAUAUGGUAGCAAUAGAUAAUUUAUAUAACCUCAAACAUAUACCUGACAAACGAGUCUAAUUGCUGCCCACAACCGAAUUUGCAGUUGAAGCUUGAGUUGGGACAAGGAUAAUAGAAUUAGUAUCAUCCUCCUAGUAUGCAACAAACAAGUAAACACAGAUUAUUAGAUUGUGUAUCUCUAUUAAUUGGUUAGAAACAUGAAAAUAUAAGAACUUACUAAAUCUGUGCUUUUGUGGUGGCCUCCUCUAAUCCAACUAGAUGUACACACCAAAGCUUGUACUGUUGAUGGGAGUAAAGAGCUGCGAUAAUCACUAAUCACUCGACCCCCUGUGCUGAAAGCUGAUUCAGAUGAGACUGAGGUGAUGGGAAUAGUAAGAAUAUCCUUGGCCAACUUUGCCACAAUUGGAUACUUUAAUUCAUUCAUCCUCCACCACUGAAGUAGAUUGAAACUUUUUGCAGGAAUAUCCUCAACAGGAUCAUCUAAGUACCUCUUUAAAUCUGACUUAGGAAGACUAGCAGCAUUCUUUGAUUUCAUAUACUCAUGAAAUUGGCUAGCAGCAGAGAAAUGACUACUAGUAGUGCCCAGAGAUGUACUAGUAGAUUGAAUGGUGGCAUCAUUUUCCUUUGAUGUGCUCUGGAGUUCACUUUCAUAUGAUGCAUGCAAAGAUUUCAAUGUGGAUUCCACAUUUGUAAGUUUCUUAGGAAGUACAGUUUCUUCAUACAAAGCAGGGAAUGUGUAGUUAAUCAUACCCAUCUUAAACCUUGGGUCUACAACCAAAGCAACUGCAAACAAAGUAUUGCAUUCUGGGCCCCAGUACUUCUCAAAUUUUUCAAGCAUUGCAUUUGCCAUUUCUUUAAGAAUUGGGUCUUUGGACUUCAACAACUGACCUAGUACUCUCUUAAUAUCGACAAUGUGAGAAUAAAAAAGGUUAGAUGUUGGGUAGGUUGAACCUGAGAACUCCUCAGUGGCUGCAUGAAUGACAGAAAGGGCAUCAUUGACUUCACAAUAUAGAUUCCAUUCCUCUGGUGUUGGCAGCCACCUAUAGUUUGCAUCUCCUGCAGCAUAUACAUCCAAGGCAGACCUAUAAAAAAAUGCAGAUUGCAGCAUUUUGAAGGUUGAGCCCCACCUUUUUGUAAGAAGGGUUUAGCCUCUUUAGCAAAACAUUAAACCAUGUAUACUCCACAAGGCAAAAUGGCAACUCAUGGACAAUGAUCAUUUUGCAAAUAAGCUCACUUAUCUUUGUAGGAUCAUAAUAACCAGGGACAGAAACACAAGGAGCAUCAAGAUCAACAUCACCUUCAUCAAGGCUAGGGAAAUUGAUAUUCUGUUGUUUUAUGGAUUUUUGUUGAAGCUUGUGAUAAUCACACUGCUCUAAAUGCCUCCGCCAAUGUGUUGUAGUGCCACUACUAUUCUUGGUGAGCAGAGUUUCACAUGCCUUACAUUUGACCUUAUUUUCCAUUUCUCCUUUCUUCUUCUUUGAUGGCACAGUGCAUUCUUCAAAGAAAUCCCACAAUGGAGAUUUCUUUUUCCUGGUGGCUUUAGUUGGGUUUCCCUCUUGGCCCUCUUCUCCCCUUACUUCACCUAGUACUAGCUGCUGAUUCGGUUGUGCUUCUGUUGCUGCUAUGCCAUCCCUAUUGCUCGGUGACUCGAUCUAUAUAGAUAGCUGUCUUUGCAGGUUUACAGACAUCUACAAAAAUUAAAAAUACCAACUGCUAUCAAUAUAUAUUCUGCACAAGGGAAGGAAUCAAACAAGUACAACAAGAAAAGCAUUGCCAUCAAUUUACCUUGGCAAAUGGCAAACACACGGUGUUCUGCAACCUUCAGUCUUUCUUCAGAAGAGGAGCACAGCAAGAUAAGUACUACUCCAUGUCUCCACCUAGUCCAUAAAAUUCAAUGUAAAUCAAUAACAUCCAUCAAGCAACUAAACACUACACAGUUAAUACAUGUAGGGCCCUAGAUACAUGUGGGUGCAAAAGAAAUAAAAAUGUAAAACAAAGAAAGAAGAGGAAACUUACUCAGAUCCGAGUCGUCAGUUCGUCACUCAUGGCGGAGGCGGUGGGCUGCUGCUGUCCUCCAUGGGGUUCUUCCUGGAUAGGAGAGGCGAAGGAUGGACAGUGCUUGGCUAGAUCCACAGCAGUGGUCAGUGGAGCACUAGAGCAGCCUAGGAUUGUAGAUCUAGAAGAGAAAUGUUUCGAGGAAGAGAGCAAAUGAGCUAGGGUUUGGAUACGGGAUGGGGAUAUAAGGGAAAUAAAUGGUUAGGUGAUGGACUGCUGUUGGUGGUAGGAUUUUGGAAUUGGAGUGCGGGAGAAAUUGGGAUGGGUAGCGGGAGUGAAAAUUUCAAGCUUCUGCCGAAUAGCUCGAGCUCAGCUCGGUAGAGCUCGCAAGCUUCGAGACAAGCUUGAGCUCGGCUCGAAUCCUUGCCGAGUCGAACUCGAGCCAAGCUUGCGACGAGCCGAGCUCGAGCUGCUCGCGAGCUCCGAGUUUUUUUGACAGCCCUACCUACUGAGACCAACCGAGAGCAUGAUAGCUCCACAAGUUAAUUUUUUUUUGCCGGACAACGAGUUCUGGGGCCACCAUUUUCUAUUGCCAUCAUUUUCAAAUUACUUGCCUGUACAAACUUUUAGUGAUUAACUUUGCCAUUAUUUUCGAUUUUCAUAAUUCUCCGUUUCGAAUGAUAAUAUAUGACACUCGAAGGAGAAAUAUAGCUGAUAUUGAAUGUUAACAAAUGUACAACUGGUACUCACAGCUUAAUUUAUCUACAGUUGUAUGAAAAUAUCUUGCUUGACAAUUUAGAAACCCAGAAACUUGGGCAUAUCCACUCUGCAGAUGGCACAAUGCCCGAACAAGAGUUAAACAAUAAUUAUGUGAUGGCUUAGAGAACUGUAAUAGAGGUGUAAUAUAGGUGGCCAGUGUACUUUUACUUUAUCCAUAUCAUCAUACUUUAUUUUAUUGGUUUACUCGCAAUUUAUGUAACCUUUUUCUCUGUACUUUUAUUAGAACUUAUAUAGAGAGCCUACUGCACGAGGGAAGGCUCAUCUAGUUGUCACAUCUCUUUGAACUUUUCACCUCUAUCUCAAUGGCAUUCCUAGCUGCUACCCCAAGUUUUACUGCAUAUGUUCAUAGCUGGCUAUUAACAUUUUGUGUGGAGCUAUGUUAGGAUUCCAGAUUUCAAGGAUGGAUAUACUAGUAUGUAUGAAUAUGCCCCUAUUGUAUGAAAUAUAUUACCGAGUAGCGGAGUUUCAAACUCAGAUCAAGUGCAGUAUUUGGAGAGAAAAAAAUUACAAAAUGGCACGCCCGGAACCCACUGGGCAUGCCAUUUUGUUUGGAGAGAAAAAAAAAAUAAAUUUUUAUCCCUCAGCCCAGGGAAAUAAAAUAAAAAUAUGCGGGCGUGCCAGUGUACUAAGUAAAAAAAAUAAAGUGGACGAAGGAAAAAUGCAUUUUAUUAUAAUUCUCGAAGAAUUACAAAAAUACAGAAUCCUUAGUCAAAUACGCUCCAUGGCACAUAAGCAAGGUGGAUCUGACAUGGCGAUUGUGAUCUCCUGGUUCCCGGGGUCUCGGAAGACACCCGGUUAAUUACUCUCGCGGGUUAAACCCGUGAGAUACCUCCGAUUAAGCUACGCUGGUCGUUGUCGUCUGUCUUCGCUUCACGUUCUCCCAUGCAUGAUGGUGAUAGUGGUGCAGAUGUGUGUGAGUGGGCGCCGGCGGUGUUCGCGGCCUCAUCGGUCCACACGCCGGUGUUGGUGACGUCGUCUUGAUGUCGACUCGGUUCGCCUUGCCGUUUUUGCCUCAUCGGUCUUGGACGGCAUGUUGGUUUAUAUUGUUAUUGAAGACAUGCAUGGAAUAGUGUAGCCCGGAUGACCCGAUGACGUAGGAAUUACAUCAGAAUUAGAUUAUAAAAGUAAAAUGAUCAACGUGAAUGAUAGCCGAAUUGGUCAUGGCUGGGAAGUUUAAUACGCAGCAGCCCCAAAUGAGUAUGAAUCUGCAAACUCAUUUUUGCUUGUCACCAUGUACAGUAGCAUGUAUGCAUGUCUUGUUUUGUUGGCUCGUCACCGUAUACAAUAACAUGCACAAGUCAGUCAGCAUCCGCGACAUGGGACGGCUCCGCAGCGUAGCGCCCUGGCGGCUGCCUCGACUCCCUUUGGCGUGCUCCAGUGAGGCAAAAUGACAAAAAAAAAAAACCUUCUCCGGCGAGCAGCGGAUGAUGACGAGCAUCGCUUGGCAGCGUUGCGUCAUCUACGGACUCAGGCGGCUCGGCGAUGUCCCCGGCAACUCCGACGAGAUGGCUUACGACGUAGCUGGAGCUGGUGACGCCUUGCGGGCACCGAGUAGUGGCACUCCGGCCGGCGUUCUCCUCGAGCAACCAGCCGAUGAGUUCGAAGAAGAUGGUAACGUCGACGAGAGCGAGCGAACGUCAGUGAUGUCGCGAAGAGGAGGCUGCGACCGGGAAGGUGACAACGUCCAGCGUCUCGGCGACAUCACAAGGCGUCGUGGGAUAGAGGUUGCGGCCGGCGAGGCAAGGACGUCGUGGCAGCAGGUAGAUGUGUCACCGGCAACCGACGUCUCCGAUGAGAGGGAGUGACGCGAUCUCCGGCCGGCGGUGCGUCCGACAGGCGGAGAGGACGCUAUAUCCGGCGGGCCGAGCAGCAUCAGAAACUCGCCUCGUCGCCGUGUUGUGCAUGCAUGACGAUCUGAACAGAAAGAGCAGGAAAACAAAAGAAAACUAAUAAGCUGUACCAUGGCAAUGGCUGGGUACGUGCUCCGGCGACCGUCUCCUCCUCCGCGCGCCUCCUCGCCGGACGCCGAGGCACUGCGGCCAACGUCACCGACCGCCGAGCGCCCGUGUUCUCGCUGGACGCCGAGAUUCUCCAGCCAAAAUGGUGUGUGUGUCUCUCUCCGUCACUUUCGUAUGCGUGUGUGUUCCUCCGUUUCUGUGUGUUCUCUUCCUCCCCUGUAUAUGUUGGGCUCUACUGACUACUGCCAAGGCUAGACAUGGUGCAGCGCCUGACGGCGGCGGCUGCCGCAGCGUGAACGCGCAGGCUCUCGGCUCCUGCCUCGGUCCUCGACCUCUCUCCGCUGCCUCCGUCGCCCCCGUCUCUCCCUCUGCUCCGUGAAAUGGCUGGUUCUUUUAUAGCGUGAAGGGGAUGCAGUUCUCUGCCCAGUGCAUGCAUGGCUCACAUAUGGAUGGCAAGCCAAUCAGUUGAUUCUACGAUUUUGCAAUUCCUUCCAUAUGUUAUGAUUUCUUCCAAUUAGCCAGGAUCAUACUCAAUAUGAUUCCAUCCAAAUUAUACCGGCGUGAUGCGGAGCAAUUAGUUCCUUGUAUUCGUAUAUGCGUGCACACUGCAUAUGGCAAGGGAUUCUCUAGACAGAGCUACAUUGCCUUUAUAUUUCUUGAGUUUCUAUGCAAGCACGUACAUGGUUUUCCAUGCAAGCAAUCCAAGCAAUCCACUGCCGGCAAAUCACGUGAUUAGCAUCCUCUAAUGACGAUGCUACAGUGGCAUGCUUCCAUUCAGAUUAAUAAAAAGAAAAUUCAUAUUAUCACCUGAAGCAAUACCAUGAGCAUAUACACGUCUGUACUCUGAGCAGAUAUUGGCACGUGUCACAUAACAUUCAUGCAUAUAUGCUCGUGUAUGUCAGAUUGUACCAUUAGUGAUAAUUAAUCACUAAUUUUAUUAUUAUACUGUUAUUCCCGAGAUUAAUGUUUUGACGCACCCUAUUUCUUAUAAAAUAAAAAAAAGGUGUACAAAAUAUCAUCGAACAAAAUGCCCCCUCACCAAGUUAAAUUCGAGCGUGGAGCGGCUCGGAAUUUUCCAUUUCCUGAGGAACAAUAAAUUAAGUAUCACAGCAUUUUUUUUUUAAUUUCAUAACUGCAAGCAGAGUUCAAGCACCGAAUAAACAACCAAGACGAACUUGGUGGUUUUUUCUAUGUUGAAGAAGCGCACGUAGCUGCCGCCAUACUGCUUAAAAUACAUUUAAUCCCUUCUAGCAUAUCUCACGGUAGCUGUAGAUUAUGCCACCAAAUUUUGCAAUAAGGGCUAUGUGAUUUUUUUCACUAUGGUAUAUAGUCCACCAGGAUGUACUGAGGCAAAAUAAAUCCAUGCCAGCGACUCAUGAAUUAACAUACUAUAAGGCGAAAAUCCAUGCCAUUGUCGAAAAAAAAAAUUCUUCAGACCUGUAUAUUGAUGAUAAGGUCUAAAGUAAGUUAGUUAGGCGAACGGCCAUGCCAUUGUUAACAAACAUCCCUCGGACCUGUGUAUUAGUGAUAAGGUCCAAAGUAAAUGGAUUAGGCGAACAACCAUGCCAUUAUUAACAAAAUACUCCUCAGACCUGUAUAUUCUAGAUGGGGUCCAGAGUAAAUACAUGAGGCAAAAAUCCAUGCCAUAAUAUGUCCUGGCCACAGCGGGAAAAAAAAGUGCCGUGUCCUGAGAGAAUUUUAUCAACCCACACGAUCGUCAAAAUUCCACGAUGUCAGCUGAAUGAGUUGAAGGGUUUCACAGAUUCACACUAGCCGUACUGGCGUGUUUCACUGCUCCCAAAAUAUUCAUAGCGGCAUAUCCAUCACUAUUUACCAGAAAUCAAUAGUCAUCUGGGAGACAUAUUGAUACCUUAGUCUAAAGUUCUUUUAAGAACAAGUGAGACUAAAGUUCAUGCCCAAGGAAUAAGAAAUCGAUUUUCAGGCCCGAGACAUAUAUUAAUGCCAGGGGUAUAAGGAAUUAAGAAUAUUUGAGGCUUAAAUUAGUGCCAUCGAUAAAAUAUAAUUUCUAAGACCAGGUACAAAUGGUCUCAAGAAUAUUUAAGGCGGAAAUCCAUGCCAAAAAUUUAUUCUUCAAGGGAUCGAUACCAGCAUGCAGAAUUGCGCGGCAAAAGUGUAUGCCCCAGAAAAAAAAUUAUACUAUUUGUUAAGACAAUGACAGGCGAAGGUCCAUGUCGCAAAUUCAUUCUUCCAACUAGACGGAUGGCACAUGUUAGUCUGAAGAAUUGUGAGGCGAAAACGUGCCUUCGAUAAACAAUUAUAUAUUUCUUAAAACCCUUCGCGAAUGGUUUUAAGAAUAUUUGAGGCGAAAGUCCAUGCCAAAAUGAUGAUUUAUUCUUUAAACCGGCCUGGCUGUAGAUUAAUACCAGUGUAAAGAAUGGUGAGGCAACACUACAUGCCCCCUGUAAACAUAUAUAUAUAUUUCUCAAGACCAAUGAUGAUGAACUGUCUCAAGAAUUUUGUGGCGCAAAUCCAUGCCGAAAAUGGGAUUCAUUCUUCGAACCUGACAUCAGAUUAAUGAUGGUCUAAAGAAUUGUGUGGCGAAAAUUCAUGCCACUACUAAAGAAAACAUGUGUGAGGCGUAAAUCCAUGCCUUUCCCAAUCCAUGGCGAAAGAACAUGCCAUUUCUUGAAGGGUUUUAUCAAUCAAGUCGGGACCAUUUAAACUCCACGGUGCCAACCAACUUGAUCGAAGGGUUUCACCGAUUCACACUAGCCGCGCUGGCGUGCUACACUGCUCUCAUUUAUCGAUAGCAGAAUCACCAUCACUAUAGGUAUAAAUAAAUUACCAUCAUGGAUGAUUUAAAGCGGAAUAGACCAUCACUUAUACAAAAUGAUAGUGUGGCAUAAGGUAGAUGCAUAUAGUACUAUCAGAAUGAACCAUCGCUAGGCAUCAAUUUGAAUUGACCAUGUAGGUAAUAAAAGGAAUAGCUCCACAAAACAGAUGCUAGGUAAUCCAAGUGGAAUAAACCAUCACUGGGAAUCAAGCGGAAUGAAUCAUCGAUGAGAAUCAAGCGGAAUUAAACAUCACUUGGAAUCAAUGGGGAUUUAACAUGGUAUUUAGUUGACUCCAAUAAUGGAACGAUGAAAUUUUGUUUCGAAGUAACAGGGUCAAUCCGGACACCAUAUAAUCAAAGCAGAAUUAACCAUUGCUUCAAUUAAAGGUAAGGGCCAUCAUCAAAGAUAGGUGUCGUAUCACUCCUUAUAUUGUAGAUUGUAGUCGAGAAACAUAUUAGCUUAACAAAACAAAAAAAAAACUUUUACUAGACGAAAUGUUUUUUGAAGCUAGUGUUAGCUUUUCCAUUGGCUGCCAGCUAUAGAGUGACAUCAGAUAGGCUGCCAAAGGACUUAGUCAUUGAAUAUCGUCGAAAAACCAUGAUGAAUAUAGCAACACAAAAUGUUUUGUGAUUGUAUGUGUAGGAAAACAUGUUUUGGCAAGGCUACCAGUUGACAAUAGACCUCCCAAUGCUUGUCUCAUCGAACCUAGAGACUUGGGUGGGCUAAGAUUAGGAAGGGUUUUUUUAGGACAUCGGCUAUGGAAUAAUGCCAUUACUUUUGCUGAAGGGUGUUACAUGGCUACUCUCCUUCUUCGGAUCAAAUGUGUGAUAUGCUUGAUUCGCUACUUUGAUAUUCUGGAGACUUAAACAUCAAGAGCUUCUUAUCUUCUUCUUCCCUCUUUUUUUUUUUGAUAUCCUUGAUACUUCUUGCUUGAAGAUUGAACGAUCCCAUCUAAAAUAUUGUUUGAUGGUCAUAGCUUGAUUGUAAAAUUUCUUUCAAUAAUUGUACUUCUUCAUAUGACAUGUCGGAGAACCAUCCCCUUGGAAAAUCAGAGAGUAGCCAUUCAAUUUUGUGACUAAAGAACCCCUCGCAGGCUUUUUUUUUGGUCCCUUGUUAUCACCUCGCAGGGUUGGCAAGUGGCUGCACACUGCACCACAACUUAUGUUGGGACAGGUAGCCCUUUCAUGCUCUUUAUCUCUAUAGUCUUCCCCUGGGGUUUUGUGUCUCCACCGGUCUGAGACGCAUUGAGAAAACGAGGGACAUGUUAACCUCGCUAAUCGGUAGUUAUCCGAGCAAUUAUUUCCAUUGCCCCUGGUAGCCACUGCUUGACAUGUGUGUUGUGUGAUGAAAGUAGAUUGAUUCUUUUUCUUGAUUAGUUUUGGACAAGUCCUAGGGCAACCAAAUCUUCAGUCGUGAGCAUGGCAUGAUAUAGAGAAAGCCAGUUGCCCCUGUUUCAUAUGGGAACUGAAUGGAAUGUUGUAAAAGAACCUUUUUUAGAAAAUGAAGGCUAUAAUUGCAUAGCGCUUCCGCCAUUGUCUGAGGAGAAUAUAUUGGACAAAAAAAAAUGAGCAUUGGUCUACAAUUCUGCAUUUUCAUGGGGAUUGGGCGAUAUUCUUGAGUAGAUAUGUUCAAUGCCUUGGGUGGUGAAUGAGAGAGAGCUUGGCUUUAGCACAAGCUAGGUACUGAAAAAAACUGUGGCCACCCAGCAGCGAGUAUAUGAUAGCUUGAAUAAUCUUGAAAUGCUUGAGAAUGAGGUUGUUAUGUGUUUCAUUGCCAUUACAUAGUGUCAUGGUCUCCGUGUAUAUGGUUUGAACAGUGGUAUGAACGUAUGGGAAUCAGGCUUCGUUAGAAGAGACACAAAAUCAAUAGAUGUGUCUCAAUGAUGGCACUGCUAGAGUGAUAGUUGCAAGUGUAUACGCAUAGCACGGCAUCAACAGUUUCUCUUAGAUAGUACAACCAAAUGGCAACCUUUCUAGUAUGGAACUAGCUAUUGGGCUGUCGACAGUUUUUUUUGAGGCCCAAAGCAGUCAAAUUUUUGCACCUCACGAUCAAAACCGUUCUAGUAUAUGCUUUCAGCAACUCAUAUGAUGAAUUGAGCAGAAAGCAUGGAAACAAUGACAGAUCAUUUGAUUAAUCAUUUUUUAAAAGAAAAUGUGAGUCAAUCGUCUUGGUUCAGAACCCUGGAUUGUUUGAUGGAGUCCUGCAUUGCUCUUAUAUUUGUACAUAUAUAGAGAAUGGGAUGGAGCCAUUCACAUGUAGCUCAGACAAACUGAGAGUUGUAUGGGAGAAAGCCUUCCUGACAUUGGUGGAGUAUUGAUGUGUCACUUUUAUUAUACCUUUGAUGGAAAAUACACAGGCAUGAGCAUUUAGCUUCCAUAUGACUUUGGUAGCUUGCAUUGGUUGGCAAUACAUAGUUUGCAAACCAUCCAACUCACAUGAACGACGUCAUCUCGGGUUAGAAGAGCAGCAUGACUUUGCUUUGCUGAUGUUUAGCACAAGGAAUUUGACCUCACUGCUACAAAAUAAAUAUACUCUUCUGCCUUAUGGAUUGCCUUUGCCUUGCCAACACAUAGCAAAGUAAAUACGCCUCGUAGAAUAGCGAUAGGAGCCACCGGUGGAAAUCUUGCAGACACCAGCUGCAACACGAGCGCUCUAGUUGAGUUCACGAGCAUGGAAACAUUGCCAGCAGCACAGCGACUGCACCGGCAGCGAUGACAAUCUUGAGGUCGAAAUCGGAGGCAGUCGUGGAGACGCCGGUGAUGGCGUCGGCAGAGUUGGCGACCACGAGGAUAUCAUGGAGGUCAAGGCCGGAUACUAUGACAGGCUUGAACUCUUCAGUUGAGGCGGUCAUGUGAAUACCAGCAAUGGCUCAAGUGUGGUGACGGCGCUGACAGCGGUGAGACGCUUGAGUAUAUCACAGGCAGCAGCCAAGAUGUCGAUGCCUUGGUGCAUAUAUAAAUGAUGCUGGCUGUGAGGACGAUUUUGGUGGUGAUUAAUUUGUGAGCAUCACCAACGGCUUCCGUGAGCUGUUGGCAGCAGCACAUGUGUGGGCAGUGGCAUGCUAAGUGAUCAAAGUGAGGCACUAUCUCGAGUAUGAGGUUGAUGCUAGCAGUAGCUAAUUAAUAAACCUGCAACAACAGGAGUGUGAGGAUUGCACACCGUGGGGGCGAACAUGGAUGUCAGCGGUGGCAUGACCAUUGAGGGUCUCUGUUCAGUGGAGAUGAAAGAAGCAAGUUGGCCUUGACGAUGUAGCAGUGGACUCAGACAUGUCGAGUUGAACACUGCCGAUGCUAUAUAUAUAUGCAUCCUAGAGGCUUGUUGCAAGCGACAUUGUGAUGUCCGUGGGCUAGCCACGGCAAGAAGAUCGAGGUCCGCUUGUUAGCGGCGGACUCGGUGACCACGGUGCUGUGGACAACAUAGCUACGAGGAGGGAGAUGGCUUGGCGACAUCUGCAGCUGCUCCGGUAGGGCGGCGUAACGACAUCCUCCUCCUACGGAUGAUGAUCGGUCGACAGUGCCUCAUCCGCUCGACAAUGGCAAUAAGGUCUCAUGUAUUGUGGAUGCAAGCAGCUCGGUGACGUCCACAUCGGCUCCAACGACCCUCGACGUAGUACAGCAGGGUAGCGACAAUGGAGAGAGCGAGCAUCAUGGACAGAUAGCUUCGCUCUUGACAUGAUGGGGAGAAAAAAAAAACUCCGAUGUGACGAAGGGCAGGUUCCCCUGACGAGCAGCACGACGACAACUCCAACGUGGCAAGUUCGCCUCACCAUAGCGAGGACGUCUGGCCUCUCGAUGACGUCGCCAAGGACUUGAACGGGCGAUGUCGACUCCAAGGACGAGUAGCAUCUCGACGACUCGGAUGGGCGGCAUGACGACAUUCUGUGGCGUGUAGAUGAAUCGUCCACGGCGACUCCUCCGGCAACAACGGUGUGUGUAUAUAGAUCGGCCUAUGCAUGUAUGUGUGCCAUGGAUAAAAGGAGGAGGAAACAAUCUUAAUUAGCUUUACCCUGUGCAGCCAUUGAUCUCACUUUCGUGCUUGCUGAUGGUCAGGGCGCUCAUCCUCCUGCCGGACGCGGUUGCUUCGGCCGAGGUCGCUCUCCAUGGCCGAUGUGCUCCGGCUGUGUACAUGUUGUUGCUCCGCCGUCGGUCGGUGUGUAUUGUUGGUGCGGCUGGAUAGGAAUAGAUGGAUGGAUGUGUUGGUUGUAUAUGAAUGCCAAAGUUGAUGGUCUACUAGCCACCGGCGUGUGCGCGUUCGCCGCAGAUGGCUUUCUCCUCCUUUGGCCUCUACCUCCCUGCAGGGCCGGGCGCCGGUGAUGUGCAAGCGCACCAGCUAUGGAUGAGUAGAUGGAUCAGUUCUCUUGCCACUGUGUUCUACCUCUGCCCUCUCUGUAUAGUGAGAUGGCCUCCCUUUUACAGUGGAGAUGAGAUGGUUCACAGCCAGCUGCAUGCAUGGCUUUAUCGAUAUAUGCAUGGCCAGUUGUCCAACUAAAUACUCCGGUGUUCAUGUCAUGGUAGUAAGUUCAGAGAAUUUUGACAUGCUCCCCGGCACAAAUUUAAGUACGAAUUCGCUUGCCCCGGUUGAGCAUCUUGAAUUCUCGAUUUCUUGAGCACUUCACAACCUAUGAGGCUGCUUUCGAAAUCGCAAGUGCCACCGGGUUGUUAUCAUUAUAGAAGAAAGUAACUCUUAACCAGAGCAUUUCAUCAACCAUCAUGUGUGUUGGAGAAAGAACACCAAGGACAACUCAACGGUCAUUUCUGUGUAUCAAAGAUGGGAGGAGAACCGGUGAAAUGAAACUGUAGCACUAUGGCAGUAUAUUCGCUACUGACAUGAGCCCAAAUUGAUGACUCCAAAUUAACAUCACCAGCAAUCACCAUGACCAGCUUUGCAGCUAGAAAAUGCUAGUGUCCACACCGUGGUUGUUAGCUCCAUUGGGCUAGAAACUCUCACUUCCCAAAAGAAGAAAUAUUUGUAAGAAAUUCCUCGAUUGCCCCCAAUUGAGCUUGUUGAUAACUUGAGCACUUCCAUGAGCUGCAUUCAAAAUCACAAACAAGUGCAACCAGGUUGUCUUCACUGGAUUCCCCUUUCUUGAUGGAAGCAGUUCCAUAAGAAGAAAAACAAAUAGCUCUAACCAAAGGUCUUCAUCAACCAUCAUGUUUGUCGGAGAAGAAAGCGAAGAAGAAUUCGACGACCAUUUGUGCGCAGCAAAGAUGGGAGGAGAACCAUGUCCCACUGGGCGUGCCAUUUUGUUUGGAGAGGAAAAAAAUUUAAUUUUUUUCUCUCCAAACAUGCAGCUAGCCACAGUGGUGACUGUAACUUAGGAUUGGUUUGGUUUAAUUUGUAGCCUAAAUAGACUUUACCAAAUUUUGUCAGCGCCAAAUUUUGGUAAGUUUUGGCAUUGACUAAUUUUGAUAAGGCAAAGUUGUGUUUGGAUUGAAGUCAAAAUAGCCUAAGUUCACUAUUGAAAUGGCCUAUUUUCUUAGGCAUGCCGAAAUUUGGCUUCAAACCAAAUAGACACUAAACACUAUUGAAAUUGCCAAAUAUUGGUAAGACUAAUUUAGGCCUCAAACCAAACCAGCUCUUAAGGACUGCACUCGUUUCAGGCUAUCCAUUUUGAUGGUGAACAUUCAUUUUGAUGAAAAACUGACCAAUGGCCAGUUUGUAGUGUUUGCUCCAAAACCACAAGAUACUACUCACUUUCCUCCAUCUGUGGGAGUAAUUGAUGGUCAACCACUCUUGGAUAGUGACAUUGAUGAUUUGCUUCUCAUGAUGAAAUUGCAGCUCUGUGGCAUAUUCUGUGCAGGUAUAUAUAUGAAAAUUCUAGAGACUUCCCAAUCCUAAGCUAGUAAGUUGCGAAUUGUCUAAGGAAAUAAAGAUGGAUGUACAUGAGGAUGCUCCUAGCGUUGCAUGUUUUGUGUGACAAGAGUGAAGUGCUUAUGUGUAGAAGGCCCUCGAGCUAUUUGUGAAGUUGGCUGUUUGUUUACGUAGUUUAUAUAUGGUCACGUAUCUUAAUUAUUACAUAUAUACCAGUUACUCUCUCCGUUUCACAAUGUAAGUCAUUCUAGCAUUUUCCACAUUUAUAUUGGUGCUAAUGAAUCUAGACAUAUAUAUCUAUCUCAAUUCAUUAGCACCAAUAUAAAUGUGGGAAAUGUUAUACUGACUUAUAUAUUGUUAAACGGAGGAAGUAUAAAUGUAGGCCAUUUUACAUUCGUGUGACAUGAUUACAUAAAAAAAAUAGUGGGUUCAAAAAUUGGAAUGCCAUUCUUUUAUACACAAUUGGUAAAGUUGUACUGAUCAAAUUACCAAACGACAACAUGUGGAACGAUGUGAUAAUGUCUCAAUGGCACAACGUCUUCAGCGAUUGAGCGACUAAAAUAGUAGUAUAUGAAAAUGCAACUAACUCUUCUCAACAUUAAUUAAUCUCUUCACAAAAGUAGCUUGCUUUGCUCUUCAACGCUCUCACCACGGUUUUGUACUCGAUCGUGGAGUAAUCUUAUAUAGUUUGCUCCUUCAAAAUCAUUGUUCUACUGCCAUAUGAAAUUUCAUGGUUUAAAUCCAAUUGAUCAUCUCUUGCAUAGCUGUAUGGUGACCCCACGGUGUAUAAUCGUUUAAUGGUCUGAGCAUGAUCAAUGCUACGAUUCUGGUUGUCACCGCGCCGCGUCUUCCAGAUGAUGAGUGCCGAUCGAUUGAUGUGUUUCGCUAUGGUCAGUCAUCUUCUGUUUCAUCAUCUUCUUCGAACAUCAUUUUCCUACCAUACCAACAUGAUUAGGUGUUCUCAACAUCGUGCCAUUUUUUCCAGCGAUCCCUGUGUGACCGUUCGAGUGGAAUGGAUAUCUGGAGCCACCCCAAUCCUGAUGGGUCCUAAUUCUACACAAGUUUUGGAAAUAUAGGAUUGUGCACAAAGUGUAUGAUAUUUUAAGGAUCGUAGAGAACGGCGCUAGUAGCAAGCAAACUGCUAUAGGCACUUAAGCUUUUGUGUGGUUCCAGCCAUAUUCAUCAGCACUUUCAAAUUGAGUAUAUGUUUCUCUAUGACUCAGCACUAUUUAAAUCCCCAUUUAUGGUUUAGCUCAAUUGCACGUAAGAGCAUGAGGCUUCAUGUCCUACUACAUGAGUCAGGAAAAAAUGGCACAGGUUUUCCUUGCACAUACAUGUAAUUUGUGUUUAUAAAGCUAGUCUCCAAGACAUGUUAACCACGCAGGUCUAACUGCUGUCACUACAGUAUUAUUGUCCAAUACUUUUGUAUCUCGAGAAAGAACAUGAAUAGUACUCCCUCCGUAUUUUAAUAUAUGACGCUGUUGACUUUUCGACCAACGUUUGACCAUUCGUUUUAUUCAAAACUUUUGUGCAAAUAUGAAAAAUAUUUAUGUCAUACUUAAAGAACAUUUGAUGAUGAAUCAAAUCACAAUAAAAUAAAUGAUAAUUAUAUAAAUUUUUUAAAUAAGACGAAUGAUCAAACGUUGGAUAAAAAGUCAACGGUGUCAUAUAUUAAAGGGAAAAUUUGAAUUAGUUACGCAUCAUAUACAUAAUAGAUUGUCGACGAUUUCUACUGCCAAUUAGCAGAAGCAGGGAAGACAUGUGACUAUAGCCGUAGACAUGGCGAGCAGCAGAACGCCCGGAUUCGAGUGGUAGACGACGACGUACAGGGCGAAUUCGAAGGCGGCGGCAACAAGAUGGUCGUGCCAGAGAAGCAGCUGAAUCGCUUCGUUCACUUGGUUGCGAUGACUGAGAGGUUAGGCAACGCCCUUGGGACGCUGGUCUUCACCUGGGCGACCGUCGUCCUUCUCGGCGUUAGAUUAUACAGGUUACAAGUAUCUGAAAUAAAGUGACAGGACAGCGAAGGAGUACGACGAUCAUUGCUCAUAACGCCAUUCCAAUGGUGAGAAUUUUUAGAUGUUUGCAUAAUGACGUGACAUGGCAUAUCAAUAGAUAGCAAUUUGUUGGCAGACUGCCACAACAAUUGUCAAAUCAGUUAAACUGCUUGCGCCGUGGAAUAUGUACUAUUGGGAUACCUGUUAGUACCAUUUUUUCUUGAGUAGCAUCAGUAACAUAUCUACCGUCUUUUGUCUUAUGGCAUUCAUCAAAGAAGGUUUCUCGGUCCACCUCCACCUCAUUAACUUCCUAUAGUUAUAAAUCUCAAACGCAUAAGGAAAUAGAAGAAUGAAUUAACAAAUAAAAGUGCUAAAUGACUUACCAGUUCUUUUCUCUUUCUUGUAAAACUCUUUCUUCCUAAAGUGUGUGGAUGCUUGAGUGCAUUCUCUUGGUUUCUGUCACUGAUUUUCUAACAAUACAACAUAUAUCAUCAUUUAAAUGAGCUGAGAUAAUUCAAAAUAACAGCCACUCACUAAAAAGUCCCAACAUAUAUUUACCUUAGAGUCCUUUGAGUACCAGUAGGAAACUAGUGUAGGCCAUUGAGAUUCAUCAACAGUGUUGGGCACUGUUUGCAAUACUCAUUCCAUAGGUAAGUUAGGCUUGUAAUAUUUUCCUUUCAGUUUUCCCUUGUAUUGCCUCCAUUUACCAUCUAACUGAUGGAGAAGCCAACUCUUAGCUCUCCCAUCAAUUGCAAACUUUCUCUAAUGUAUAAAAAAAAGAGCCAAUGGAAUAAUACUAGGAUCACCAUAACAGUAUGAUUUUAAAAACAUGGUAAACUAAACAUAAAUACCUCAACUUCAGUAAUCAUUUUUUGAUGAUAUAUUCUUUUAAAAAAAUUUUCAUUCCAUUUUAGAAUAUUCAGUGGAGCUAGAUGUGGCUUCUAAUGUUCCUAAAUAGGAUCCAAGAACUGCAGAAGAUUGUCAGCAAGGUGCAUUGAAACGGUCCAGUUUGACAAUAAUCUUAACUCCAGCUGGAAGAUUUUAAACAUUUGCCAAUUUUGUUGGUCCCCGACAUCUUUUAAUACGUCCAUCAGGAUCUACAAAGUUUUAAAAGUUAGUAUAUAAGAAACAAUUUUGCAGAAAAAUAAACAAUAUAUCUUACGAUACUCAUAGCAGUUUGUGCGCCAAUUCUCAUUUGAUAUGUUCUGUUCUUCAACAUACUGAUCAUUCCUUGGUAUAUCUAUUUCUUGAUUUUGCACUCCAUUCUGCAAAAUAUCCAAGCCCUGUAGUGUCUGGGACCUCGCAGCCAUUCACACUAUAUUUAAAAAUGGAUUAGAAUUUUAAAUAUAUAAGUAACAAGAUAACCAUUGCAUACCAGUUAAAAUGACAAAAUGAGACCACACAUAGCUCUAGAUCACACAUCUCCAUAUCUCCAGUUACUAAAUGGAAGUGUCUUAUAGAAAUUACCAAUCAAUUGAACAAACAAAUACAUUAAAAAUAUAUUUGAAUGUAAAUAACUAAAACUCUAAUGCCUUCAGCAAAUAAAUGCAACAAAAUAUAUCAUGUACAACUCAUAUCUCAUCAUCUUCAUCUCCAACCUUUCCCAUGUCAAACAAAUCUUGGACAUAGAAUACUUGUUCAGCUUGUGAAGAGAAAAUAAAUGGAUCGUCCAUCAGCUUAUUUCCAAUGUGUAUACCCCACGAAAAAUUCAAAAGAGUAAAACCAAACUCAUCUUCCCUCGUACCCACGCGAUGGUGCACAUCAUACCAAUCACACUUAAAUAAGAAGACCUUAAAUGCUCCAUUAUAGUUCAGCUCUAUAAUGUCUGUAAUACGGCCAUAAUAGCUGAUGGCAUCACCUUCAGAUAUAUUAACAACACGACUGUUUUAAGUUUGCAGAUUAUUCUCACGAGAAAUAGUAUGGAAUUUAAACCCAUUAAUUAAGAAUCUACCAAAUCUCCUUCCAUAGUUACACGGUUUUUCAGCUAUUUUUAUGAUAUUUUCCGUGAUGCGUGGAUCAGGACCACAAGCAUUAAGCAUAACCAAUAAAAACAUGGGUUUUAAACAUUAGGCAUAUUAAUUUUACAAAACAUAAGUACAUGCAUGAUCUGACUUGUUUUGCCUAACUUAUACUAACCUUGUGGUAUAGCCAAUCAUGGAAUCGCUCAUUAAUCAACUUGUCAGAUUCAAAAGAAGUGAAAACUGACUUCUUUUGUUUUCUCUUCUCCUCCUCUAGAAAUUCUCUACAAAUAGCAUAUUUAUAUUAUUUUAUAAAUUUUAUUUUUUAAAGGUAAUGUUCAGUUAGGUACUAUACCUACGAAAAUCCUCUAUUUCAUCAAGAUGUCGUAAGACAUAACGAUGGGCCUGAGUAAGUGUUUUUGCAUCAAACUUCACAUCUUGAGCAGAGCCUAUUGUUUCCCCAAAGCUAUCAAACAAAUACUUUUUUGUUCAGAAUUUGUGGGCAUGGAAAGACUAGAUUUAUCAACCCCUUUGAGAAAUCUUGCACAGAAUGUUAAACAUUCUUCCGCUCUGCUAUAGACCCUUCGGGAUGUGCACGAUUACGCGCAUAGCUCUUCAACCGAACAAAAUAUCUGAAGUUUGAUAUCAUGAUCAAAUCAAUUACUAUAGAAUAUGUAAAUUUUAAUGGAACAAAUAGAAUGAGCAUAUUUAAUUACCUCUCAAAAGGGUACAUCCAUCUAUAGUUUACAGGACCUCCUAAUUUAGAUUCAUCAACCAGGUGCACAAUUAAAUGAACCAUGAUAGUGAAAAAGGAAGGAAUAAAUAACUUCUCCAUUUUACAGUGUCAUCAGAACUUGUUCUUUAAGGCUGGCAAGUUCAGAUAUGUCUAGCACCUUAGAGCACAAUGAUUUGAAGAAAUUGGAUAGCUCCUCAACAAUUGACAUGAUAUCUUUGUUAGGAUAGCAAUUUCACAGUGCAAUCGGUAGAAGGUGCUCUAUUAAAAUAUGGCAAUCAUGACUUUUCAGACCAAUGAAUUUGCAGCUUUUCAUAUCAACAGACCUUGCUAUGUUUGAUGCAUAGCCAUAAGGCAACUUGAUGCUCUGAAUAACUGAACAUAAAGUUUCCUUAUUCUCUCUAGACAUUGUGAAGCAAGCCAGUGGUACUAUAUAACGACUAUCUUCUUCCAGUUUUGGAUGAAGUUCUUGAUGUAUGCCUAGGUCUACCAAGUCAAGACGUGCUUCGAGAUUAUCCUUUAACUUGGCAUCAUUUAACAGAGUACAAACAAGGUUAUCACACACAUUUUUUUCUAUAUGCAUUACAUCAAGAUUAUGGCGCAAAGACAAGUGCUCCCAAUAUUGCAAUUUGAAGAAAAUGCUUUUCUUCUUCCACCAGUCCAUAGGAUCCUUGGGACUAUUUCCUCCAGAACUACUUGUUUGUGAACUCUCACCAUCAUUUCCCCUCUUUCUUUUAGUUUUCUUCUUUUUGUCAGUACCUUUGCUUGGCUGAUCAUUUGAUUUUUCUCAUUGUGAAAUUUCUGCCUUCCAACUUAGCAAGGUUUGAACUACUGCUGGGCGCUUGAGGGGCGGUCCUAUGUUCCACUUUACCAUCAAAUGGUUGCGUUUGAUUACGGAACUCAUACUUACCUAGUAGUCUCCGAUCAGGUUCCCAUUUUUCUGAUUUUUUGAAUUUUUUUCUAUUCACUCCGUUGCUUGCCGCGUGUUAUCUGGAUUUUCUUUCUAAUUUCCUUCUUGUUGGGUAACCGGUUGGAUAUUUAUUCAGGUGACGUAUCCGGUGUCUGCGCGAUGGUCGAUGCUCCCCGCGUAUACGUCUAACAGGCCAGGUUGUACUUGUGCACCUGAGGCGCUCGGCAUGCGUGCGAAGGUUGAUAGUCAAUCGAGGUGCCUCUGCUUGUGUGAGCGAAACAUGCUCAUGGUGGACUCCUGGUUGGAGAUCUUCAGCCAGACAUGUCGAUCGUCACUGUCCGCCGAAGCGUUGGCCUCCAUGAUGACAGACCGGCUAUGGCUGGUGGGUCCUGUUGUGGGUGAAACUGUGGCCCUAGCGCAUCGGCGUAGAACCCGAGCUUAAUAUGUGGUGGCGCGAGCGCGAAUGAAACUUUCUAUCUUUCUAUCUUUGUAGAGAUAACAACCAUAUUGGUUUAGCAUGCUAUGCAUUCUUGCUUUUAGGUGGUAAAAUCUUGGAUAACAUUUUUAAAGUAUCUUUGCCAAAUGCGGUUAUAUUGGUUUGAUUCGCUUUGAUUAAAUUUGAAAACACACCAGUUUCCCCAAAAGCUCAUCAUAGUUUAUUUUCUUUUUCUCUUUUUGCAUUCUUUUCACCGUGAUUUUCCCAAAAUUUACAACAGUACAGACAAGGUAGAAUAUUAUUUGUGCUUUCCUGUUCUAUCCCUUUAUGCCAAAAAGUCAAUUAUUUGUUAGCACAUUGUUGCUUACACAAAAUCUUUUUUUAUCUCUUGAACAGCAUGCAAAAGCUGCAACUUGGUAGGAGUAGCUAGAGAAUAUAAUGUCACCUAUUUAAUCGUAGAAGACUACAAUAAAAGUAGAUUAGCGCUCCAAAACGACUUUACAGAAUAGCUUUUCGUUUGGAAGAUGUAACUUUUCAUCCUGUAACCGUCUCUUGUAGUGAAACCCUGUAAACCAUUAUUAAAAAACAUGUACUCACUCCUGUUCAAAAGUUUUGACUUUUGAAUGAGGUUAAAUUUUUAUAAUUUUAACUAUCAAUAACCUAAAAAUAUUUAAUUUAAAUACACUAGCUAUUUAUCUUAUAAAGUACUACUCCAGAAUAUAAGUAUUUUUAGAGGUGGACACGGUUAUUAAGAAAGUAGGUAGAAGUGAAUGGUUGAGGGUUGUGAUUGGUUAAGGACUAAUGGUGGUAGGUGGGAAAAUUGAAUGAUGAAGAGUUCUGAUUGGUUGGGAAGAGAAUGUUGGUGGAGAAGUGGUUAUAUUUUGGAUAAAUCUUGAGGCUAAAAGUUGUUAUAUUUUAGGACUGAGGGAGUAUAAUAAAAGAAUAUAUAUAUAUAUAUAUAUAUAUAUAUAUAUAUAUAUAUAUAUAUAUAUAUUCUUGCAUAUAUUAUAGUAGAAAAAUAAUAUAGUCAAAAAGAUAUAUUUUAAAAUCGUGUCGUAACCGGAGGAGUAAACUUUUCUCCCAUCAUAAAAUAAGACGGCUCAACUAUAGAAAAAGGUAGUGGUGGCAGCAGAGAUGACUAGUUAUGAGUGUCUCAGUUAUUGGAAUGUUAAUUCUGAAAUCUGAAUCCUAUGGUUAACCCCUUGCCAUCGUACUGUUGUAUAUAUAGUUUCAAUAUACCAGGUAUUAUAUAAGUUAAAUCAUUUCCUUAGGAUUCCUAAGAGAAUCGGUACGUACGCAUGCAUAUUUGUUCUGUUUUCCUUUUCCAGUUUUUCUGUUCACUGCUGGAGAAAUGGUUUUUAACCCCGGUUCACGGCCUGUAGUGUCUCGGUUAUAUAACCAGGACUACGAAUCCGAAACUAUUUAUAGCUAUCUUUAGUCCCGGGUGAAAUAACCGGGGUGUAACUUUCACCAAUUUGUUUUCUUUUUUUUUCAUUUGUUUUUUGUUUGCAUAUUAAUUUCGCGUCAAAAUCACAAAUCAAAUAAACAUUCACAUUCACAGAUCAACGCUAAAUUCACAAAUCAAAUAAACAUUCACAAUCUUUGAUAUCACAAAUUCACAUACUCAACAAUAAAAUUAAUCAUCCACAAAUUCACAAAAAAUAAUCAUAAACAACACCACGCAUUUACACAACAAAAAAUUAACACAACACAGAUCCGCCGCCGACCCCUCCGGGCCAUCGUCGCCCACCCCUCCGCCCGCCCGCCCACCCGCCGCCUGCCGCUAUCCUCCCCUCCGCCUGCCGCCACCCUCCACAGCCUUCAUGGCGUUCUGCCAUGCACCACCGCCCGCCACCACCUGCCACCAAGAGAGAAGGCCGUGAAGAGGAGAAGAAAUCGAGAGGAGAGGGGAGAUGAGUCUGGAGGGGAGGGAGAGCAUGUGAAGGGAUAAGAAGAGGCGAAGGGAUAAGACAUGCGCGGUGGACGAGAAGAUAGUGUCUCGAGAGUGAAGGUGUGCGGCUGUAUUUUUUUUCAAUUGUGGUCCCAGUUGGUAUAAACAACCGGGACUAAAUAUAUAUCUUUAAACCGGACUAAAGAUAGUGGGGACGGAUGACUUUUUAAACUGGAACUAAAAAUGAUCUUUAGUUCCGGUUAUAAAGAUCAAAAAGUUCCCUUGGGUUUUUUAACCGGGACUAAAAAUAAUCUUUAAUCCCGGUUCCUAUUUGAACCGGGGCUAUUGUUCCACUAGUGAUUACGUGUCUAUAAAAUGCAUGCUAUAGCGGUAUAGCCCAAGUCUCAGAGCUAUGUAUUCUUACACGCGUACAACCUCAUGUUGAAAUGGUGGUUGAAUUACCGACUAAUUUCUUCCUGUAUAUGUUGAUAGUUGCGUCGAUUAGUUUUAAAUUACGACUGAAAAUUUAAAGAGAUACACAUCCAUAAUUGAAGAAUUGAAGAUAAAAAUUACGGUACGGUCACACGUCUCAGUCUAUAAAGUAACAUGUAUUACAUAUGCGAUAAAUCAAUAUGAUAAAAAAAUAAAAUAGUAUAAUCACCAAUUCAUAUUUCUAACCGUGCAGCGUUACGCUGCACGAACCCGUCUAGUGAUUAUUUGGUAACCAUCGGCGAUGGCCCAUAAAACAAUAUUUGCACCCCUUUUUUAUCCCUCUCGACCCAAUCCAUAUACACUAUCACCUCCUCUUCCCCUCUUCCACUCUCUCUUCUCUAGCCGUCGGGUACGUCGAGUGGCGGCGGGCGGUCGGCGCGCCCGGCAGCACACUGGGGCGGGUGGUGGGCGGCGGCGGCGGGUCGACGAGCGUGUGGCGCGACAUGGCAAUGUCUCUCCUCAUCCUCGGCUUCUCCCUCUGCGUGUCGUCGCCUGGCUUCAAGUGGCGGGCAGUGGCGGCGUUCAUGGGGACGUUCUCGCUGGGGUUCAGGCCAGGAGGGUUGCGCUAGGUCUCACCAUCAACGCGUCAAGGGGGCAGAUGCUUGUUGUGGCCGCCCACAACUCCGGCUUCGUCAUGGGCAGCACUUAGCUGGCUCCGGUGGCAGCGGCGGCGGUGGCAAGAGCGAUGGGAUGUGGAGCGUGGCGGCUGCGGUGGCGCGGAGCUCCGACACGCUGGCGUUGCUGCAACCGCCCUCUUCCCCUUCCCUGUGCGGAGCCCACUGACUGGAUCCCACUCAUUGUCUCGCACCCCCACCCACCGCCCGACCCCGCACGCCACCGUCUGCCGCCCGAACGAGCCACGCCUCCCCCAUCGGCCGCUCGAGCUACCUCCUCCUCUGUCGGCCACCUGUGGGACCUCCGCCUCCGCUGCCAUAGCCAGCGCCACCAGUGCCCGAGCAAGCUCUGCUUGCCCCCACCCUCGCCUGCCCGCAGCCAUUCUCGAUGCUGCCGUGCUGGUGAGCUGGUGAGGGGAGGGAGAAGGUUGAGAAGGAGAGAUUGGGGAUAGAGUAUAGAGAUAGAGAGGAGUGGGGAACUGAUAUGUAGGGCCCAUAGAUUUUUUUAUUAAAAGAAUUGUUGAAUGGACUGCCAUGGAGGACCAAAACCGCCGCGGAUUGAGCUAGGGGGGUUAUUUGUCCGGUUUGCAUAGUUGGGGGUGAAGGAUAUCCAGUUUUAUGGUUUAGGGGGGUAAUUCGUACUUUUCCCCUCUCGAAAAUACAUUCGUAGGUGCCUAAACUUUUCAUAGGUGUCAUAUAAAUCCAAAUGGGCUCCAACCCGCUCCGUAAUCUGACAUGGCAUGCCACAAUGACACCUACAUGUCAGUCGCAUACAAAAUAUAAAAUUUAGAAAGAGAGGAGAGAGAUGAGACAAGGAAGUUUUUAAUUUUAAAUAAAUAAUUUAAAAAAGAGAAGUAAAAAAAUUGUUCUUAAUUUAUGUAGGCAUUGGUGUCACCAUGGCAUGCCACGGCAGCACGCAAAGCAGGUUGGAGCCUGUUUGGAACUAUAUGACACACAAUGCAAAUAGUUUAUUAUGCAUUGAUAAAAAAUAGAGAAGUCAGUCCAGAUGACUAAGAUUUUGACGAUAGCCUCGUGUUUCAAUCUAGCAGUACGCGCAAGCAGAAAACUGCUGCCAUGAAGCCAUCCCAUGGAGGCUAUCUGUUACUGCAUGCUGCCGCAUUGACGUUUUGAGUUUGCAACAUAAUAUAGUUUGCGUUAUACUGGUGAUUUGUCAACUCAAUACCAUGAGCAUAUUGCACACAUGUACAUUGUGAAUGGCCCUCGAACUUUUGAACUCUUUGUUUGCACUACAUAUGCUCCAACGUACAUAACAAUGAAAAUUAUUCAUGUUCCCCUACAAAGGUUGUUACUUGCCUAAAAUUAAUUGCACAUUUCAAAAAGAACUAGCACUACAACAAACAUGGCUUGUAGAGACAUUUUUCUAAUAUUGCAGAGGCAUUUUUAAAAUGCCUUUAUAAUAUUAUAGAGGCAUUUUAAAGAAUGUCUUAUAAGUGUCUUUUGGUGAAUUGUCUCUAUAAACUAAAAGGCAUUUUAUAAAAUGUCUCUAUACAAAAUAGAGGCACUUUGUAGAGACACACUAAAUUAUGCGGUAACUUUAGCAAAUCAAUGUGAAAAAAAGAGAAAAAAUAAUCCCUUAUCAAUCCUUGAACACAUAACCUCUUGAGUUGACUAUUUUUAUCUUCAAUUCACAAACCAUCUCAACCUCAUAUAAUUACUUAUAAAUAUGUGCUUCGUGUUACUUAUAUCUAGUUACUUAGUAUGUAAUAAUAUUCGGAAAAGUGCCUCUACAGAGGUUUAAAUGCCUUAAGAAAAUGCCUUUACAUAUGAGACAUAUUUUAAAGUGCCGAAAAGAUGUCUCUACAAGAUAAAUUUAACAAAAUAUGCUAAAACUGUCUCUAAAAUGUCUCUAGAGUAAAAAUAUUUUAGGCGAUUUUAAAAGUGCCUCUAAAAAGUAUCUCUAGACUAUAGAGCUCCAGAUUUUAGAGGCAAUUUAAAAAUCGCCUCUACAAAAGUGACUCUACAUAAGAUUUUUUGUUGUAGUGUAGAUACAAGAAGUUGCAUGCAUUACAUGACAAAUUUCAUAGCAAGAAUAGAGUGGGAAAUUGUGUGGUUUCCUAGCGCUGGUACAAGACGUGUAACGACGAACGAAAUGUUUAACCAUUUGCGGAAAGCUUGUAGAAAUUUCAUCAAAUGAAUGUAAAUUUCCGGAUGCGAUGUUUAACAUAAAUUUAAUAUAUUUGUAAGCCUCAAGCCCCCUACCCUGUUGGAUCCUCAUGCAAAGAAGAAAAAGAAGAAAAAGAUGCCCUCCACCAUUUCUGGAUUUGCUUCACAUGAUAUUUUUUUAUACGUCGUACUAAUUUAUACUAUUCUUAAAAAUAAUGUUUAAAUUAUACCAAUAUAUUAUAAAUUAAACGACAACUUAAUUACAAAAAGUAUUAUCAAGCAUACAUACUGUAUCUCUGUGCCUCUGCAAUCUCGCAAAGACGUGGUAUGGAACUAGAAGGAAACUGCAACAUCGCAUGGUUUGAAAUGGUUCUUCACCUUUGGCCUUUUUCUUAAACCAGCCAGCUCGCCAGUUAUUUCCAAGCCUGUGGACAGUUCGUCGCCAACGACCAACUUGCAGAAAAUACUCGAGUAACAAUUAAACAAUUAGAAUGUUUCAAAGAGGCUAGAUUACUCCCGAUGCCUCCUAAUUCUAUGCAAGUUGUCCAGAAAAGAUGUACAUUAAAACCUACAAGUUGCAUGAUAUUUUCCAGGUCGAGAAUUAGCUAGUUUGUGCGUAGCGACAUGCACUUGAUCAUUCGAAUUGCUGGUCUUUUGUGUAUAUAUGUAUGUGUCUCUCUGUGUGUGAGAGAGACUGAGCAUCUAUAAAUCUACCAAUUAGCAAACAUAUUUUUCACAUUUUGGGAGGGAGAAAGUCGAAAGCAACGAACAGAUAGCCAAACUCACCAUGCAGCAAGCAGCAAUGCCUGAUUUUUUUUAUCAAGGUUAUUUUUUGUUAGAAAUGCCAUAUAUGACUUUGCUGGUCGUAUAUACACAAAUAAUUCAUUGCAUGCCGUUCAGAUAGCCUAGCAGUUUUGCUGUAGACCAAAAGAUGGAAUAAGCUGUAUAAAACCACUUUUGUACUUAGUACGUAUAUCAAGCAAGGUGAGCAAAAUAAUGAAUUGAAAGACAUCUUGUACGGGUAAAAAUCAGGAGAGAACUCACUAACUAGGGCAAGUUGUCAAUAGAUUCAAGAGUCUCUAUAACACUGGGUGAUCUUGUUCGAUUGAGCACUCUUAACAGCAAAGUUGGGUAACUAUCCCUCCCGGUUAAGGCUGCGAGACCUCUUUAUUUCUUGAUUGCCUGCAGCCUGCGUGCUGUCUGGAUGUGGUACGUAGAGCCACUAUUUGGCGUAGACGGUCAUAAUCAUGUAUGUACUCAUGUACAUAUCAUGAAACAAAUGUGUAGGACAAUUCCUGAUGCCGCCUAAUCAUAUUAGAGUAAUGUAACUUUAACUUUUUAAUUUAGGGCUGGGAUUAAUAUCGCAAGAACAUUAUAUUCUAUCUCCAUAGGUUUUAGUAGUACGAGUCUCUCUAGACCUUUUUUUUGUUUUUUUUUGUUUUUGUCAAUGAAAGUGUUCCCUGAAUUUUGGUGCAGGUGUUCAUCGGCUCCAUAUAUAUAAAAUGUUUGCUGGCUAAGGAAGAUAGAAGUUUCAUUAAGUCUAUUUAUGUAUUGCAGCACCAGGUAGAUGGAGAAAGUUUAAAUAAGGUAGUAUUUCCAGAUAGGUCCGUAUCAUAAAAUAAGUUGUGUGAGAGGACCAUAAAAAGACCAUUUUCAUGACUAGAACUAUGGUCUACAAAUGAUAGCUAGCCUUAUUAAUUAUGUCUUGGCAUUUGUCCCAUGUGUAGUCUCGAAUAGCAAGAACUAAACCAACAAGAGGGGUGAAUGGUUGAAGUACCCAAAAACUAAAACUUUUACCGGAAUUAAAAAUUACCCUUAAAUCUGAUGUAGAUAGGUCUGAUCGGAGUUGACCCGCUGGUCUGAUCGACACACUUUGAUUUUUACACCAUGUAGUGUGAUGAGCGUUCCCAAUAGCAUCUGUGACUGGCCAUUUUUGACGUUUUCUGUGAUGAUCAGCGCUCCUAGAAAAUCAAAGUGGCUAUCCAUACUAUGUUUCCUUAGAAAAUGAAUCUUGUUGCAGAGGCUUAAAAAGUUCAUAAAAAACUACAUCCAUGGACAAGAUGAGAUAGCUAGCUGUCACGGUUUUAAGUGUGUAGGAUAUAUGUUACUUCCUCCAUGUUUGACAUUUACAACAUGAUACAUUUUGCAUUUCACCGGUGAUGCGUGUCCAAAUAAAUAGGACAAUGCAUUAUGAUUUAGUUCGUAAGACUCUAAGUAUCUAACCAACAAUGUUUGUAAAAUUUCUGUAUAAUGUUUACAACAAUAGCAAGAUGCAUAAAAUCACCGAGGGGCACCUAUGUGUCACCUUUGUCCAUGGCAGUGUUUUCUAGAUCCAUAUGUUAUGCUCGGCCAUUUUUCCAGUUUAUAGAGUAUGAUUUUAGUCAUCCAGAGAAUUAUGCCAGAAUUCCAUAUUACUUCCAAUCCUAUACUAGCUAGUUAUGUCCAAACAAAUAAAGAUGGAUACAUCAGAGGAUGCCAGUGUAUUGGUUUAUUAGAAAAUUAUAGAGGAAUGUGUACAUUGCAAAAGGCCCUCCAACUUGUUAAGAAGCUAGCCAUUUGUUUAUAUUCACUCUUUAUAUAUUUAUAUAUAUACUGCAUGGUAUUUAUUCUCCAAUAUAUUAUAGAGAAGAUCUUUAUAUGAACUACGAAGGCUGCAGCUUCCCGUAAAUUUUAAAAAAAAGUUUCAUAAAGAUGGAUAUACAAAGAAGGUGCAUGUGUAUUGCAUGACAUGAGCAUUUCAUUGCAAGAACAGAGUAUUUCAGAUUACACAAUUCAUUCUUCAGAUAGACCAGCCAUAUUAAUCGUCUUUUCUACUUUCAGUAUUCACAUCUUAAUCUUUUUUUGUUUCUCAUUUUGUAUAUUGUAGUUGAAUAUAAUUUUUGGUGCAGUGGUGUCUGGUACAUGUUACUAUACUCUAGAUUGUCAAGUUGUUUAGAAUUUUGUCACAACCAUUUAGAUUAAAUUUAAGAGUCAGGAUUAGAACACUCUCACAAAGAACCCAUGAAAAGGCUAUCGCUGUCUGACAUUGCUUCGUGUUAUAAUCCAGCCCUAUGUUUUGAGUUUGCAGCAAAAUAUAAUUUGCAUUCUACUGGAUAUUUAUCAACUCAAUGCCACUAGUAGGUGCCCUUAGUUAGAGCAUAGCACAUGUACAUUGUAAAAGGCCCUUGAACUUUUGAAGUGUUUCUUUACACUGCUUGCUGUUUAUAUAACAGUACAACAUAGAAAAUUAUUCAUAUGCCCUGGAAAGGUUGCCACCUGCCUCAAAUUAAUGACACAUUCAAUAAAGCUGUACACAAAAAAAUUACAGGACACAUUUCGCGAGAAAAGAGUGGUUAAAAGGUGUGGUUUCGUAGAAACCACGCCUUUUAACCAAUGAUAUCUGGAAUAACAAAUGAACUGCUUAACCUUUCUUGGAAAGCAGAAUUUCAUCAAUUGAAUCUAAAUAUCGAGACAUUAUGUGCAGCAUAAAAUUUAAUAAAUGUGUAUUACUCGAAGUGUAUUAUCGUCAAUCCAAAAGGAACUCACUCUCCUUUCCUAAACUUAUGAUCUUUGUCAUGCCAGUUUUCUUAUACUGUGUCCCCUCAUUACCCCUUUGUCUCUCCCUUGCUGCUAAAAAUAAUGAAGUCUUGAAGAUAUAUGAAUUUUGGGGAAAUAAUGGCUGUUGAGAUCAAAUUAGCUUUGGUAGUAACUAUGAUCUCUUUCUGUAAAGAACAAGGUAGGUGCUAAGUCAUCAGGACUAAAAAUGUUCAGCCAAUGAUCAGUCCAGGGGCAUUGCUAUCGCUCCUCUAUUAUUACCUGCAGAGACUAACACGGCCAAACCUGACACAUUUCUCUGUAUUGUUAUCCCUUCCUUGCAGUUAGACUGCGAGGUGGCUGCGUAUCUUGAUCGCCUGAUGUGAGCCUGCUGCCUGGAUGUAAUACGUAGAGCCACUGUUUGGCAAUGGGUCAAUUUCUUGUAUAUAUAUGUAGCUACAUCCAACCUUCCUCAAUGGAGGCUCAUCAGGACAGUAGCAAUGCGUCCUAGUAAAUUGCUAUGCCAUAGCUGCCAUGUAGGCUUGGCAACUCUAAAAGACACUAUACCCACAGUGUAAGUGUGGCAAGUGUGGUUUAAAAAAUUUAUAACGGGACCUACAGAUAAUAUAAAAAAUCUCACCCCUCCCCCACACCCCCACCCCCACCUAAUCCUCUCACGUCCCCAUCUCCAGGGCGGCCAUGGCGGCAUGCUCCGGCCGGCGCGGCGGAGCUCGGUGGCACCGGCGGAUGGGUGGAGGGACCCACGCGGCGAUGAGCAACAGAUCCGGCAGCAUCCAGCGGUGCGGCCGAAGAUGCCGGCGGUGCCAAGCGGCGUGGCGGAAGACGGCUGCGUCAACGACACCGUCGUCGACGGUGGAGGCACAGCACCGGAGCUGCGCGGCCGCGGACGCUGCCAACGCCAUUGGCGCGAGAGGUAGGGGGCGAGCUUCUGGAGCUCUGCCCAGAAGACGGCGGCAGCACUGAGCGGCGGAUCUCGGGAGGCUUCCCGAGCCCCACGCAGCGACGGCGAGCUCCGCCCAGAAGACGGCGGCGGCGCCGAGCGGCGGAUCUCGGGUGGCUUCCCCGAGCCCAAGGCAGCGACGGUGAGCUCCCCGAGCGCCUCUACUCCGGCGAGCAUCCAACGAGCACCACGCAGCGGCGGCCCCUACUUUGGUGAGCCCCACACCCCGAGUGCCCCUACUCCAGCGUGCCUCCUUUCUUUUGCUUUCUCGUUUCUCGUGGAGGUGCCCCUUUUUUUGGGACAAAAGUUGUUGAGGUUCGUGUGGCCAAACUUGAUCACGCGAAGCUGGGUUGGGAACGGUCCCCACUCCCCUCUCUACUCCACGCAAGCGAUUUGCCUACGUGGCUCUACAUUGUCACACGCCACGUCUUUGCAUUGUAAAUGGCCUUAGCUUGACCCUUGCUGAGGAAGGAUGAUGAGAGAAACGUGUAGGACAUUAUUUCCUGAUGCCUCCUAAUCAUUAUUAAAUUAUGUUCUAAUCUAAACUUUCUCAGAGCUGAGAUUGAUAUGUCAAGCAGAUUCUACGACAAAGGAUUUCAGUACGUAGGUACUGGUCUCUAAACUUUUGUUGUCUUUUUGUCAGCAAGGUGUUGGCUGAAUUUUGGUGCAGGCAUGCAUAUGUAUAUAUACAGUCUCUCUAUGCAUAUAUAGGGAACAACGGAUGUUAAUUUAAUGCUAUGACAGAGUUCCCUUCAAACUUUCAAAAAUUUCAUAACAUCAAAUAUUUGAAUAUAUAUAUAGAGCGUAAUAUGGAUGAAAAAAAAAACCAACUGCAUAGUUUACAUGUAAAUUACGAGACGAAUCUUUUGAGCCUAAUUGCGUCAUGAUUUGAUAAUGUAGUGCUACAUUAAAUAUUUGCUAAUGAUGGAUUAAUUAGGCUUAAUAUAUUCACCUCGCAGUUUACGGGUAGAGUCUAUAAUUUGUUUUAUUAUUAGUCUAUAUUUAAUACUUCAAAUAUGUAUCCAUAUACGUCAAACAAAUUUUGCCAAAGAACAAAACACGGCCUAUCUAUAUUUUGCAGCAUGAGGUAUAUGGGGAAAUUUUAAACAAGGUAGAAUUUCAGACAACUCCGCAUCCUAAGAUGAGUUGUGUGAGAGAAUAAUAGAAAUGCCAUUUUCAUAACUACAACUAUAGUGUACACUGUACAUAUAGUAGACAAAUUAAUUUGGGACAAUUUCGUUGUUGCCCCCUACUUUGAUGAUGUCCAAUAUUGAUUUUCGUUCUUACCCCUACUUUUUUUUAAAUAAAUCAACCGUUUUCCUCUGUUCUGUUAAUUCUUGCUAAUGGUGUUAAAUGCGGGGUGUAAAAAGACAAGUAUACCCUUCGAUACUUUCCCGUACUUUUGACAUAAUCAGAUCUAUUGAUGCCAUAGCAAUAAUUUAGUUUGUCAAAAUUUUGUAAAAGUUAGCUAAAAUUUGGGUUAAAUUUGAAAGUGGUGUACAAAAGUACCGGAAAAUAUCUAAGGGUAUACUUGUCCUUUUCACCUCACAUUUAACACCGUUAGCAAGAAUUAAUGAAAUAGGGGCAAAUGGCUUAUUCGUUUUAAAAAAAUAGCUAUUUGGUCGUGCGUUGCACGACUUUAGAAGCCUUUAUAAAAAGCCCAACAUAUAUACACACUAUAAGUAUGAUAAUUACUGUGUCUACUUUAAAUUUGAACUUUUUUGUAAAAUCAUAGGAUCGACAUGAUAAAAAAAUAGUUAAAUCUAGAUGAACAUAUAUUUUGAACGAAAAGUUCAGACGUUAUAUUCAAGAUCAGGCCUCUUUGUUUUGGUUCCUCAACAAUGCUCAUUCUAAAAUUAAAAUAUAAUUUCACAAUGACUUAAACAUAUAUCUAUACUGGAAACAGACAUAUAAAGCAAGGCCUUGCGAAUUAUCAAAAAUAAUUCAUGCAAGAUAAAAUCUUGGAAAAAUUCAUGAAAGUACUAAUCAAUAUAAUCAAAUCACUGUAAUUUUUACCUAAUUUUAUAUGUACAUUUGUUACAUCAAAUAAAUCGGUCAAAGUAGUCAAACAGUGGAUUAGUUAUAAACCUUAAUCAGCUAAAACCUACCAUCACCAAAAUGUGGAUUACACUGCAUACAAGUGUAUAAUGGAACUAAUUUAUUCGAAUACCAGGUUAAUUAUAAUGAAUAAAUAUAAUUUUUGUAGAAUUUAUUUCCUCAGUUUAAACCAACUAAAGAUUCAUCUGCCUCCAUCCACCCUAUUUUAGCAUGCCCACAAAUUAAACUACAGAUUAACAAAGAGAGAGAGAAAUAAUCCUGUAAUAUUCUAGAAACUGAUCUUCACUCAAUCUCUACCCAUACUGCUCACCCUAACCUUGAUUCCAUCGGUCUCCCUACCAUUGAUUCCAUCGGUCUAGGCCCACUAGAAAGCCCCUCUGUCUCGCUCCACCCUUGUCCACUUUUCAUUUCCCCCCUCCUCAGCCCAGAACACCGAGAGAGUGAGAGAGAGAGAGAGGGAAGAAGGGACACCGCAGAGCCACAGAGCGCCGACGACGCGUGGGCAUGAGGUGUCUUCGACCGAGCGCUUCACCUUGCCCUCUACCACCUCCAGCUUGGUCGCCUCACCUCAUUCAUCGCCUCGGCAUCCUCUUCAAAAUGCCCCAAUAAGCGCCAAGGUCGGUGGAGCAAGCUAGGAGAUCAAUUCCAUUUUCCCCAACUCUAGCCGCCGAGCACCACCGCCAAAUCCUCCUUCUCCGGUGAGUCACCAUUUGAUUCCGUGCAGGUGUCAUCCCUAGGACCUCAGUAGCUUCACGUGCCCAUCCUUUUCACAGUUGGGAAGCCGGAUGAAGACAUUAUCAUCGUCUGGCCGAUUCGGCAGCCGCCGGGCCAUUACACACAUUGUCACCACCAUCAGAGCCCCGCCAGACCUCGUGCACCUAAACCGAGCCCUAGCACUGGGGAAGUGGUUUCGCGGCGGCGAUGGAAGCGAGAAGGUCGGCAGGCGGCGCUGGAUGCGUUCUGGUUUCUGGGAUGUGGUGGAUGUAUUUUUUUUCUCUUUUUUUUAUUCACGUGCUCACUGAUUCUUGUACUCCCUCCGUAUCACAAUUAGAAGAUGUUUUGCGUGGCCGUCGUACUUUCACGUUUAGAUGAUGUUCUUGGCCGCACGUACAAAAGCCGACGAAAUUGCCCCUGCCUCCUCGAUCUCAACCCCACGCCGGCGCUGUAUUAACUUCGCACUCCUCGGUUCCACCACGCGCUUUUCCCUCGCUCAUCCUUCUUAUUCACCACAAACGCCACCGCCCAGAAACACCGCUGCCCCAGAAACACCAUCGCAGAGGAGGAGCUCGCGCCGGACUCCAUGGACGCGCCAGAGUCGGAGCUCGUGCCAGACUCCUUCACACUGGAGUUGCAGGAGCUCGCGCCGGACUCCAUGGACACGCCGGAGUUGGAGCUCGUGCUGGACUCCUUCACGCCAGAUUUGCAGGAGCUCGCGCCGGAUUCCGUGGAAGCGCCGGAGUCAGAGCUCGUGCCGGACUCCUUUGCACCAGAGUUGGAGGAGCUCGCGCCGGAAUCGGAGAUGGUGCCGGAUUCCUUGCCGCCGGGCGCUUUUGUAUGCGGUCGCUGUCAUCUCGUCCAUGAGGACCGCCAAGCAUGGGACCGUGCUGACUCGCGGUUCUGGCCGUGCUCUCGCUGCGGUCUCGUCCACAUGGAAUACAUGCUCGGUGCCAAGCUUUACGGCCUCGACGAGUUCGACUGCAAGGUUUUCAUUCCUGAUCUGAACAAUGUCGUGAUGCAUGGCAACAGUAUCGAGUUACCUGCACACGUGCUCAAGAUGCUCGACGAGAAGCGCAAAUGUGAACUCACUGCCGAGAAGGAUGACGCGUAAGGAACCGUAAGAUAACAUGCUUUAGUUCUAAUUAAUUGUUACAAGGAUGUCUCUACUAAUUAAGAUAAAACAACGGUAAGAUAACAAGCUAACUAGCAUCAUUCUAAUUGUUUCAUGCAGCAAGAGUAGCCUUGGCUUCAUCUAGCAAAGAUGGUUCGCAAGGGAGAGAAGUUGGCAGCCGAUCUUCUCUUUCUAAUGUUUCUUUUUGCAUGUGUGGAAUCUAAAAAUUGUUGCUUCAUAGCUUCCAUCAAAACACUUUGUAGUGUUACAAACAUUCGGUUUGCUUUGUGUGCCGAAUACUCCAUGAAUGCCUACAAAAAAAGUGUGCAAGAAAUGAGUCAAUGAGCAAAUUUGUUGUUGAAGAAUCAAUGUAACAUGUGUGAACAAUUUGAUCAAAUUACCUCUUCCACUGUUGGAACUAGAGCUUCUAUUGUUUUUGCAUUCUUCUUGUAUUGAAUUGCUUGAAUAGCUCGAAAAAAAUCCAAGUCAAGAAUAUUGAAAUCCGGAGAAUUUGGUGGUUGGCAAAUUAGGCGAAUAUCAAAUCCUUCUUGCUUAGCAUGCUCACAGAAAUCCGGAUCAUCCAAUUUUAGAUGGGAAGGUGCAUUAUCCUGUUGAAUGAAGAUUGGUUUGCCCACAUCUUCUUUUGGCCAUUUGGCUCGAAUAGCGGGCAAGACUUUGUUGAUCAUGAAAUCUCUAAUCACUUCUCUUGUGAUCGAAGUUAUGGGCUUCAUAACCAAGUCUCCAUGGACACGGCCGGUUCUCACAUUGCCUCUCAUAGCCGGUUGAUAAGUAACAAGUGGAAAACAACCAAUCCUACCAUCAAAAAUGCAAUUCCCAUCCCUAAACCUUGGCUGAGCACAAACACACAAGAACAUGAGCCUAGGGAUGUAAUUCUUGUUCUUACAAGUCCGAUGGGGAUAAUCUUGUUCAGGUAGCAAAUAAUAUUUUUCAGAUUUUUGAGAGAGGUAGAACCAUUUUUCAUCAAUGAACACAAGGUCAAAAAAAUCCUUAAACCUUGGACCACCAUGCAAAUCCCUCUUAAUCAUGUCAACACACCACUUCAACCUAGACUUUUUAUUAGUUUCAGUGAGAUAUGGUUUGAUGCUACUAGAGUGGCACCUAAGGAAACCUUUUCUCAAAUACCUUUGAAUCUUUGAUUUGCUCAUGUUAAGUUUGGCAGACACAUCCUCUAUGGUCGUUCUCUCUUUUAGAGGAAUGCUGCGCAAUGCUUCUAAAUCAACAGGGAUUUUCUUUCGACCAACUCUACCCUUCUUUAGACUAGAAACCACAACAGGAAUAGAGUUUGCAAGUUGUAUUUUACCUCGCUUCCAUAAACGUUGAACUGACUGAAUUCCUAAACCAAAUUGAGCAGCAACAAUGCUCGUAUCUUUUUUGCCUAGUUUCCCAUUCUUGCUUCUUACCAACAAAGUUUGGAAAACUAGUUUUCUGAGUUCAUCUGACAUCUCUUUCCUUCGGUGGUUCACUUGAACCAGAGGCUCAACAGCAUGUUCUAAAUGGAAAAAAAAAACACUACCGUGCAUGUGUGUUCGGAUGUGGACUUCUCCUUUUCUCAAUCUUUCGUCUGCUGCGUCAACUGUGGACCGUUGCAACGCGAAAACUCUGGUGGAUUCUACCAUUGACAAGGACUUCACAUAUGGUUACUUCAUAUCCAAUGGCACCAGUUUUAUUCCUUCUCUAUCCAACGGUCCCAAAUUUCCUGGUGACGUGGCACAAUGUGGUAGUGAAAAACUUUACUUUUUUCACUACUUUAGAUAAGGGCAAAAACAAAAACCCUAAAAAACAUGGCAAAAUCAAUAUUAAACAUCGAUGUAGGGGUAAGAACGAAAUUGCCCCCAAUUAAUUUUGGCUUGGUAUUUCUCCCGUAUAGUGUUGAGCGCUCCCAAUAGCAAAUACAUGCGUGACAAUUUUUACAAUAUAUGCAGUACAAACUCAACUUGGGUGGAACUUCUCUAACCGCUUCUGUACCGCCGGUCUGACCGGUGUCCGGUCUGACCUGAGUUUGACUGCUUCUGUACCGCCGGUCUGACCGGUGUCUGGUCUGACCGGAGUCUUACCGCUUAUGUACCGCUGGUCUGACCGGUGUCCGGUCUGACCGCCAAUCAGUAGCGGUCGGACCGGCAGUACCUUGGCGGUCGGACCGGCAGUACCUCGGUGGUCAGACCGGCUUCAGACAUAUUUUUUUACUAAAAAUUCUCAAAUUAUUUUUGCACUUGGAUAUAUGCCUAUUCGAUCUACUUGUCGUGUCUUAGUACUGGAUUCCUAAAUUUUUAUUAUCUAACCCCAGUAUUGAGGCUUCGACUUCUGCUUGUGUGUAGGCUUUGGUGGCAAGAAAGGGGAACGUGUGUAUCGUGGAUUCCGGUUGUUCACAGCGCAUGCCCGGUGAUAAAAAUUGGUUCUCCUCGCUCGAACAGGCAUCCAAGACUAGUGCCGUUUUUGCUACAGGUUUGGUCAAGGUAAAUGACAAGUUUGAAUUGAAAAACGUAGCUUUGGUUGAGGACUUAAAUUAUAAUUUGCUUUCAGUUUCACAAAUUGUUGAUGAAAAUUUUGAGGUUCACUUUAAGAAAACUAGAAGUAAAGUAUUUGAUUCUUGUGGUGAUUCUGUGCUAAAUAUUUCUCGCUAUGGAAGAGUGUUUAAAGCUGAUUUUAAAAAUCCUGUUUCACCUAUGAUAACAUGUUUGGUUGCUAAGUUUGAUAAGGAUGUCAUGUUUUGGCAUCGUAGACCUGGACAUGUUGGUUUUGAUCAUCUCAUGAGGUUAAGUGGUUUGCAUCUUAUUCGUGGUUUGCCUAAACUUAAGAAAGAUCUUGAUUUGGUUUGUACAUCGUGUCAUCAUGCUAAGAUGGUUGCUUCUUCACAUGCUCCUAUUGUUUCUGUGAUGACGGAUGCACCGGGACAGCUAUUACACAUGGACACUGUAGGUCCAGCUAGAGUGCAAACUGUUGGAGGAAAGUGGUAUGUGUUGGUUAUUGUUGAUGAUUUUUCUCGAUAUUCUUGGGUUUUUGUGGUUUGUUUCUUCGAUUGGAUGUUGAAUUUCCUGGUUCUUUGAAAAAAAUUCGAAGUGAUAAUGGUGGUGAAUUUGAAAAUGCUUCAUUUGAACAAUUUUGCAAUGAAAGAGGUCUUGAACAUGAAUUUUCUUAUCCUCGUGUUCCACAGCAAAAUGGUGUUAUUGAAAGAAAGAAUCGUGUUUUGGUUGAGAUGGCUAGAACGAUGUUGGAUGAGUAUCACACUCCUAGAAAAUUUUGAGCUGAAGCGGUUAACACUGCAUGCUAUAUUUCAAAACUUGGAAAAACUUCUUAUGAGCUUCGAUUUGGACGUCAACCCAAUGUUUCACAUUUGCGUGUUUUUGGUUGCAAAUGCUUUGUCUUGAAACCUGGAAAUUUGGAUAAGUUUGAGGCACGCUCCACCGAUGGAAUGUUUCUUAGUUACCCCGCACACCCUCGUGGCUAUCGUGUACUUAUUUUGGAAACUAACAAAAUUGUUGAGACUUCCGAAGUUUCUUUUGAUGAGACUAGUCCUGGUACUAGACCAGAAAUUGCAAGUACAUUGUCACAGGUGCAGGAGGAGGAUGGUCAUAUAUUUGAAGACGAGAGUGACGACGACGACGAGGUCGACUCGGCCGGUUAGACCGGGCGCUAGGCCGAUCAGACCGCCGGCACACCUCCGGUCAGACAGCCUCAGGAUGAGCGGUCAGACUGGCCAGGUCGUUGGCUUCCGGUUCUGUUCAUGCUGAUCGUGAUGGUCCUCCAGAGGCUACAACUUCGACCAAUACUGGUACAGAACGUGAAACAACUUCAGAAGUCGCUGCUCCUUUGCAUAUUCAACGACGACAUCCGCCGGAACAAAUCACUGGUAAUCUAGGUGAGCAGACUAUAAGGUCUAAGGUAACGACUCAUGAUGUUUGUGCAAAUUCUGCAUUUGUUGCUUCUUUUGAACCCAGAGAUGUUACUCAUGCAUUAACUGAUGAAUCGUGGAUUAACGCCAUGCAUGAAGAACUUAAAAAUUUUGAGAGAAACAAAGUUUGGACUUUAGUUGAACCACCUUCUGGACAUAAUAUUAUUGGAACCAAGUGGGUUUUCAAAAAUAAAAAAAUGAGGAUGGUUUGAUUGUGACAAAUAAAGCUAGACUUGUUGCUCAAGGUUUUACCCAAGUGGAGGGUUUGGAUUUUGGUGAAACUUUUGCUCCUGUUGCUAGAAUUGAGGCAAUUAGACUUUUGUUAGCUUUUGCUGCUUCAAAAGGUUUUAAAUUGUAUCAAAUGGAUGUGAAAAAUGCUUUUCUAAAUGGUUUUAUAUAGGAGGAAGUUUAUGUCAAACAACCACCAGGUUUUGAAAAUCCUGAUUUUCCCAACCAUGUUUUUAAAUUGUCUAAAGCUUUGUAUGGCUUGAAACAAGCAACUAGAGCAUGGUAUGAUAGGCUUAAGAAUUUUUUGCUUGCGAAAUGUUUUACAAUUGGAAAGGUUGACAAAACACUUUUAGUUCUUAAGCAUGGUGAUAAUCAACUGUUCGUUCAGAUUUAUGUGGAUGAUAUCAUCUUUGGUUGUUCAACUCACGCUUUGGUUGUGGAGUUUGCUGAGACUAUGCGCAGGGAGUUUAAGAUAAGCAUGAUGGGUGAGUUAUCGUACUUUUUGGGAUUGCAAAUUAAGCAAACACCUCAAGGUACAUUUGUGCAUGAAACGAAGUACAAUGUUAACACCAAUUGGUUCUACAGCUGUGUUGGAUCCUGAUGAAGAUGGUGAAGCUGUAACUAACAACAUGAUUGAAUCUUUAUCAUAUCUGAUUGCUUCUAGGCCAGACAUACAAUUUGCUGUGUGUUUGUGUGCACGCUUUCAAGCUUCUCCUCAUGCUUCACAUCGUCAAGCGGUUAAGCGAACACUUAAGUUUGGAAUUUAGUAUUCUACUUCAUCUUCUAUAUGCUUCAGUGGAUAUUCCGAUGCUGAUUUUACUAGUUGUAGAAUUGAUAGGAAAAGUACUAGUGGAUCGGAACAUGUCAUUUUCUUGGUACUGUAGGAUCGUAAAGGGCCUUUACAACCCCAAAAGCUAGCCAUUGAGGUGAGGGGCUCCCCCACUUAUAUCUUAGGUCAUUUGCCCUUCCACAUUCAAUGUGGGACUAUUCAACAAUCUCGCCCUUCACACAUUGGUGCCCCUUAGCCCUUCACCACCCCUUCACUGUAUACAGGCCCCACAGGGCCACAAUCCAUCAGGUAUACGGGCCCCGCAGGCACCAACAGUCCAUCGGGCCUUCACACACUGUGUCCAUUGGGCCAGAGAUGUUAAACUAGCCAGGCUCUGAUACCAAUUAUAGGAUCGUAAAGGGUCUUUCCCACCCCAAAAGCUAACCAUUAAGAUGAGGGGCUCCCCCACUUAUAUCUUAGGUCCUUUUCCCUUCUACAACUAAUGUGGACUAUUCAACAGAACUCGUGUAAACCACAACCAAGAUCUUAACUACUUAAAAAAUUAAUAACUUUCCAUUUGUCACUUAAUUUUUCGUCCAUAUACAUGCUAAUUUUUCGUCCAUAUACUCAAUUUUUUUUGUCCUCCGUGCCUUUGUGUCCGCCUUGCUCACGAUCCCCUUCAUCCCCUACGCAACCUUCGUCCGUCUCUUUGUGAGAAACGGAUCGAAUAGAAUACAAGUAUGGACACAUGAACAAAUCAACCCAACUUCCCCAUCCAAAACCCAAUCAUAUGAACAAAUCGGAUAAAAAACAUCUUGAAAAAAUCAAGAAGAAAAUAAAGAGAAAUCGAGUCGGAGAAGAGAUAAAAUCAAGUGCACACUGAUCCUGAAGAAGGGGAAAUCACACUAUCGUCUGGGUUGGAGGCUAACUGGGAGUGGCCUCGCUCAAUCCGCGUCACCAGCACCCAAUCUGGGAUUGAUCCGUGUCACCCCUGUCCGAUCCGAUCCUCUCCAAUGUCCACAGUUUCGCCUGUUCUUCAGAACUCCAACCAAAACCAACGAGCUCCAAGCCACCAGAUCUGGCCACAAGAUAUCGAGGUCAGCUAAAUCUGGAAGGUAUGAAAAUUAAGGAGGCGGGAGAGAGGAGAGCUCGAGGAAAUUACUGAAUCCGAAAGCUAAAGGCGUUGCCGCCGCAAUAAUCUUCCUCCUCUUCUCCUGAUCAUUACCGGCAUCUUCUUCCUCACAGGCUGCACCACCGCCUCCCUGCACAAGCUCCGAGAAUCCCAUGCACCUUCGGCAUUUUCUCCUCCCUCCAGCUGCCAUAUCGGCUGGCCACGAGUCCAAAGUCACAAGGCAACGACGAGCAGAUGGAUACAUUAGGGGUGGCGGGCUGAGCGGAAUAUCGGCGGCGAUGAGGGCGAGGAAAGACCGAAAGAGGACGAGGGAGAAAGAACUGCUCACGUGGAUAAAUUAUUGGGGGUGCGAUUAUGUUUCUUUUUUCAUUUUUUCUAUUUUCUAACCACUCACGCGGAUCACGAUCGGAUGGGGGCAGCGAGCUGAGGGGAAUGAGAGCAGCGAGGAAACAACACUUAUUGUUUUCUUUUCUCUAACUGCUUACACAGAUAAUUAUGACAUAUAACAAUUUCAUUCGGUUGAUAUCUGUGUAGAACAUUAGCUUGAUUCAUCGACUUGUACUUUUCAGAAAUAUCUUUUUUUUUUCAUGAUUGCAUGUAUAAGAGUACAUCUAACUGAUUGAUUCAAAUGUUGAUAUAAUAUUUUAUAUGGUAUUGUAGAGAUAACCUCACCUAACUAAAUAAAGAGGAGAGAUCAUACACAAAUCCGCAAAACCAACCAAACAAAAUAUCUUCUGAACCGUCUCUCUUAUGGAAGCAACCAAACAAAAUAUUACAUUAGCCAGACAAAAUAAAUUCAAGCAACAAAACAGAGGAGGAAUGUUUAUCCUCUUAGCCAUGUCAAACUCAGGCUGUAUGAGGGAGAUAAGCUAGACUAAGGAGAUGCGAGCAACCAAACACAUGGGGAGGAUAGGGUAGCUUUUGUUGAUGCAUGCCUAUGGUUCUUCAUUUAAGGAUGUUCUGGCCGAGUAUUGUUACACGAACUUAUAUCCUACCCUACUUUAAACAUAUGGAUUUUUUCAAUCGUCACGCUUUAUUUUGUUCGUCGCCUACAUGAACCCCACUGAAUCGCCCGAUUGAGUCAAUCAUUUCGUUUUUUUUCCAUACGUGUUUAAAUUCAUGCAUUGUGUGAUAUAAAAUGAAAAAUUAAAAAAAUAAAAAAAGGUAAAGGGAGAUGAGUUUUGUAUUUGCCUUUAGUAUAUUCUUGUGCAUGGUAGCAAUACUUGUUAGAUAAUAUGGAACUAGACUUUGUAUGCAUUUUAGUCUUUAUAUCAACUUUUGAUAUUGUUUUUGAUAGUGUAACGUUUCAUAUAGAUAGAGUAGAAAAUUACAAGUCUAUAUUCCUGGAGGGCUAUAGCCCAAAGGGAAAUAAAAACAACCAUGCCACACAUCUACAACCAAAUCCUGCAUGCUUCGUAUAUUCUCGAAAAUACUUUAUGCUUGAGCAAUAUUAUUAAGAAUGGACAAGUUGUACCGAUCAAAUUAUCACCAAUUAUAUAAGAACAUCCAUUUGGAAUGGCCUGCUGACUGAGUCAGCCUGAUUCUGGCCGCAUGGCCACAUUCUCCACUUCCAUCACAUGAUUUAUCUUUGGAGAACUUUUGCCAAGUUUGUAUUAAAAAAGAGUAAAAAUCCGAUGCUCCACGAUAAAAGAUACUCUCCGUCCCAUAAAAAAUCAACUUAGUACUGGAUGUGACACAUCCUAAUACUACGAAUCUGCAUAUAUCUCUGUCCAAAUUCGUUGUACUAGAUUAUGUCAUAUCUAGCCCUAGAUUUGUUUUUUUUUUAUAGAGGGAGUACCACUUAAAAGGUAGGUACUUAGCUAGUAAUUAAGGGUAAAGAGAUAAUUUUCCUAGGAGAUAGAGAAGGGUAAAAUUAUCUUCAGUUCUAGGUACGUAGGUACCACAUCGGUACCAUAUCUCAGUACAUUAUUUACGUGUUCUUUUUUAAGAUUUACAUUUUCUUCUUAAGAACGUAUUUGCUUUGUAAGCCUCCAUGACGUGAUUUACAUGCUUUGUAGAAUUCAUUCACUAACAACAAAUUAUAUGUUUUAGGAAUUAAAUAACUAAUUCUAUAAUACCAUACACCUAGAUUUCAAUAUUGACCCGAAAUCAACCAUCUUCCAAAUUUACCUCACGUUUGGCUGAUGUGCUUCGCCUUGCCAUUGUCGAGUUGAUCUCAUCUCCUAUUCAAUUCUCAACUAUACCAACACUUCUCCCAUUUUUUUCCCUGGUGAACCAAUGCAAACACUAGAACAAGAACGAAGUGAUGUGUAAAGAAGAUUCAACCUGAUUUUUUGUCAUGUGUAGAUCUAAUCGAUGCCUAAAUCAAUGCCUCGGAAUAUUUACAUUUUAAGUAUUCGAUUCAACGUAAUGCCAAUAUUUCACUAGUUAAUUACUCUACUGCCAUUGGUUACAAUAAUUUUUCUUACAUACCUUUCUCCUCUCUUGAUCAAUGGCCCACAUUACCCCACCUCUCGAUAACUCUAAAUAGCUCGUAAACACUGUAAAACCUCUCAUAUCUUACGUACAAAAUGAUCCGUAACUGUUUGAUGAUCAGCAAUGGCACACAAAGAUACACGAGGCAAGAAUAAAGAAGGAAUAUAAUCAAAGAGGUAAAUUUUGAUACCCGGGCUCCUAACAUUUUCGCUAAAUGGUGCAUUCUUAUUUACAAAUUUUCAGCGCUGUCACACAGUCACACACUAACACGCAGGACCUUGCAGUAGACUGCAAUCUGCCAGCUAAGACGACGUUGGUCAAACAUCCAAGACAAAUCAGUCUUCUACAUGGUACAUGGAUAGCAAGGCCAGCAAAAGAACAAAACACAAAUCGUAAGGUAAAAACAUGGUGGAAUUCCGGACACCUCCCACUCUUAGAGCAGGUUGUCAGAUUCUCAGAGAUUGCAGGUAAGAUCAGUAUCAUAUCAUUCCCAGGCUACAACCCUACAACUGUGAAUGGCCUUGCUCAAGAUUACCAUUUGGCAGCUGCUGCUAUGUACUCAGCGAUCCCAGCAGCAAAUAUGACCGACUAUUUAUGCAUCCUUUAAUUCCUUUUCAAGUACUUCUCGCAUUGUCUUUGCGGCAAUUUUCAGGUAGCAAUAUGGACACGCAGAUACUGUCCUCGGUUUUGCACAGGAUAUCAGUUAUUAUUAUUUCUCAUUGUAGAAACAUCUUGUAACCAUUGUGUGAAUUGUCGGUACACACACCAGUCCAAUAGCUAAGAAGAUGCCAAAGAGCCAAGUAACAUCUCAACAAAAGUGUCAUGGUCUCAUGGAUCACAGUAAAAGAAUGUAAAUUGUCAUAGAAAGUAAAACCACCUUGUCCUACUGAGUCCAACUGAGAGAUCAUUGCUCAAGCAUUAUAGCUCCACAUGGCCGUUUUUUAGCUAGAAAACGAGUUCUGGGGCCACCAUUUUCUAUUGCCAUUACUUUUAAAUUAUUUACCUGUAAAAACUUUUAGCGAUUAACAUUGCCAUUAUUUUCAAUUUCCACAACUCUCCGUUUCGAAUGAUAAUAUACGGCACUCGAAGGAGAAAUAUAGCUGUAAUUGAAUGGUGACAAAUGUCUAUGUUUGGCAGCUAGUUAGAACCGCCAAGAAUAUAUUUAAAUUUAGCGGCUGUUUUUUGACCGCCAAAGAAAUCAUUUGGCCUCUAAGAAAAUUUACGGAUUCUUCAUUCUUAUAGUGAACUGGUACUCACAACAACCUUAAUCUAUCCACAGUUGUACGAAAAUAACUUGCUUGACAGAUGGCACAAUGCGCGAACAAGAAUUAAACAACAAUAACUAUGCGAUGGCUUAAAGCAACUGUAAUAGAGGUGGCCAGUAUACUUCUACUUUAUCCGUAUCAUCAUACUUUAUUUUAUUGGUUUACUCACAAUUUAUCUUACCUUUUUCUCUGUACUUUUAUUAGAAAUUACAGAGAGCCUACUGCACGAGGGAAAGUUCAUCCAGUUAUUACAUCUCCUCCAACUUUUCACCUCUAUCUCAAUGGCGUUCCAAGCUGCCACCCCAAGUUUUACUGCAUAUGUUCAUUGCGGGCUAUUGACAUCUUGCAUGGAGCUAUGCUAGGAUUCUAGAUUCCAUGAAUGGAUAUACUACUAUGUAAGAAUAUGUGUAUGAAAUUUAUUAGCGAGGAGCAGAGUUUCGAACUCAGAUCAGGUGCAACUAGCUUUUCUAAUAAUGGAAUAGAAUAUCCUGGCAUUUGCUCAACAAAUUACAACCAAUUAUUACAACGUAACACUCAAAAACGAGUAUAGUUCACAUAAAUAAAAGAAGACACCAACAGGUAGCUUGGUCAAUAGUACAACUAACUAACGGCAUAGAAAUGACCACGUCGGAUUAUUGCAGCUAAUACAAAGUUAGUAGGGUAUACAAUAUAUAGCCAACAACACUUUAUACCUGCAACAGUGUUUACUUACAGCUUUUUCCUUUUUUUAAUUAGUUCAAUUUGUUGUAUUAGAGGAAAUGGAGUUGAUGCGGGUCCACAAAAUGCCAGCUUUUUGGCUUGUGCGGGCUGCUCCUGAGUUGCAGUGCAUGGUGGAUUGUGCUAUCGCCUGGUGAUUAAUUUGACGUUCACGUCCUUCUCUCUCCUUGGUUCUCUCUCCUUCAUAUUAGAAUAUAAUGAUAUAAAAUGUUUUAGAGGAAUGAGCCUAUUGUAACUGCCCUAAGGACUGCACUCGUUUCUGGCUAUCCAUUUUGAUGAUGAACGUUCAGAUUUGUUUCUACAGUAAUAACAUGGACAGAAAAACUGACCAACGGCCAGUCUGUGUUGUUUGCUCCAAAACCACAAGGUACUAUACGUACUGUGGCAAUACAUUAUGAUUUACUCGGUAACAACUAAGUAUCUAAUCACAAUGUGCGUGUAAAAUUUCUCAGUACUGUUUCCAAUCAUAGCUUGCAUAGGCUGUGCGUCUUGGUGACAAAUAUGUGCAACCGUUGUAAAUAGCAGUGUUAAUUUCUAGAUCACUAACAUUGUUUGGCCAUUUUAUAAGUUUCAUUGGUUUAGCUGCAUUUCUAGUGCCCCAAAUAGACCACAGAACAGCAAUAAAAUUCUUCAUAUCAUUAAUUCCUAUGGUUACACGAAACCCCUCGCGAGUGAUGAGGAAUACUCCACCCAUAUUGAAAGUACUAUCAACUACAUUCCAAACAAUCAAGCAAAUGGGCAUUUGAGAAACAAGGAUUGAUGUACAAGAAGAUGAAUACGUAUUGCAUGACACGAAUAUUUUCUAGGAAGUAUAGGGCAUUUGUAGCAGAGCCUUGAGAUGUUUGACAACAUUCAAUCUGCCUAUAUUGCGUCUUUCGUAAAGUUGCAUAUGCCCGUACUGCUUGACUCGUUUGAUUGAAAGAACAGAGUAUUGCUUGCUGCUCCUCUGGAUCCGCCGGUGUCGAGAGAGAGAGAGAGAGAGGAGGAGGAAAUUAAAGCCCCGACCCUAGUCAUCUACUCGGUGAUGCCGCGGGGUGGGGUGGGGGAGGGGGGGUUGGAGUCGCCAGUAUCUUGGAGAGCGGAAGAAAGCCCCAGCUAGCCUCGUUAGGCUAAGAGGAUGAACUAGACGGCUAGGAAAGAACGUGUCCUCCCGUUUCUAGAGGACGAAGUUGACCAAGAAGGAAGAAGCAGGUUAACGGAAAUCUUGACCGCGAUGACAUGGUUUUAAUUUGGCAGAAAUAUUUUAACAAUUAUAUGUACCCAAUUAGUGCCUCACAAUAUGAUCAUGGUAAGGAGGGGGAUGCAGCGAGAAACGAAACAGCAAGGAUGCAUGGUUUGGAAUGAUUCUCGGCCUUCUGCCUUUUUCAUAGACCAACCAGCUGUUGGCAAGCUAGUUCCAAGCUCGCGAAUAGUUGGCCAUCAACGACAAACUUCCCAGUCAUUUCUCGAGUUUCAACUGAACAGUCCAAGUGACUCAGAGUCUUGUGUAUCAAUUGAACAACCGGAGUGACUCAAAGAGGCUAGAUCACUCCUGAUGCCUCCUAAUUCUACGCAUAAAAUAUUGUAUAGCAGAGCCUAUAAGUUGCAUGAUACAUUUCCAAGGUUGAGGAUAAUUAGCUAGCCCGUACCCAGUGACAGGCACAUUAGGAUUGCUGUCCUUUUGUCUAUAUAUCUACCAAUAGCACAUAGCACUAUAUAUUGUCCCACAUAUGCAUGUAUUGCCAUGGACCACAUAGUAUUUAGAAAUAUUUACCCUAAAGUAAUAUUAAGAAUAUUUUCAAUAAUCUAGUAUUUAUGAUACUUUAUAUAGUACUUUCCACUAUUCUUUUGACACAUUGUUAAAUUAAACCAGUACAACACUUUUUUAGCAAGCACAUGUAACUUAUCAGUCCCAGUCCCACUAAUGUAGUAUGAAUUCAUUUACAACUUUCAUUGCAUCACACCAAUUUGCUAGUAAAUUUGUUCCCAAUGAUUACUCCAUCAAGUACAACCAAAUAUGCAUGUUCGAGCUAGAAGGCUCUUAAUUUAGCACUAACCUUUGUUUGAUCUCCAUAUAUAAUUUGAUAUUUUACACAACGCGUUUAAUAACCCUCUCAAAAUUAACCUAGACGCGGCCUCAGUGAUUAGUGAUGUGUGAUGGCUCCUGGACCUACAAAUCCACAAUGAGGAGGAUGGCUCUUGUUAGCUUGGACUUACGUCCCUCCAGUGCAGAAACAAGCAGGAAAUGCGACAUGGUGCGUGUUAUCUUUGUGCCGGCAAGGUUUAAAUUUGCCCCCUACUGGUUUGGAACGGUUCAUCCACUCUGCGCAUUUUUCAUGACCCCCAAGCUUGGUAUUUUAGGUUCCGUCGAGAUGAGGGAGCUUGCUUAAUUUCAUGCGCAUCUUCAGGAUUUAAUUUUAACAGGCGUUUCAAGAGAGUCUUGCAGAUGUCAAUUGGAUGGAUGUGGCUAUGCUAUUCCCGAUGCCACCUAAUUCGACACAAGUUGUCCAAACAUGGAUGUAGAGAAACUAUAUAUACUCCCUCCAUCUAAUUUCGGUAGUCAUAUUUUAUCUUGGCACAAUGACCAAGGAUAAGUAAUUGUAUUUUAUCAUCCAUUUUAACAUGCUACUAGUUAUUUCUCGUAAACAAGCGAUUCAUUAAUAGUAAAGUUCUCGAUGCCCAUACAGCCAAUCUUGUGUGGAAAAGUAGAGAAUCACGCAUUCAAUCUGAUAAAGUCAUUAAGAGGAUAGGUGGUUGGAUUGAAAUAUGCCUAUCAAAAAAUAAAUCUUUAAGAUUUGGAAAUAUUCCUAUCAAAAUAGAUAGAGUAUUUCAAUGUUAAUUAGAGAAAGAGUAAAAUACAGUAGCGGCCCUUAAACUUGCGGGCGGAUGUCAUCCAGGUCCACUAACUUGCAAAUCGUGUAAUUAGGCCACUAAACUUUCUAAAUGUACCAUCGCCGGUCCAAAAUGCCGUUUGACCGCGGUCGCGUCGACGUGGCAUGCCACGUGCAUAGCUGAUCUUGCCCGCACCGUGCGUGACACACCGCCCACGCCUUGUCAUUUUUCAUCCAGGUCCCUCUCUUUUUCUCAUUUGAUUUCCACCACUGCUUCUUCUUCCCCGGAGCGCCCAAAAUCUGAGCGGCGACUAGGGAUGCGAUUGAGGGCAAGGUUUGGCGGCGGAGCAGGUCGCGGCAGGUUCGGCGGCGGAGCAGGUCUCGGCAGGGUUCGGCGAUGGAGUAUGUCGUGGCAGGGUUCUUCGGCGGAGUAGGUCUUGGCGGGCUUCGGCGGCGGAGGCGAUGGCAGGCUCGAGCUCCAGUAGGAGCACAACACGGGCGGCGACGGAAAUAUCCAGGCAAGGUAAAACCUUUCCAUCUCCCAUUCGGUACCUGGAGAGUAGUUUGUUGAAGUCAGUUGGUUUAUUCAUUUUGAAUGUGCAGAAUGGUGGAUGCAAAUUAUGGCAGUGGUAUGAACCAGGGACAACGCCGUAUUUGAAGCAGGUUUUGAAUGAUUUAGUCAGCACUGUUCGUGAAGUGAAGACAGAGAACUCUGAAAUUAGAGCAUCCCUUGCCAACUCAAGAGCUGUGAUUGAUGGACUUGUGGCUCAUUUGCUGAAAUGGCCUGUAGAAUCAAGAUGUUAGAAGAGAGUAGACGAUUUAUGUUGUCAGUAAUUGUUGGUUUUGUAGUAGUCAUAUUUGCACUAUUGCUUCUUAGGUAGAUACCAAAGUUUGAUGGAUAUGGAUGUAUUGGUGCUGGUGUGUUUUGUGUCAGCUAAUAAGGCACUUGAGUGACCUUUUGUGUAUGCUGAAUCUGAACCAUGUAUGAAAAAUGUAUGCUAAAUGCUAUUAUGUGAAGCUGAAAUAUGAGAUUUUGUUCUGAAAAUCGACAUCUCUAAUUUUUUUUCAGCAGACAACUGUUAUUUUGCUCUAGCUUAUGAAAUGUCCUGUAAAACAUCAUCUGGAAAUAGCAAACAUGCAUCAUGCAUUACAGGCAGUAAUUUCCCAUAUUCAUCACAAUACCAAAUUUCUGGCAUUUAGUAGUAUUUCUAGUACUACAUUCAGUGAACACAUGCCUGGCAUCACAAAAUUCCCAUGUUCUAUCACAUAAUAGCCGCAAGUUUGGCAGCACAAAAUCAAGCAAGCAUGCCCAUGAAAUCCAUACAGGGUUCAAAUUUUGGCAUAACAAAUUACUACUAGCACUAAAGGACCAUCAAACAUAUGGUCUAACACAUAUCACUUGUUUGUAGCAGUAGCUUUCUUCCUGGGAGCUCUGUUCUUUGAAGUAGUAGCAGCAACUCCUGAAACUCCUUCAGUUGUACACUUCCUUUUGUUGGCCCUAGAUUUUCCCUCUUUUGUUGCUGUGGUCAUAGGGGUAGAUACUACAGCUGGCUGGUUUGAAAGGAUGUACUGGUUAUCUGGGAGAGGACCAUGUGUAGUUUCCAUUUGACUCACUUGUGAUGAUUCCUCAAACAUCUGUGCAACCAUAGGAUUAGGAACUUGUGAUAGUAAUUGGUCAUAUGCAGACUGAGAUUGGGUCAGCACCUACAAGUUUACAAAGGUAAUUAAGAUAGAGUUAUAAUAGGGUAGUGAUAAUAGAGUGAUAAGAUAGAGUAUUGUUUCAUUACCUCUGCUGGUUCUUGCUCAGAUUCAUGCCACUCUUCUGUAGAACUUGCAGCUGCGAUCCUACUUGUCUUCAGUUUGGGUCUGAGUCCAGCCUUUCUCAGUGGGCACCCUUUCUUGUUAUGUCCAGGCUCUUUGCAGUAAGAACAGUGCAUCUCCACACCAUGCUUGGACAUUUUAGGCCCAUUUUUUCCCUGUACCUCAUGUGGUGCUUUCCUCCUAGACUUAGGUGGUCUGCCAACCUUUUUCUCAUAUAUUGGAGGCUUCACUUCUGGCCCAUUCACCUGAGCCCACUUAGUCAUAUCAUUGCAGGGCCAAAUGUUAAAUGCAUAUGCAGGGUGGAAGAACUGACUCAGCACUAAUUCUCUCACUCCUUAAGCAUGAGAUAGCAUGGUUACAAGGGAUGCCUGUCAGAUCCUAUCUCCUGCAGUCACAAUGUUUAGCACUAAGGUCAACAAUGUACUAGAAAUUCCUAUCUUCCACCUGAAAAAUCCCUUUCCCGGCUAGCAAAACAUAACAUGUGUUUGCCAUAUCUGCAUUUUUCAGUACUUUCUUCCUGAUCUUGGGGCAUAUAGGCCCAUGCCAUUGCUCUGCCACUUCUUUCUGCUUACUGUAAUGCCUACACAUUAGUUGGCUUUUGAUCUUUUCAAACAUACUCAGGAUUGGCAAUUCCCUAGCUUCUAAGAUGUACUUGUUGAAUACUUCACAAUUAUUGUUCAAUAAGAUAUCACACUUAGGGAAUUCACUGAAAUAAGCUCUGACCCAAGUUUUAGGAGGCAUCUUUUGAAGCCACUCAUAUGCAUCCUGAUUAAGAGAUUUCAUUUCUUCCAUGUUGGCAUUCCACUCAACCUCUUAACUUGAUCUAGCACAUGCCCGUAACUGGUUUUUCAGAUUCUCACCUUUGAAAUGUACCUGAAAAUUGGAGUACAGAUGUCUAACACAGAAUCUGUGUUCUGAAUUAGGGAAAAUCUGUUGGACAGCUGGUAUAAGACCCUGUGUCAUGUAAAAACAAACAUAAGAACAAUUUGAAAUAUGUCAGAUUAUAAGAACAAAACUGUUAUGUAACCUAUAAGACAAAAAUAAAGAACAGGUAUACCUUUUGCUUAUCAGUCAUUAUUGUCCAUGGGUAGGUAUUGUCAAUGCCCAGGUCUUCCUUUAGGGUUUGUAGAAACCAUCUCCAAGACCUCAAUGACUCUGUCUCAACCACAGCUAUUGCAAUUGGAUAUAUGCAAUCAUUAGGGUCAAUACCUACUGCUGUUAGGAUCUGUCCACCAAAUUUAGUCUUGAUGUGGCAACCAUCCAAACAUAUCAAAGGCCUACAUCCACUCAAAAACCCUCUCUUACAUGCAUCAAAGGACAUGUAACAUGUGCUGAAACAACUAUCAACCAAGUUCAAAAAGAAGCAACUGCCUGGAUUAGACCUUCUUAGCUCAGCCCCAUAGUUCCACAACUGAUCUCAUCACCAUAUAUGUCCUUGAAGGCCAAUCUCCUUGCCCUGGCUAGCUUGCUUCUAGAUGGAGUCAGAUUCCAUUCUAAUUGGACUAACUUUGCAAACCCUCCAAGUGUCAUCUUAUCAUUUGCUCUAAAAGUUUCAAUGUACUUCUCAGAUAGCCAUUUAGCAGUACACCUUUUUAGCACCCAUUACUUCUUACAUUUAUGCUCCCUAAGAUAUGUCUUCACCAUCAUUGACUUGGACCUGCUAUCAAAUGAUGCAUAUAAGUUCCAUGGGCAACCCUCAACACAGUGGGCCCUAAGUCUUUUUUGCUCAUUCCUAGGCAUCUUGAUGUCCACUCUAGCCUUCAAACUGUACUCUGUUAUGGCCUUUUUAAGUACUUCUACUGAAGGAAACACCAUGCCAACCUUAAAAACUGGGUUCUUAACAUCCUCUGCCAUGAAAGCCUUAAACUUUAAUCUCACUUCACCAUCAUCAUCUGAAUCUGGGAGCUGCAAAUCUUCAUCAUCAGUGGAAACUUCCUCCCCAUCAGAAUUUCUAAUUAUUAUUUCUUUCCCCUUCAACUGACUGCCCUUAGCUUUCUUCCAAAACUUUGCCUUGCAGUCAGAUAAGUCUUCAACACCCACAUCAACAUUGUCAACAUACAAGUCAUCAUCUGCAUCUGAUAUAUCAUAGUCACUAUCCAUAAAAUCUGGGUCAUCUUCUAAGCUACCAUCACUGUCACUGUCAUCUUGUUUGUUUGGCACCUUCCAAUCAGCAGUUGACAUCUUCCUAGGACUAAGUGUCACGCCCGGAAUUUCUAUCCAAAAUUCCAAACGCUUACAUGUGUGUGAACCCUCGUCCAGGAAUUAGCCGAGGCACACAAUAACAAAUUGAUAAUAGAGUACAAUUAUUACUCUAAUUAAUAAGCGAAUAAAAUGUCAUUACAGAGGUAGAUAGUUCCUCUCAAUCAAUAAAGAUCUAAGCAGCGGAAAAAAAAAAGAUAAACGGCGCAGACGACUCCACUCCACAGGCAGCUUGACCAGGGCUAUACCUAAUCCUCCACACCAUCAGCAUCACUGUAGAACUCUUCCUCUGAUGAAUGAUUGCAAGGUGAGUAUAUGACAUACUCAGCAAGCCACGCAACAAAUAUGCAAGUGCACAGGAUAACAAAGGAUGGCAUAGUAGGGUUUCAUUUGCAUAAACAACAUUUAAUAAACAUUUCAGAAUUUAAUAAAACAGUUAAGUAAUAAUUAAACAAUAUUAAUCCAACACUAUACAACAUACCCUGUUGCAUAGGCCCAACCAUUCUGAACAACCAUCCCGGCUGCACAGUUCUAUCUCCAAACCAGGAAUAUACCAUUCCAAACCAGGAGCUAAUCAAAUUAUUACCAGUUAUAGCAUCUUUUAUUAUGAUGAGAAGUGUGAGACUAAUCACGAAAGACAUUGUUAGACCCGCCCAUAACCGCGGGCACGGCUAUUCGAAUAGUUUUACUCUGGCCAGAGGUGUACCACUGUACCCACAAGACACAGCCCCACAACAUGUCACCAUGUGCCUUAAUACCACCACGGUACCUCGGAAAGGAGCUGUGACAGUACCCCUUGCACAACACAAUCCACCACAGCGCACCUUUCCUGGAUCAUAAUCACCCACUUAUAAACAAGGCAUGGACUCCCCAGCGACCCCCGUGGGCUUAUCUCUGCCACUUCUCAGUCUGGUGCUCCGCAAUGAACCAUGCUAUACAAAAGGUAAAGUCGUUGCCCAUGCUGGCUUAUGGUUGGCACGGUUAAUGUUUCACAACCGAAACUCGUAAACCGGUCCUUAAUUGUCAUGAGCACGACUCUCAAAACCAUGUGCUCACAACCCACCAUUAUCAAGUUUUAGUUGGCAAGUAAUUAAUUAACCAAUCACGAUUGACCAUCGUGAACUAUCAUUAAGCCAUCAUUAAGUAAUAAGUUAUCCCAAUAGUGUGCUAAUGUUUCUAAGCAUGGCUAAGCAAUCAUAUCUAAUAUCUAGCUGAACCAAUAUAUAAAGCCCAACUAGUCAAGUUAUAAUAACCCAAGGUAUCAAGGAAUAAAGUAAUCAAGAACAAAAGGGCUAUAACAAACAAUAGGUUAAUUCCACCCAAUGACAUUCGAAAAUAAAUGCAAUUGUUGAAUAGAAACAAUAACUUUAAACGGGAUCAACAUGCUCAAAGGGUUGUUUGGGAUCUGUGUGACUUGCCUUGCUGGCCUUGGAACUCUUCAAAAUCUUCUCCUGCAAAAACAGACUCUCCGGAAACGUCGGAAUCUAAACAGAAAGGAGCAAAAUCACCAAAACAGCACAUAAGCAAGCAUGAACAGUACAUGUGGAUAUUUUUAACAUGUAGAUCUCAAUUUUAGAAAAAUUUAGAGACUUGAACCAACUAAAUCCGAGCUAAGAUGAAUUAGUUAUGAAUUUUUAAAGAUUAAAUCGGAUUAAAUCACUUAUAUGGAUUUUAAUUGAAUUAUGACGCAAUAAUGAAUUAUUUUUGAAAAGGAAAAGGGAAUUAUUGCGUCAGCGGCUAGGGUUCGCGGUGAACCGGGUGCACGGCGGCGGCUCACGAAAACGAACGGCCGAGAUCUUUCCAUCCAAAACGAACGGCCGAGAUCGACCGGUCCACAGCCGGACCACCGAAGACGACGACGAUGACGUCAGCGGUGACGUCACCACCGGCGGCGGCUCGGGCGCGCAAACUCGCCAGCGAACGACGACGCGACGACGCGAACGGAGGACACCAACACGUAGAGGGCGACGCAGCAAACUCACCGGUGACCAAAACAACGGUGGAAGAUCAACGGACAGCGACGGCGUCGAGGAAGAAGCGGCAGCAACCUUCGGCUUGACGACGACGGCGGUGCUCCGGCGACCUACGGCGACGGCGGAGGGGUGGACGAGAUCGGCGACGGCUUGGUGACCAUGACGGCGACCUCCCCGAGCAGCAACGACGACCGGAGCGACGGCGGCGCACGGCUGGAGCUGCGGCGGCGACGGCGGCGCUAGGCUACACGAUGCUAGGGCUCUACCGGCGACGAGAGGCGAAGGCGAGGGUGGCGGCGGGUAGCGGCGGGCUUGGGGGUCCUUUUAUAGGAGCAAGGAGGCGGCGGCGAAGGCCCACGGAGAUCGGCGACACGAAGGAAAGUCUAGGGUUCGGAGGAGAGAGAUCGAUCCGAAUCGAACUCGAAUCCACGGAUUUCCAAACGAUUUUAGCCGACGAUUCCAAAAGAGAAAAGGUAGAGGAGAUCCCGAAGAUUAUUUCCCCUCUAUUGAUUUCACCGGAGAAGGAAAGGCGCGAGCAAAUUUGGAAGGAGACGGCGGCGCGGCUCGGCUAGGGUUCCGGCCGGGCGACGACGCGAGGAGGACGACGAGUCCGACAGGUGGGACCCACCUGUCAGCGGCUGAGCGCGCACGCGGGCGGCUGCGGGCGGACUGGGCCGGCUUGGGCCGGGGAGAGGGAGAGAGAAGGUUUUGGGCCGACUUUCGGCCCAAAGCCAAAAGAGGAUUUUUAAAACCUUUUCCAAUUUAAAUUAUUCAUUAAAUGUAAUUCCAUUUAUUAAAAAUACUUCCUUAGCUCAAAUAAAUCCCAGAAAAAUCUAGGAAUUAUAGAGUUAAGCAAAGUAUUUAAUAAAAUUUUAUCUGGCCCCAUUUUAUAUUGGAAUUUAUUAAUUAAAAUUAGAUCUUCUCUUCUAGGCUUUUUAAAAUAAAUUCUAAUAAUUCCAAUUAAACAACAAUUUAUAUAUUUAGGAUUUUUAGGGUGUGACACUAAGCACCUUAGGCAAUUCACUAAUAGGAUUAGCUACUACAUCAUCCCAAUCUACACCUGCAAUUGUGUCACCCUGAUCAAAGUAGAUAAUAAAAUUCUUAACCUUGUGCACAACUGAUUUCAUCACUUCAAAGUCAGCCCUAGUAGAUAUAACCCUAAGGCCAUCUUCAAGAGUCUUUCCAGGGAGCAACCAAUAAGCCUUAAAAUCUGGAGUCAUAUCAUACCCAAGCAUAGCUAAAAAUUCAUCCAAACAAACAAUAUCCCAUGUUCUUGCUUCACAGUGGUCAAUCCAAUUUAUCGUUUGAUCUACAUAUGCCCUGUUGCUACCCUGACCAACAAAAAAACCACCAUGGUGUACCUCAGCGGUGAAUUUACCAUCAUCAGGACCUGCAUUGCAAUCCUAAUUAGAGGUAUUACUCUCAUGUUCUAGCCUACUCGAGAACAAUGUCAGGAUAAUCAUCCUACAGGAAAAAAUAACAUCUUUUUGCAUAAUCAGACGCCAUAUUCCUUUGUAUCUAUCUACCAACAUCAAUCAGUGCAUGCUAACCUUGCAGAUUAAUGGAUGAAAUUUUGAAGUUACACUCACUGUACAACGGAGGCCCUUCCCCUUCCAGGCGGAAAAUCAUGCCGCCUCCCCGCGAUUAUGCCGGCGGGAGGCCGCAACAGCCAAUCUCGCCUCUUUGCGCUUUCGCUGGAACCCUAUUUCUCCGGCGAUCACUCCCCUCACGAUCUCUGCUGCACUCUACGCUAGGGCACUCCGGGGAAGACGAAGCAGCAGUGGAUGUCGAAAGAAAAUGAGAAAAACAGAGGAGCCUCGAUGAAAAAAACAAGUAUGGCCAGUGUCACACACGGUGCGCGUGAGAAAAGGCAUGGUGCGGGCUAGCUCAGCUGUGCACGUGGCAUGCCACGUCGGAGCGACCGCGGUCAAACGGCAUUUUGGACCGGCGAUGGUACAUUUAGCAACUUUAGUGGCCUAAUUACACGAUUUGCAAGUUAAUGGACCUGGAUGACAUCCACCCGCAAGUUUAAGGGCCGCUACUGUAUUUUACUCUUAGAGAAACUAUCUAGGAGUGACAAAAGCAUCAGCUUCCGAAUUUAAUUCUGCCCUUUAAUGUUAGAUGUUUUUUUUAACUAAGCUUCUGUCUAUUAUAUCAAUUCCCUAUGUACAUGGAUUGACAACAGCGACAUGGUAUGGUUGAUUUUUUACAGUGAGACUUACUCCGGUCUAUCAAAAAGUACCUCAAGAUACUGAUAUCUCAUGCACUAGUGGAAAAAUACUUUUUACUCCCGGUUUAGAACCCUUUGUAGUCCCGGUUUUCCAACCGGGACUACGAAUCCGGGACUAAAGAUCGCUAUCUUUAGUCCCGGUUGUAAAAGGGAGAAUCUUUAGUUCCGGUUGGUGUUACCAACCGGAACUAAAGAGGGGAAGCGACAGUUCCUCGAGAUCUUUUUUUUUAUUUUAUUGUUGAUUUGCUAAUGGCUAGUGUUAAUCCCUGUAUUUUCUCCCGAAUCAAAUGGGAUGCACAUCCCCAAAUCAACAUCCCAAAUAUUAAGUUACUUAUACACACAGAUCAAAUACAUCACAAAUCCUACACACAGAUCAAAUACAUCACAAAUCCUACACACAGAUCAAAUACAUCACAAAUCCUAAAAAACUACACACAAAUUAAAUACAUCACAGAUUAUACAAAUUAUACAUCAUAUCUCAUAUCCAUGCGAUGCAAUGAAUCACAAAAUCUAAAAAAUUAUACAUCCAGUGAAACACAAAUUACAAAAAAAAAAGAAAAGCAAACGAGCCGGCGCCCGGCCGCCGCCGGCCGCAUGCCCGCCGCCGCCGGCCGCCGCCCGCCGCCACGCGCGCGGCCGCGCCGCCACCACCCGCCGCCGCCGGCCUCAUGCCCGCCGCCUCCUCCCCCCGCGAGGCCGGGCCACCGCCGCUCGCCGCCGGUCGGCUGAUGGAAGAGGGAGUAGAGGGGAGGAGGAAGGGCCGGCUAAUGGGAGGGAGGAGAGGGGAGGAGGAGAAGAGGAAGGGGAGGAGGGGAGGAAGAGAGGGGAGGGGAGGAGGAAGAGGAUUGGAUCUGAGAAGAGGAAGAGAGGGGAUGUUUCAAUCUUAUCUAAAUAUCUGUCUGGGACUUAACCGAUCAGAUGUGGGAGAGAAAUAUUUACUUCCGGUUGAUAACUCCAACCGGGACUAAAGAUCGAUCUUUACUCCCGGUUGGUACCGGUUGGUAUCACCAACCGGGACUAAAGUGGUAAUCUU